GUGUGUGUAUGUGGUCAAUGUGCUCGAAUACUCUGUUAGAAAAUGUUCCUGGUACUGAAUGCUAUUUUUAUUUUUCUGUUGUUUGAAUUCAACAGUUGUUACGAUUGCAGAAGUAAGUGCAGUGUGAUGGUUUUGAAACUUCCUUCUAUUUCAUGAGGCAUAGAGAUCGCCCUAAGACGAGUAAUCAUAAGUGUGCUUAUGCUGGAUCGAGUAGACGUGAGCAUGUCGCACCGCCUUAAGUCAUCGUCGACUUAAGCCGAUUGCUCCGUUAGUAGGGUAUAGUGGUCACCCUGAGUUAAGUAAGCGUGAGCAUGUCUCACCGCCUUAAGUCAUCGCCGACUUAAGCCGAUUGCUCCGUUAGUAGGGUAUAGUGGUCACCCUGAGUUAAGUAAGCGUGAGCAUGUCGCACCGUCUUAAGUCACUGCCGACUUAAGCCAAUUGCUCUGUUAGUAGGGCAUAGUGGUCACCCUGAGUUAAGUAAGCGUGAGCAUGUCGCACCGCCUUAAGUCCUCGCCGACUUAAGCCGAUUGCUCCGUUAGUAGGGUAUAGUGGUCACCCUGAGUUAAGUAAGCGUGAGCAUGUCGCACCGUCUUAAGUCACCGCCGACUUAAGCCGAUUGCUCCGUUAGUAGGGUAUAGUGGUCACCCUGAGUCGAGUAAGCAUGCAGUUUGACAAUAAAUAGUUUGAGUGCCUUUGAGAAUGAAGUAUUUCUAUUGAUGGUGUAUUUUUCAAUUGCAGAAUACAAUGCUGCCCCAAUAGCUUUUGAGAUCUAGCUAAGGGUAAAACUUACUGAGAUGUUCUAUAUUCCAUGAGUUCCCUAUUUCUGUGCCAUCCAUUUGAGUAAGUCGGUAUGAUCUAGGCUGAGUGACUUCUGCUACUAUGAAUGGUUCUUCCCAUAGUGGCGACAAUUUGUGUCGUCCUUCCCCUGUUAGAAUUCGAUGGAGGACCAAAUCUCCCACUGCGAAGGAUCGAUGUCGUAUAGCUUUACCAUGAUAGCGCCUCAGAGUUUGCUGGUACCUAGCCGACUGAAUUACUGUAUUCAAUCGUUCUUCUUCCAAUAUAUCAAUAUCCUCCAGUCUAGUGGCUUCUGCUUCGGCUAUGUUUUCAAAAAUCAGUCUUGGUGCCCCAAACUUGAGAUCAGCUGGUAGCACUGCUUCCGAACCAUAGACCAUAAAGAAAGGAAUGUUACCAUGCAAAGCUCGGCUAGGUUGGGUUCUUAGGCUCCAGACCAUAUAUGGCAACUCUCUGAUCCAUUUUCCCGUGAACUUUUCAUUCUUGUCGAAGACUUUCUUUUUUAGCGCUACCAAUAUCAUUCCAUUAGCUCUUUCUACCUGCCCGUUGGCUCUUGGGUGUGCUACUGAUGCAUAUUUGAUUUGGAUGCUCUUUUGUUCACAGAAAUCAAAGAAUUCUGAACUAGUGAAAUUGGAUCCUAGGUCAGUUAUGAUGCUAUUCGGUAUUUCGAACCUGAAUAUUAUGUCUUGUAUGAAUUCCACUGCCUUAGCUGAAGUCAGAGAAGCAAUGGGUUUGUACUCUAUCCAUUUAGUGAAUUUGUCAAUAGCAACCAGUACAUGAGUGUAUCCUCCUUGAGCUUUCUUGAAGGGCCCAAUCAUAUCUAGUCCCCAGCACGCAAAUGGCCAUGUUACAGGUAUGGUUUGUAGUUGCUGUGCUGGUAAAUGCUGCUAUUUUGACAAGUAUUGGCAAGCUUCACAUCUUUGGACUAAUUCGGCUGCGUCAUUCUUUGCUGUUGGCCAGUAGAAACCAGACCUGAAGACCUUCCCAACCAGAGUCCUAGAUGCUGCAUGUAUCCCGCAUUGCCCAGUGUGGAUCUCAUCUAGCAGUUGCUUCCCAGUAGCCGAAAGAAUGCACUUCAUGUGGACUCCUAUUGCGCCCAUUCUGUAUAAUGUUUCCCCAAUGAGAGUAUAGUGAGCUGACUGCCUUGCGAUGCGUUCUGCUGCAUUUUUGUCAUCCGGCUCCUCCUCAUUCUUUAUAUAUAUGAUGAUUGGCUCCCUCCAGUCAUCAGAAUUUGACUCUGGUUGGCUCAGAAUAUUGCACUCUUCUGCCCGAUCUAAUGAAAUACUCGGGCGUAGUACUUCUUGGACGAAAACUCCAGGUGGGACCUAAGUCCGACUGGAUCCUAGCUUUGACAACGCAUCAGCUGUCGCGUUGCGAUCUCUCUCCACAUGAUGAAAUUCCAGCCCUUUGAAUUUGUCCUCUAGCUUUGGGACGGUGGUGCAGUACUUUCCCAUGGAGUCAUUCGAGCAAUCCCACUCUUUAUUUAUCUGACUUAUGACCACCAGUGAAUCUCCAUAUACCAUCAGUCUCUUGAUGCCCAGUGAUAUGACAAUGUUUAGUCCAUGAAUCAAAGCUUCAUAUUCUGCCGCAUUAUUGGACGUUGAGAAUAGCAACUGAAGAGCAUAUUUGAGUUGUUCACCUCCAGGUGCAAUGAAGAGGAUUCCUGCGCCUGCUCCCUGCAGUUUCAACGAGCCAUCGAAAUACAUCCGCCAUACCUCUGCAGUUUCCGGGUUAUCUGGCACUUGUUGCUCGGUCCACUCUGAUACAAAAUCAACUAGUGCUUGAGUCUUGAUUGCAGUGCGAGGUCGAAACUCAAUGUCGUGAGCUCCCAGCUCAUAGGCCCACUUGGCUAUUCUUUCGAUGGCUUCUUUGUUGUGGAGAAUAUCCCCUAUUGGAAAUCCUGUGACUACUAUGACUUUGUGGUCGUCAAAGUAGUGACGAAGCUUGCGUGCAGUUAGAAGUACUGCAUACAAUAGUUUUUGAACUUGAGGAUAUUUCUUCUUCGAGGGUCCUAGAACUUCACUGAUGAAAUAGACGGGAUGUUGUACCGGGUAUGCAUGUCCUUCUUCUGCUCGCUCGACUACCAACACGGUGCUCACCACGUGAGUCGUGCAAGAGAUGUAUAACAGCAGAUCUUCGGCCGGAUGACUCAUUGUGGCUCGGCGUGGUGGCUUUAGCACUGGUGGUGUUGUUAGGAAUUUCUUCAGUGCAUCUAGAGCUUCCUAAGCCUCUGAAGUCCAUUGAAACUUGUCUACCUUCUUGAGCAACUUGUAGAACGGUAGGCCUUUUUCUCCCAAUCUUGAUAUGAACCUGCUUAGAGCUGCCAUGCAUCCAGUAAGUCUUUGUACUUUCUUCUGUGACCGCAGUGCCUCCAUUCUCAUGAUAGCCUCGAUCUUUUCUGGGUUAGCCUCAAUUCCCCGAUGGCUGACAAUAAACCCGAGCAAUUUUCCUGCUGGUACUCCAAAGACACAUUUUUCAGGAUUAAGCUUCCAUCGAUAUCGCCGCAGACUGUUGAAGACCAGCUGUAAAUCUUCAAUGAAAUUUUCUGAGUUUUCUGUCUUGAUCACCACGUUAUCCACAUAAGCUUCCACACACUUGCCCCAGUGGUCGGCUAAUCAUGUCUGAAUGGCUCUCUGGUAAGUCGUUCCAGCGUUUUGAGGCCAAAUGGCAUGGAGGUAUAGCAGAAAGCCCCGAACGAGGUGAUGAAUGCUGCUUUUUCCUCGUCUUCUUUUGCCAAGCUGAUCUGAUGAUACCCGGAAUAACAAUCUAAGAAGGACAACACAGAACACCUAGCGGUCGAGUCUACCACCUGGUCUAUUCUAGGAAGUCCGAAGGGAUCCUUCGGACAAUGUUUGUUGAGAUCCGUAUAGUCGACGCACAUGCGCCAAUCCACUUUAUUCUUUUUGAGUACAAGAACAGGAUUUGCUAACCACUCGGGAUGCAGUACUUCUCUAAUGAAUCCUGCCGCGACCAAGCGAGCCAGCUCUGCACGGAUGGCUUCUCUCUUGUCGGGCGUUAAACGACGUAAUUUUUGUCGGAUCGGCCUCGCCUGGGCAUAGACCUUCAGUUUGUGCUCGGCCAGUUCUCUCGGGACCGGCAUAUCCGUAGGUUGCCAUGUGAAUACGUCUCGGUUAUCUUGCAGAAACUGGACGAGCGCGCCUUCCUAUUUGUCAUCCAGGCUGGAACUGAUGAUGGCAGUCUUGCGUUCAUCGGUGAACCCGAGGUUGAAUCUCUUGGUUUCUUCAGUCGGCCGCAUAGAGGUCACAGAUUGAGCUUCAUUCGCGGGUACUACGAGGUCUUCCUUAGGCUUUGAGUUCGCCUGAGCAGAAGAAGUCACCGAUGGUUUGGUGGUGAGGGCCGCCUGAGUGGCCACUCGGAAACACUCUACGGCGCCUUGGAAGUCAGCACACACAGUGAUGAUUCCUUGUGGUCCUGGCAUCUUCAAUAUCAUGUACGUAUAAUGUGGAAUGGCCAUGAACUUCGCUAAUCCAGGCCUGCCGAUGAUGGUGUUGUAUCCGCAGUCGAAGUUCGCCACCUCGAACCUUAGGAACUCAGUUCUGUAGUUCUCCGGAGUCCCGAAGGUGACCGGCAGGUAGAUCUGUCUGAGUGGAUAUUCUCCUUCAAUCGGCACAAUGCCGAAGAAAGGAGUGUCUGACUCGUGGAGCUCUUUGAGGGCGACUCCUAAGCCUUGAAGCGUCCGGAGGAAGGUGACGUUGAUGGUGCUUCCCCCGUCCACUAACACCUUCUUUACCCUACUCUCUCGGAUCAUCGGAUCGACGAGGAGCGGGUAUUUGCCCGGGUGAUCGAAGUUGAGCCACUGAUCCGCCCGAGUGAAGGUGAUCGGGUGUUUGGACCAUCGAUACGGGGCAGGAGGACUAGUGGUCGCCACCAGUAUCUGACGGUCGUUGAGCUUCUGUUGUCUCUUGCUUUCUUGCGACCCAUGUCCACCGAAGAUGACGUUGACUUCUCCGUCGACGCGCGGGAAUGCUCUGCCUCCUCCCCUUCCUGUUGUUGGUGCUGUCGAGGUUCUCCGGGUCCUCCUUGAGGUGGGGGAGGUGGUAGAGGUUGGAAGGGUCGGCCGUUCCCAACAGAGUGCUUGAAGUCCCUGCAAUUCCGGAGGGUGUGGCGCAUGUCCUUGUGGUACGAGCGCUGGGCGUCGAGGAUGUCGUCCAAUGUACGUUCACCUCUGUGGGGUGCUCCUCGGGCGGGAGAGGCGGGUGGUCUGGCGGCGUGGACUUCUUCACGAGGCCUCUUCUCCUAACGUUUGUCGGGUUGUUGGUUCGUGUCACGUCGUGGUGCCACCGAUGUAGGCUUUGCUCCUCCGAUGAGGUCCUGAACUCGUUCAUCGGUGGUGAUGUAGAGGUUGGCUUCCCGGAACAGCUGCUCGGAGGUAGUCGGCGCCUUUUGCAGUAUGGCUCGGACGAAGGUCGAGUCAAUAGAUCCUCGGUAGAAGUCCUCGAUCGCUGCUGCUUCCGCAACAUUGGGGAUGCGGUUUCUCAUGGUCUAAAAUCUUUUGAGGUAUGACCGGAGAGUUUCAUCCCCUCGGCGCUUGAUGGAUUUGAGGUCCCAUGGCUGCGCUGGUUUGUCGGAGAGAGAUUGAAAGUUGGCAGUGAAACGCCGACUGAAGUCGCUCCAGUCGUCGAUGCAGUGUCGGGGUAGGUGUCGUAGCCAUUGCAGUGCAUCCUGCCCGAGGACGAUGGGCAAGUAUGCGGUCAUCACAUCUUCGGUCGCCCCAGCGGCUCGGGCGGCGGUAGUGUAGACGGCCAAACAGCCUCCCGGGUCCUGCUUAGGCUCGUACUUGUCGACGUUGGAGACCUUGAAGUUAGGGGGCCAUUUAAUGGCCCUGAGACAUGGAGUGAGCGUCGAUACUCCACAUGUGUCCUCCUGUCGACGAUGAUGAUGCCUUUCCUAGGGAGGGGAGUUGUUGUCGUGGUGUAUCGACUGUCCCCGGGUUGUGCCACCGGUCGAAGCCAUUGCCGACUCAACUCUGGUGGCCUAACUCCGCGCAGGGACACCAUGGUCCCGAUCAUAUUCUUCUCGGCGCCGGAUCUCAUUCUCGUGUCUUCGUUCGCGCGAAGCGUUGAUGGAGCUCCGUGCGUCCUGCCGACUGUUGAUGGUGUGUCGUAGAUCACUCGGUGGAUGAGCGAGAGGCAGAAGGUGAUUAGCUGCCUCAGUGAACAGUUGCCAAUAGCCCUCGGCGUCCGGAGUCCGGGGGAGGCCAUCGCCUAUCUGAGCCAAUACUCAACCGACCUCGCUCGGUGUGUUCAUGGCUCGGGCGAAGUCGGGGUUCAGGUUCCGUCCGAAAAGAGGGUUCUCUCGGCGUUGUCUUGCUUCCUGCUCAGCCUGCUCUUGAGCUUGCCGACGAUCACGUCGUCGGGAAUUCCUUCUUUCCCUUAAGACCCGUUCUUCUGGAGUUUCUCCCAUCUCCGAGACCUCAUCUCGUGACACGGGCUACGCCGGGUCCCGCUCUCCGGCUUCGUGAUGUCGCCGAAUAUUUCGGCGUCGGUUCCUCGUCGGCGAGAUUCCCGCUGAAGAGGUUCUUCCCCGGCACGGUUGGUUCAUCGUCAGAGAUGGGAGUUGAUUCCACUCUUCCCCCGAUGAAGAGGAUGUCGGGGUAGAAUGGAACUGUCAUAGUGACGAUCUUCUUUCUGUUCUCCUUUGAGGGCGGAGGUACCAGAAGAGCAGUCUGACGAUCCUUUACCUUGUUUGCCUCCUUUCUCCUUGUGAUCUGUGUCCAUUCUUCCGUAGAAGAGGUGGACAGUGGAGUUCUCCGGGUAGAUGGACCCUCUGUUCCUGGCUUGCAGGAGGUAGUCUUUGCUCGGAGCGCUGGAGGUUGCGCUUUUUCCUGCUUCGCUCCGGCUUUUCCGGAGAUUGUUGAGGAAGGCUUUCUCUCCGGCGGAUCCGCGAUGCGAUGUAGAGUUCCUUCUUCAUCUGCUACGGAUGAAAUGGUUCUAAAGAAGAACAUGGACCCGGGGGGGAGGAUGAUCUUGUGCUGGAAGGUGAUGGCCAUUGAGCUAGCUUGGAUCAGUGACACACCCCCUACCUGGCGCGCCAGCUAUCGGUGUUUUGGGUCCAACCGCGCACCCAGGGUUGCCCCUCGAGGUGCUUUUUGGAGUAGGACGGUGUUACCGACUGUAGCUCAAUGGUUCGUGGCAGAUGCAUGAGAAACAGUAGACAAUCUUGUACAGGUUCGGGCCGCUUUGAGACGCGUAAUACCCUACGUCCUAGAGUGGAUACUUUGUGUAGUGGGUUACAAGGGAGUUCUCUAGUAUCAGGGAUGUUAGAGAACUAAACAGAUGGCUAAGUAGUGAGAUGUUUUUGAGGGGAUUCCCCCUAGGCCUUAUAUACUUGACCGUGGGGCAUUACAUGUGGAUAUGAUAACAGUGUGUGCCUAAGUAAUAGUGAACCGACUGAGCCUAUCCUCCGAUAAUUCCGCUGACCUAUCUCCAUUCAGUUCCAAUGUAUGAGGACACUGUACGAGAAGGUCGGAUCACUGCUGCGGUCGUUGCUCAAAUUCAUCGGGCCGUCUGGGCUCGUGUUGAUCCAAUCUUGUGUCAAUCCACUUUACUAGACGUCCCUUCCCCAGGCCCACGAAGGGGUGACCUUGCGAAAUAUUGGGCCUAAGGCCUUUCGCGAGGUCUUUCGGCCUUCUAGUGGACCCGGGGGAUAUCCGUCCCCCACAGAGAGCACCUAGAGGGGGGGUGAAUAGGUGAUCCUGUAAAAAUCAAAUACUUAUGGCCACAAAACUUAGUUAUAAGUGUUAGUAUGGCUAAGUAGCUUGAAGCGAUCUCUUGCGAACACAAUUAAUCACAGAGAGAGGCAACACAAGAGACACGCGAUUUUUAUCCCAUGGUUCGGCCAAGUAACACUUGCCUACUUCCACGUUGUGGCGUCCCAAUGGACGAGGGUUGCACUCAACCCCUUUCAAGUGAUCCAAUGAUCAACUUGAAUACCACGACUUUUCCUUUAGUUUAUUAUUCCCGUUUGCGAGAAAUCUCCACAAGAUUGGAGUCUCGCGCCCUUACAACAAAGAUCACAAUGAAAGCACGAAGUAAGGUUGGGAUGACCAAUGCACACAAGACACAAAUCGCAGCACACCCACGCACACAAGAGAAGACUUGAGCUCAAAUGACAACAAAGGGAGUCCAUGACUCGAAUAGAGCUCAAAUCUCUAAUACAAUGAAACGAAUGCGUGGGAACAUAGUCUGAAUGCUUUAGGAUGCUUAGUGAAUGCUUGUGUGGCUCCUCUAUGCGCCUAGGGGUCCCUUUUAUAGCCCCAAGGUAGCUAGGGCCGUUGGAGGCCAACAAGGAAGGCCAUCCUUGCCUUCUGUCGAGUGGUGCACCGGACAGUCCGGUGCGCCACCGGACAGUCACUGUAGACAGUCUGGUGCCGAUCUCCUUCCUUUUCUGGCGCAGACGACCGUUGCAGCUCUGGGCAAGUUGGCGCACCGGACAGUCCGGUGCCCCCUGUCGAUCGUUGGUGCGGGCCACGCGUCGCCCGCGGAUUACGCGACCGACCGUUGCGCUGGUGACCGUUGGCUCACCGGAUAGUCUGGUGCAUCACCGGACAGUCCGGUGAAUUAUAGCCACGUCGCCUUUUUGCUUUUCCCGAGGACAGCGAGUUCGCCGCGGACGACUCACCGGGCAAUUCGGUGCACCACCGGACAGUCCGGUGAAUUAUAGCCGUACGCCGCCGUCGAGUCCCGAGAGCAGCCUUUUCCACGCGGACCAGCCUGGCGCACCAGACACUGUCUGGUGCACACCGGACAGUCCGGUGUGCCAGGCCGAGCUGGACUUCGGCUGCACCCAGCCAAGUCUUUUGCAAUUCUUCUCUUUUCUUCUUUUCUCUGUUUCUAACACUUAGACAAAUAUAUUAGUAUACAAAAACCAACUACUAAGUCUAGAAACAUACCUUCUCUUUGAUUUGCACUUCUCUCUUCAUUUAGCACAUAAGAACUCAAUUAAAUGUGUUGGGCACUUAAUCACCAAAACAUAAUAGAAAUUGCCUAAGGGCACAUUUCCCUUUCAAUCUCCCCCUUUUUGGUGAUUUAUGCCAACACAUCCAAAAGCAACCAAAAGAAGUGCAACAUCAAUGCAAUUGAGAACAAAAUUGUCUUUGCACAAGUUUUGACAUAUUUGGAUCAUUCUUUGCCACCACUUGGUUUGUUUUUUGCAAAUCAAAUUCAUUUCCUAUCUCUAAGUCAAACACACUUGUUUAGGCCAAAGAGAGAUAUUCCAAGAGUGAAAUUGAUCAAGAGCCAAAAACUCCCCCUUUUCCCUAUAAUCAAAAUUCUCCCCCAUAAGAGACCAAAUUUUGCAAUUAGAGUAUUUUGGCAAAUCAAAAGUUCUAACUCUAUUGUUUUCAAAAUUCACAAGUGGUAGCUGAUCCGUUUGCUUUGGCCUUAAUUUCUCCCCCUUUGGCAUUAAGCACCAAAACAGGAUCAUUCUUGGCCCUUUAACCCCAUUGUCUCACCAAAAAUGUCAAUUAAGAGCAAAAAGGCAACUAGAGCAUAAGAAUGAACUUGGAGGUUAGUACACUAAUACCGGAGUGCAGUGGAAGUCUUUGCAUGAUCCAAGUUCAUCUUUCCCUUUUAAUCCACCUUUGAGACUACAUCAAGUAUACUCAAACACAAGGGUUAGUCUCAAAGGGUCAAGUUGUAGCACUUCUCCCCCUAAAUAAGUGCAUCAUUCACACAUGGACUUAUGAGGUCCGGGGAUCCCGUGCACAACUUGAGCACCAUAAAUAAGCAACUGUGAUACCCAGUUUGCAAAGAAGAGAAGUUGGAGUUUAUUCUUUCUUGUUUUUUGCUUCUCUUUCGGGUAGUGCUCUUUUGGGGUUUGGAAUUGUUGGGUAGCAUUCGCCAGUAAAAUAGUAGAAUUUUGGUUAGACUCGUGCGCCGGGGUCGGGAGUUGACGCGUGAGCGAGUUGGGCCGUGGUUCUUGAUCCGGCCCACUAAUCCCCCUAACCCUAGCCGCCCCUUCCCCUAAUUCCCUUCCCCUUGUGCAGCUGCCCCCCUCCCUCUCUAGCCUUUGGCCGCCAUCCCCUCCCCCUAAUUCCCUCUCUCUUGUGCAGCCGCCCCCCCAUCCCCUCAACCCUAGCCGCCACCCCCUCCCAUCUCCUGCUCUCCAAGUGAUGUCCUUCCUCGCCGAAUCUUCUUCGUGUGGGUGCAAGUUCCGAUUGGAGAAUUGGUGGGAGGAAGUAAGGAGGAAGAGAGGAACCCAAGGUGACUUUGUGAUUAUCUUUUGUUGUUUAUGUGCUGCAAUCAAAUUGAUUAUAUGUUUACCCAUGCGAAUCGGUAGAGGUGCUGUCCGGAAAUUUUGUGGGUGGGCGAACAGCAGUAGUUCUAGUGAUUUCUGGGAUUUUUUUGUGGGUUAUUAGUGAGGAUCAGUGGGAGAAUCAUGUAGAUCUUUUUCAUACCUUUCCAACGAGUACUUAUGUGCUCGAUUCGGAGUUAUAUUUUAGGAGAUAUCGUGGUUUGAAUCCGGGUAUGUGGCUGUCCAAAAAAACAGAUUUCUGCAGGUGAGCGAACAGCAGUAGUUCUAGUGAUUUCUGGGAAUUUUUCGUGGGUUAUUAGUGGGGAUCAGUGGGAGAAUCAUGUAGAGCUUUGUCAUACCUUUCCAACGAGUACUUAUGCGCUCGAUUCGGAGUUAUAUAUUAGGAGACAUCGCGGUUUGAAUCCGGGUAUGUGGCUGUCCAAAAAACAGAUUUCUGAAGGUGAGCAAACAGCAAUAGUAUUAGCAGUUUCUGGGCAUUUUUCGUGGGAAAUUAGUGAUAAUCAAUAUGAGAAUCAUGUAGAGCCUUGUCAUACCUUUCCAACGAGUACUUAUGCUUUCGAUUCGGAGUUAUAAUUUAGGAGAUAUCGCUGUUUGAAUCCGGUUAUGUUGGUGUCCAAAAACAGAUUGCAGGGUGUAUCUUGUAGACGGGUUUGGGCUAAUUAGAUGUUGGAAUUUAAUUAUCAUUUGAAUAUAAAACUUGUGUGGAAUUUUAUGUAGAUGCUUCUGGAGUUUUUGAUUGAUAUCACUUCUGUUAUAAUUUUAAAGUUAUGAAAUUAUCAAGCAGCGCCGCUGCAGUGUGGUGGUGAUGGGGAGAGUUGUCGCUCGCGACGGGUUGGAAUUGUGCGUAGGUGCGGCGUUGUUUAGUAGCAUUUGUUAUGUUGAUCUGUGCACUAAGGUGUGUGUCAAAAACAGGUGGUGGACUUCCGGAUCGUACUUAGCACCAUUCCAAAUUCCCGGUGAAGGCAAGUAAAUACAGUUGUGGUUGCUACCGUUUGGUUUGCAUUCUAUGCCUUGUCAUUGAGUAUGCAUAAGUAUUAAAUGUGUUAAUCAUUGAAUUCUAUGACGAAGUUUAUUUGUUCGAAAGUAUUAAUUCUCAAUUGUCUAAUAUUGAGGAUGACCAUGAUUUUGGAAUGAUAUAUGUGGUUGAUUCCCAAUUGGAUGAAGUUGAAGUAUUUUUUUUGAAUCACGUUAUAUGAAGUGUUGUAGGCAUGUCAUGCAUCGCAUCAUCCAUCUUACAUGUUGAAGUUAUGUCGUGACCUUAUGGUCCGACCAUACCGGUACACUUUUAGCAUCGUACGUUUCCCGAGGAGGGGUACGAUGCGGCUUCAUAUCCUUAGAGGUAUGAAGGCAGAAGUCAUCCUUGCAUUUGCAGACAUUUGCACUCAUGAGGUAUAUGAAGUGUGACAUUACUAUGUUACUAUUAUGGUUUCUACCUGCGAGGUGUGGUAACUAGGUGUGUUGUACGUUGUAUUCGUGCUGCACCUUCGUAAUAUGAAGGUUGUGAAAUCAAGUGGUGGUAAAACAAUGUUCUUAUGUGGUUAAACAGUUUGUUAUUAUUUUACUUGCUGAGAUGUGUCAUCUCACUCUUGCAUUACUCAAUGCAGGUACUUGAUACAUGUUAGGAAUGAGGGGAGUAGCAGCAAGUCCACUUUCACUCUCAUAAUAACGCUGCCCAGGUGCAGCCAUGAUUUAAUUAGAAACUUGUUGUCAAAGGAUGUUUUUACUAGUCGUGCGCACUGGUUAAUUCAAUUCUUGUCGUAUGUUUAACUUCCCUUUGCUAGCCGUUUAAUAAUACUUAGAAUGUUUUUUGUCAUGAUAUAUGUUUAUACACUGUUGCCCCCUCCUUUAUGCUAUUUUGCAAAGAAGAUGCUAUCGAAAUUUUAUAUACGGAUGUCAGAAGUGUAGUUCAGUAGCAUUCCGAGGUGUUUGUGGAUCCCGGGGUGUUACAGUUGGUAUCAGAGGAUAGGCUUUAGAUUCUAUGCAAUUUGAAGAUAAAUUUGACACACUUGCACAUAUAGGACGGGUAUGGGUUCGUAUAUCUUUCAUAUUAGUAUUUUAUUGUAUAGAUGCCUAGAAUUCCGUUACUCCAAAUCCCUUUAUGGUUUGAUGGGAUAUAUCGUUAACGACUUAAUGCUUGAUAUGAUAUGUUACAUCUAUUUAAUAUUGGUUUCUUGAUGUGGUUGUUAUUGAAGUUAUUAUGCAAGUGAAGCUAUUAAUGUACUUGUUUUGUAUACAUAUCGUCAUGAUGUUUUUUUGAUGCGAUGUUUUUCAAAUCUCUGAGCUAUUACUAUCAAAUAUUUCUAUAUGCUUGACUGUGGAUGUUUUUUUAAUGGAUUUUUUGGGUUAUAGUACUUGUAGGACCGAUUGUUUAUUGAGUUUGUGUAUAGUGGGUCUAAUCCGACUUGGUGUGGUGUGAAAACACUAUAUAAUGUAGUUUUAUCAUGUUGUUGAGUCUGAUUGAAUGUUGGGUUACAACCCAACUUAUCAAUGUAAUAUUUCCAUGGAUGCAAUGCGUUGUGCCUCACCCCUUUGGGCUAAUAUGGCUACUUGCCAACUUGAUCUUAUAGUACAAUAGGUUUGUCUCCAUAGAGCAAAGGCAAUGUUGUACUGUCUAUGAAAUCUUGAUACUGGUAGAACUCAAGUGAAUUUGUAAGAGGACGUGGAUAGAUAAGUUCAACCAUGUUUACAUGAUAGGUUUUCUUAUUGUGUGCAACCUUAUCUUUAACAAUAAAUAGGGUGAUUUCAAGUGGAUUUUAUAGUCGAAGAGGCAUGCAUGUUUUCCUUCUAUGAUUUGUUUCUAUAGCCAUAAAGAUUAUGCAUAAUUUUUAUUUGUUAGAGGCUAGUCAUGUGGACGAUAUGGACAACCUAUUUUAUUUUAUUUUUUAAUCGUCGACGAUAUAUAGUAGUUUUAUUUUUUUAUGAUCAGUUCUCUAUGCAUGCUUGUUGAAUUAUUAUUUGGACCGCUUUAUCUUAAACAAAGUCAAUGCUUAACUGGAAGUUGCUUAUGUUUGUUAGUCAUCUAUAUCUAUAAUGAUGUGGUUGUUGCAUCAGAUGGAGAAUUUUUUUCAUAUGAAUGAUGGUUUGAUAGAUCAUGUAUGUCUACUACUUUGAAUUCAUCCUAUGACAUCACGAGGUACAAAUUGUUCAAGUGCAAUAAUAGGAGGUAUUGUUGUAUGUGAGGUUAAUCAAGGUAGUUUGGUUAGGUGGAUUGUCUUAUUGAAGUUCAAUUACUCCUGUUGAGCAUAGUAUUGUGUUAUUAUUUUAGUGUUGAAAGUAAUAUUUAUGAAGCUUUUGCAUGAGUCUGUAUCAAGAAGAACAUUAGUUUUUCUUGUUGUUAUCCCUCCAUUGCUUUAUGAGUGUUGCACCUUUUAUCUCUUUUGAGAGGAAAAAAGACUUUAUAUGGCAUGAGCACCAUUUGCUUCACGUCAACAGAAUAGUUUUGGAGAUUUCUAGUAGUUGGAUUCUUGUGUAACAACAACCAUGUUUUAUAGUGCUUGAGACGGGUAUAUCAAGUGUUUCAUACAUUGUCGAUACAUGGAUGUUUGACCUUAGUGGCAUUAACAAAUGAGGUAGUUGAAUUCAUUGAUUGUUGUGCUUAGUGUUCUAACCUAUUUGGUAGAGUGUUAUUUAAAGACUUUGUGGAGUUGCAUCCCAGUUUGGUAGUGGAAAAUCCUAGUGUUGAUUGCACCUGCCAAUGCCUUGGGUUUCAUUUUAUAUUGUUUUUUUAUUGUUGUUAAUGUGUUGUUUGGUUUCGGGAGGCAUUUUAAAUUAGUUGGAGGCUGAAUCAGGCUUCACUUAUCUAGAAUGUUUUGUAGUAUGUUUCUUCAUCUUUCCAUAGGAUGCUUAAUCACCAUGUUUGGUCUAAACAUUUGAGAGUUAUGGGUUUCCUAAAACAUCCUUUUGGUGUCUCUAGCAGAAUGAGUCUUUAAUUUUGUACGAAAGAAUAGACAUUGAAGACGGUAUAAUUUGGUCUUUAUUGGAUUAUGAAAGUUUUAGUAAUUUCAUGAUCUUUCCAAAGAGUAUUGGUUUGUAAUUCUCAUUGCAUAUAAUUGGAGUUAGGCUGCUCUGAAGUUGUUGCACCAUUGUGUCUGAACUUUAGGUGUCGUUAUAAUCACCAAUAAAUCGACCGCGUUUUGAUAGUUUCAGAGCCCAAAUUUGGGAAUUCUCUUUAAGCAAAACUUUUAGUUCUUCUCAGUACCUUUUAAAUGGGUAUUUACUUGUGAUUGUUAAAUAGGUUGGGAGAGGUGGUGGUCCGGAUAUAAGUCAAAUCUCUAAUGUGCAGUAUCUCAGGCUGAGUUUAGCUGUAUGUCAUGCAGAGUUGAGGGCUAUAAAGAUAAAUUUGGGUGCAACUUUAUUGCAAAAGUCGUGAACAAUUUUCAAAACUUUUCCAACACGUGUUCGUUGUAGUUUAAGUUGAGUAUAGCAGGAGGUAUAGGUUUUUUUGAAUUUUAGUUGUCCAUUGUUUCAAUCCUAUCAGUUUUGCAACAAAAGAGUUGCAUUGUUUUAUGGGUUUGGAAACCAAUUCUGAGACACUCAUUAUAAUAAAAGUUUUAGAGAAUGUUAUAAUCUUUUCAAUGAGUUUAUAUUUGCAAAAUUUUGUUAGCUGCAGGGAGUUAUGAUAUAAUGUAUAGAAUGUGCUUGGAUGAAUAUGUGGGCAGGCAUAAAAUGCUUAAAGUGAUUCUUGUUUGCAUGAUGUGAGAUUAGGCUUAAAGGAUUUAAAAAGUUAUCAUAUUGCUUCUAUACUUAUAUUUGUUCUAAGUGUCUCGUAAUGAAGAACCUAAAGUUAUUAGUCUUUCAAUGAACGCUUAAUCUUAGAAGAGUAAUGAACCUGAUAAAAUCUAUUGCUUGUUGUUGGGACUGCAUGACCAGUUUUAGUUAUGCAGCUAGUUCAAUGAAGUAAACCAUCUUUUAUGUAGAGAUGUUAUAUAUAAAAGUUGUAGCCAACUUCUUUAUCUUCAUCGUGUAAAAAUUUCAUGACCAUAUGUCUAGUAGUUUGGGAGUUAUGAUUUUCUCAAGUCCAGUCUUGGAAUCUGUCCAGAUUCUGUACAGACUUCGAAACUGACCUCGUUUUCCCAAUUUAAACUUCGAAUAAGUUCUUAAAAUUAUAAAUAAGUUGUAGUACUUUUCUUAAUAUUUUCAAUAAAUUUUGGAUCACUUUUUUUGGAGAUCUAUAAGUUAAGUUACAGCCGUUUUAAGUGUGACCUCUGAAUCUGUCCAAAUUUGGACAGCAGAGCCUUUCUCAUGUCUUUUGACCUUGAUAUGCAUUGAAUUAACCUAAUAUUUUAUAAAUGAAUUAUAUACAAUUCUAUUAGCUUUCUAAAAAGUCUAGGAGCACCUGAAUUGGAUGACGGAGACUCUAAUUAUGGAUUUUUGAAGUGAGUAGUUGAAUUCUGUCCAAGUCUGGACAAAAUUUACAUUUAGCAUUGUUUGACCUUUCUAAGUGUCAAAUCUUAUUGUGAUGAUAAUACCAAGGGUAUAGUGGACUUUAUAAGCUUUCCAUAAAGUCCUAGUUUACUAUUUUUGGAUGCAUAUUUUGUGAGUUAUGAGCAAAACAAUUAACCGUUGUGCUGCUGUCCAGAAAUAUGCAAGCAUUAAGUUGCUCUCUUGAAGUUGCUCUUGUUUGGCUAAGUUUGGUUUAGGCUAUAGAAACACUAUAUGCAUUGCGUUCAUAUAUAAAUUCAUUGAAUUACUUGCAUAUGUCAAUGUUGAUUUGGUGUCAGGAAAGCUUUGUCUGAGGUAUAUAGGAUCGUCUAUUAUCUUAGCCGAGUUGGCAGCUGGGCUUAGCACAUGCAAUUGUCGGAAUAUAUGAUCAGAGUACACCAUGUAUUCCAUGUCUUUAUGUUGAGGAAGUAUUUGCGGAAUCUAGACCAUCAAAUCGAGCUAGAGCCGAUUCCCGUGUAGCAAGACCAGACUCUAGAGUGUCGUCUGCUGCGUAUCUUAGAAUCCUAGGAGCUUGAGGAGCUGAUGCGGCAGAAGUACCCAAAGUUUUCAUUAUGUGUGAGUUUUGUUGAUUCAUUAAUCUUGCUUUUGUCGUUCCGAUAGAUUCGUCAGAAUUUGAGGUCGAAUUCUUUUUAAGGAGGGUAGAGUGUGAUACCCAGUUUGCAAAGAAGAGAAGUUGGAGUUUAUUCUUUCUUGUUUUUUUGCUUCUCGGGUAGUGCUCUUUUGGGGUUUGGAAUUGUUGGGUAGCAUUCGCCAGUAAAAUAGUAGAAUUUUGGUUAGACUCGUGCGCCGGGGUCGGGAGUUGACGUGUGAGCGAGUUGGGCCGUGGUUCUUGAUCCGGCCCACUAAUCCCCCUAACCCUAGCCGCCCCUUCCCCUAAUUCCCUUCCCCUUGUGCAGCCGCCCCCCCUCCCUCUCUAGCCUUUGGCCGCCAUCCCGUCCCCCUAAUUCCCUCUCUCUUGUGCAGCCGCCCCCCAUCCUCUCAACCCUAGCCGCCACCCCCCUCCUAUCUCCUCCUCUCCAAGUGAUGUCCUUCCUCGCCGGAUCUUCUUCGUGUGGGUGCAAGUUCCGAUUGGAGAAUUGGUGGGAGGAAGGAAGGAGGAAGGGAGGAACCCAAGGUGACUUUGUGAUUAUCUUUUGUUGUUUAUGUGCUGCAAUCAAAUUGAUUAUAUGUUUACCCAUGCGAAUCGGUAGAGGUACUGUCUGGAAAUUUUGUGGGUGGGCGAACAACAGUAGUUCUAGUGAUUUCUGGAAAUUUUUCGUGGGUUAUUAGUGGGGAUCAGUGGGAGAGUCAUGUAGAGAUUUGUCAUACCUUUCCAACGAGUACUUAUGUGCUCGAUUCGGAGUUAUAUUUUAGGAGAUAUUGCGGUUUGAAUCCGGGUAUGUGGUUGUCCAAAAAAAACAGAUUUCUGCAGGUGAGCGAACAGCAGUAGUUCUAGUGAUUUCUGGGAAUUUUUCGUGGGUUAUUAGUGGAGAUCAGUGGGAGAAUCAUAUAGAACUUUGUCAUACCUUUCCAACGAGUACUUAUGCGCUCGAUUCGGAGUUAUAUUUUAGGAGAUAUCGUGGUUUAAAUCCGGGUAUGUGGCUGUCCAAAAAAACAGAUUUCUGCAGGUGAGCAAACAACAGUAGUAUUAUCAGUUUCUGGAGAUUUUUCGUGGGAACUUAGUGAUAAUAAAUAUGAGAAUCAUGUAGAUCCUUGUCAUACCUUUCCAACGAGUACUUAUGCUUUCGAUUCGGAGUUAUAAUUUAGGAGAUAUCGCUGUUUGAAUCCGGUUAUGUUGCUGUCCAAAAACAGAUUGCUGGGUGUAUCUUGUAGACGGGUUUGGGCUAAUUAGAUGUUGGAAUUUAAUUAUCAUUUGAAUAUAAAACUUGUGGGGAAUUUUAUGUAGAUGCUUCCGGAGUUUUUUAAAAUUAUCAAGCAGCGCCGCUGCAGUGUGGUGGUGAUGGGGAGAAUUGUCGCUCGCGACGGGUUGGAAUUAUGCGUAGGUGCGGCGUUGUUUAGUAGCGUUUGUUAUGUUGAUCUGUGCACUAAGGUGUGUGUCAAAAACAGGAGGUGGACUUCCGGAUCGUACUUAGCACUAUUCCAAAUUCCCGGUGAAGGCAAGUAAAUACAGUUGUGGUUGCUACCGUUUGGUUUGCAUUCUAUGCCUUGUCAUUGAGUAUGCAUAAGUAUUAAAUGUGUUAAUCAUUGAAUUCUAUGACGAAGUUUAUUUGUUCGAAAGUAUUAAUUCUCAAUUGUCUAAUAUUGAGGAUGACCAUGAUUUUGGAAUGAUAUAUGUGGUUGAUUCCCAAUUGGAUGAAGUUGAAGUAUUUUUUUUGAAUCACGUUAUAUGAAGUGUUGUAGGCAUGUCAUGCAUCGCAUCAUCCAUCUUACAUGUUGAAGUUAUGUCGUGACCUUAUGGUCCGACCGUACCGGUACACUUUUAGCAUCGUACGUUGCCCGAGGAGGGGUACGAUGCGGCUUCAUAUCCUUAGAGGUAUGAAGGCAGAAGUCAUCCUUGCAUUUGCAGACAUUUGCACUCAUGAGGUAUAUGAAGUGUGACAUUACUAUGUUACUAUUGUGGUUUCUACCUGCGAGGUGUGGUAACUAGGUGUGUUGUACAUUGUAUUCGUGCUGCACCUUCGUAAUACGAAGGUUGUGAAAUCAAGUGGUGGUAAAACAAUGUUCUUAUGUGGUUAAACAGUUUGUUAUUAUUUUACUUGCUGAGAUGUGUCAUCUCACUCUUGCAUUACUCAAUACAGGUACUUGAUACAUGUUGGGAAUGAGGGGAGUAGCAGCACGUCCACUUUCACUCUCAUAAUAACGCUGCCCAUGCGCAGCCAUGAUUUAAUUAGAAACUUGUUGUCAAAGGAUGUUUGUUUUUUUACUAGUCGUGCGUAUUGGUUAAUUCAGUUCAUGUCGUAUGUUUAACUUCCCUUUGCUAGCCGUUUAAUAAUACUUAGAAUGUUUUUUGUCAUGAUAUAUGUUUAUACACUGUUGCCCCCUCCUUUAUGCUAUUUUGCAAAGGAGAUGCUGUCGAAAUUUUAUAUACAGAUGUCAGAAGUGUAGUUCAGUAGCAUUCCGGGGUGUUUGUGGAUCCCGGGGUGUUACAGCAACAAAUUACAUAAAUGCAUAAGUAACAUGAUCAAAGGCAUAGAACACAUGUAUGCUAUAGAUCAAUGCAAGUUACGUGAAUCUAAGACAUUUAGUUCACUACGCAACCUGCAAAAGGUUUUCUCAUCCAACGGCUUGGUAAAGAUAUCGGCUAACUGGUUCUCGGUGCUAAUAUGGAACACCUCGAUAUCUCCCUUUUGCUGGUGGUCUCUCAGAAAGUGAUGCUGGAUGUCUAUGUGCUUAGUGCGGCUGUGUUCAACAGGAUUAUCCGCCAUGCGGAUUGCACUCUCAUUGUCACAUAGGAGUGGGACUUUGCUCAAAUUGUAGCCAAAGUCCCGGAGGGUUUGCCUCAUCCAAAGUAGUUGCGCGCAACACUGUCCUGCGGCAACAUACUCGGCCUCAACGGUGGAUAGGGCAACGGAGGUUUGUUUCUUUGAGCUCCAAGACACCAGGGACCUUCCUAAGAAUUGGCACAUCCCUGAUUUACUCUUCCUAUCAACCUUGCAUCCAGCAUAAUCGGAGUCUGAAUAUCCAAUCAAGUCAAAGGUAGACCCCUUUGGAUACCAGAUCCCGAAGCAAGGCGUAGAAACUAAAUAUCUAAGAACCCGCUUAACGGCCACAAGGUGACAUUCCCUUGGGUCAGAUUGAUAUCUAGCACACAUGCAUACGCUAAGCAUAAUAUCCGGUCUACUAGCACAUAAAUAAAGUAAUGACCCUAUCAUAGACCGGUAUGCCUUUUGAUCAACAGACUUACCUCCUUUGUUGAGGUCGACAUGCCCGUCAGUUCCCAUCGGUGUCUUUGCGGGCUUGGCGUCCUUCAUCCCAAACCGCUUGAGAAGAUCUUGAGUGUACUUCGUUUGGGAGAUGAAGGUGUCGUCCUUGAGUUGCUUCACUUAGAACCCAAGGAAGUAGUUCAACUCGCCCAUCAUCGACAUCUCAAACUUUUGAGUCAUCACCCUGCUAAACUCCUCACAAGACUUUUGAUUAGUAGAACCAAAUAUUAUAUCAUCGACAUAAAUUUGGCACACAAAAAGGUCACCAUCACAAGUCUUAGUGAAAAGAGUGGGAUUGGCUUUGCCAACCUUGAAAGCAUUAGCAAUUAAGAAAUCUCUAAGGCAUUCAUACCAUGCUCUUAGGGCUUGCUUAAGUCCAUAGAGUGCCUUAGAGAGCUUAAACACAUGGUCGGGGUACCUGUCAUCCUCAAAGCCAGGGGGUUGUUCCACGUACACCUCCUCCUUUAUUGGCCCGUUGAGGAAAGCGCUCUUCACAUCCAUUUGAAACAACCUAAAAGAGUGGUGAGCGGCAUAGGCUAAUAAUAUUCUAAUAGACUCUAGUCUCGCCACAGGAGCAAAAGUCUCCUCGAAAUCCAAACCUGCGACUUGGGCAUAACCUUUUGCCACAAGUCUAGCUUUGUUUCUUGUCACCACUCUGUGCUCGUCUUGCUUGUUGCGGAACACCCACUUGGUUCCCACAAUGUUUUGCUUUGGACGUGGCACCAGGCUCCAAACUUCAUUCCUCUUAAAGUUGUUGAGCUCUUCCUGCAUGGCCAACACCCAGUUCGGAUCUUGCAAGGCCUCUUCUACCUUGAAAGGCUCAAUAGAAGAGACAAACGAGUAAUGCUCACAAAAGUUAGCUAAUCUUGAGCGAGUAGUUACUCCCUUGCUUAUGUCACCCAGAAUCUGGUCAACAGGAUGAUUUCUUUGAAUCGUUGCUUGGACUUGAGUUGGAGGGUCUCGUGGUGCUUCUUCCUCCAUAACUUGUUCUUCUUGUGCUCCCCCUUGAUCACACGCCUCUUCUUGAUGAACCUGUCCAUCGUCUUGGGUUGGGGGAUACACCAACGUCGAGGAAGAUGGUUGGUCUUGCUCCUGUUGUUCCUGUGGUCGCACCUCUCCUAUCGCCAUCGUGCGUAUUGCGGCCGUCGGAACAUCAUCCUCAUCUAUGUCAUCAAGAUCAACUUGCUCUCUUGGAGAGCCAUUAGUCUCAUCAAAUACAACGUUGCUAGAGACUUCAACCAAACCCGAUGAUUUGUUGAAGACCCUAUAUGUCGGUGUUUUGGGUCCGACUGCACACCUGGGGUUGCCCCUCAAGGUGUUUUUAGGAGUAGGACGGUGUUACCGACUGUAGCUCGAUGGUUCGUGCAGGACGCACGAGAAACUGCGAACAAUGAUGUACAGGUUCGGGCCGCUUAGAGAUGCAUAACACCCUACGUCCUGGCGGGAGUGUUUUAUGUGGCGGAUUACAAGGGAAUUCUCUAGUGCAAGGGACGUAGAGAGCUGGGGUAGAUGGCCGGGUAAUGAGAUCGAUCGUUCUGAAGGGGUGCCCCCUAGGCCUUAUAUAUUCGACCGUGGGGCAAUACAUGCAGAUAUGAUAACAAUGUGCACCUAAGAAAUAGUGAACUGAUUGAGUCUAUCUUCCUAUAGUUCCGCCGACUCAUCCUCGCUUGGUUCCGUUGUACGGGGUUCCAGCGCGGGAAGGUCGGGUCUUUGUUGUGAUUACUCGCUCGAAGUCAUUGGGCCGUCUGGGCUCGCAUCGAUCCAGCCUUGUGUCAAUCUGCUUCAUUGGUCAUUCCUCCCCAGGCCCACGAAGGGAUGACCUUACGAUUUAUUGGGCCCUUGGGCCUUUCGUGAGGUCUUUUAUCCUUCCAGUGGACCCGGAAGAUAUCUGUCCCCCACAAGCCCCCGAUCUUUGGGUUGGUUUUGAAAUAAUCGGCCCGAAGAUCCUAGGUCCAGCUUGCAGUCUUUGUUUGUAACAGCAAAUGCUUUUCUGGGUAAUCCGAUAAAAACGAUUCCUUACUGUCUCCUUCUGCUUUUAUCACUCAAAAAUUGGUGUUCUGCCCCAGACUCGCGCUUCGGAGGUCAGCAUUUCGUACUGUAGGACCUUGAACUUCAUUGGGUGCACCCAAUGGGUGUAGCCCCCGAGCUUCGAGUGGAUUUUUGAAAAUAAUCCACUCGAAGGUCUUCACUUCGAGUAUUAUUAGAAAUCAUUUUUAUUCUCCACUUGUACUUUGUUGGAGGUCAGCCUUGUUUUGAUCUUGCCCUAUGCUUUAGAGGUCAGCAUUGUCUUGAUUUGAGAUGACGAUUCAUUGGGUGCACCGAAGGUGCACCCAAUGGGUGUAGCCCCGAGCUUCGAGUGGAUUUUUGAAAAUAAUCCACUCGAAGGUCUUCAUUUCGUGCCCUUUUGCUGAGAAUCAUCCUCUCUUUUUGCCGAAUGCCUUAGAGGUCGGCAUUAUGUCCUUGAUAUUAUGCUUUAGAGGUCAGCGUGUAUUUUGUCUUUGAGGCCGAGUUCAUGAUCUGCCCAUAUCUUGCUAGGUGGUGCAAUUUAUUUGAUCUGCAACUGAUUGGACGUACGAUAGACGUCCCCUGGCUAGUCUUCAUGUCGCUUCUGUCGAUCAGGCUUGUACUUCACCGGCUAUGUUUGGUUUUCCUUUAAUCCUUGCUGAUAUCUCCCUUUUGUCUUGAGGUAUUCAUUGCACGCACUACUCGGAUGUGACAGUUUUGAAAAAAUAUACUGAUAACUCCUGGGCGUCCCCCCCAAUGGGUGUAGGCAAGGGACGGCUUGGUACGCUGAGUAUUUAGCAAACUGCUUCUGAGUAGUAACUUGAUGUGACCGCGGGUGUAAUCAUAUCACCCGCGCAGUUGACUGGAGACCCAAUGGGUGUUGUGUUGCGUGAAACAGCGUCAGCCGCCUGACGUGUCUUCAGACGGUUUGAAUUGCAUAUUGAAUUUUUGCGACUGUUCAGUGACCGUGGUAGGAGGUGAACAGUUGCCUUCUUCUUCUUCUAUAAAUAGUGUUCUUGUUUCCCCGGUAUUUUCACAUCUCUUACUGCUCUCUGCUGUUUGUUCUCUUCUUCUUCCUUCCUCUCCACUAUGGGCAAGAGCAAGAAAGGUAGCGAUUCUUCACACCAUUCUGGCGACAAACGCAAGCGCGAGCCAACUCCUCCCUCGGAGGACUUCAGCGACUCAGAGUACUCGGAGGAGGAGUUCUCCUCCGAGUCUGAGGGAUCUCCGGCUCCGGUCUCUCCCCCGGCGUCGUCUGAUGAUUCAGACGACUCUCAGGGGAUUGUCGCGGAGGUCUGGACCUACAUCCGGGCCGUCGAGCGCGCCGGGCUCGAGGGCUCGGAUGAGUCGGAGUACUUCUCGGACGAGGAGGACUCCUCGGACUUGUCUGAGGAGGGCAGCGGCGGCGAUGGUGGUGAUGACGACGACGACGGAGGCGACGAUGGCGGCAGCAAGGGCAGCAACAAGGCCAGUGGCUAGAUGCCACUGGUUUUUUAAAUGUUAGUAUAGAUUAGAAGUAGUAUAAUGAAAUAAUGUAGUAGUAGUUAGUAGUAUAGAGUAGUGAAGUGUAAUGUAGUAGUAGUAGGGAAAGCAUCAACUCAUAACGAGUUGAUUUGUAAGUUCCGUAGCUUCCCUUUAUAAUGAAAAGUGAUUUCGCUCCACCUCUGUAUGUGUUAUGCUGCUUUUUCGCUGUACGCCAAUCAUAUCAACGCGCGAGGAGUAUCUGUGAUCAUCAAAUCACAUUUAUGAUUGCCUUAUUUGUAAUGAUAGCGCUUUGGUGGUUGCGGCCGAGUCUUCCGAAAUCCCAUCGUCGCUUUAGGAAUGACGGUCGAGUUAUGGUGGGCCUUGUCGGUGUUUUUAGAGGUAAUCAGUCGAGUGAUUAAUGGCAACAUCGGCGCUUUAGAGGUAACAGCCGAGUGACUUAUUGUGAUGUCGGUGUUUUAGAGGUAACAACCGAGUGAUUAAUGGGCCGCGUCGGCUGUUUUGGAAAUAACAGCCGCGGGAUGACAUGGCAUGCCAGCUUUUUUAGUAAUAACAGCUGAGUGAUGACAUGGCAGGCCAGCAUUUUCUAAAAAUAACUGUCGGGUGAUGACUGGGUGCUCUCUGGAAACGGUAUCUGGCCCAGGAAAACCCCAUAUGUACUGCAUUGUUGCGCGCCUCUGCUUUCUAUGCCCUAGUUCUUGCUUUUCUGCAUCCAAGCUUUCUUUGUGCCCGUGCGAUACUGCUUCCAUUCCGCUUGCCAGCAAGAUAGAGAUGGCGCCCAAGCGGAAAGCAUCAAGUUCAUCCGAUGCUGUUAUUCCCCCCAUCGAUCCCAACAGCCAGUUGCCUUUCGCAGGUAACCAUAUGUCUCUUGUUUUUGAGUCUGAUCUUCUCCAUCUCGUGUCCAUCGGAGUUCUUCCUCUGAAGGAGCUCUGUUCUUGGCGGAUUUGUCGUGGGGUUACUGUUCCAACAGAGGACACCCACAAAUCCGUUGUAUAUGUUCCAUCUCGUGUUGAUGUGCUUGAUGCCGGGUUGGGGUCAUCCCGGGCAGCGUCCCGUGCCUCAUCGACCUUGGAGCACGGUCUUGAGGGUCAGGAAGCUGACUUGGAUUGUCCUGCUCCCAUGGAAGUGACUGAGGGACCUUCAGCCUUAGAGGUGGCUGCUGCAGAGAACUCGGCCCUCAAGGAUGGUGUUGGCACUCACCCAGCUCCCGAGGGUGUUGCCGGGGAUGAUUCGGCCCGGGUGGGUAGCGCAAGCUGCGAGCCAGCCCCCGAGGGUGUUGCCGGAGACGAUCCGGCUCGAAUGGGUAGCGCAAACUAUGACCCAGCCCCCGAGGGUGUCCGAGCGGGGUAUCCCUCUUGUACUUCCAUGGAUGUUCACGUAGGGUCUCCUCCACACUCUGGUUGCAUGGUGGUAGCCCAAGCCUUUGGUCAAGGAGUCGCUUUAGAGGCUAGCGUACCUGACGACAAAGUUUUGGGCUCUGCUGAUGACACUGAAUUGGUUCCUGCUGGUUCAUUGCAAGUUGCUCCGGGUGGUGAUCCAUCGCCGAGCCAUCAAUUGAUCUCUCAUGAUUUGGGGGUCCCCUCAUUCUUCUCCAACCUCCAGGUACUAUGGUCUAUUCUAGUCUGACUUUUACACCGGAUGAACUGCUGUCAUUAUACUCAUUUGUUCUCAAUAUUAGGCAUUGAUGGAUGGGAUGGCUAGUCAGCUGAAGUUGCAGGGUGCUUCUGUUCCAGAAAGAGCUUCGUCUCUAGCACGUUGGAAUCCGGUGCUGCUUCAACAGCGUGUUUCUGAUUUAGAGGCGGUGAAUGCUGGUUAGUGCUUUUCUGCUUCCUUUUGGCUACCUUAUUGAACUGCUUCUUACUUUAACCCUUUUGCUUGACUGUUUCUCGCUAGAUAUGGCUCGGCAGUAUUCUGUUCUUGAAGAGAAACAUUCUCAAAGUCAGGCUGAACUGGUCCGGCGGUGCUCUGAUUUUGAGGAAAAGAAUUCCCAAAGCCAGACUGAGCUGGCCCAGGUUUCUGCUGCUCUGAAUGAUGCUAACAUGCUGAACUCUACUCUUCGCGCUCAGCUCGAUUCUGAAAAGGUGACCUAUGAAUCUGGGCUUUGUUUUGCCAUGUUCUUGUUGCUUGCUUGAUGUUUGAAAAAGCUAAUUCUUGUUUGCAGGAAGAAAAACGUGCCCUUGUUACUUCUCGUGACAAUCUUGACAAGCUAUAUCGUGACUCUAGCAACUCGUUGACCAUCUUGGAGAGGAGUCAUCGCUUCACCAUGGAGAAGUUAGACAAUCAUCGUUAUAAGUUGCAGGAAUCCUUGGACGACGUGAUUCGCCUCAGGCAGUCGAUAUCGGCUAAAGAUGUUGUUAUCAAGGAACUACGUGCUUCCAAGAAGUCCAUCGCCCAGGAGCUAGAGACCGCUCAGCUGGCUGUCAAGGUUGCUGAAGGAACUUCCGCUACUCUGAGGGCCCAGCGUGACAGAGCUAUGGAUAAAGCCAUUCGCGCAGGGCGGAUCCUGAUGAGGAGACCUGGUGUGAUUGUUCCCGACGACAUAAGGGCUGAUGUGAACGCUGCUCCUGAUUCCUCAAGUCGCCCUUCUUCGUCGGUUGCUCCUGAGAAGAAUGUUGCAAAAUAGAAAAACAUUGUGUGCUUUGAGCGCGCGGUUAACGUGUUCGGAUAUUUUGUUAGAGGACACCUGCUUAAUAUUGAAUGCUACUAUUAUUCUCCUAUUGUUUAGAAUUCAACAGUAUCUAAAUUUGUAGAAAUAAAAUGCUGCGUGAUGAUUUUGAGACUUCCUCGUGGGACAUAGAGGCUGCCCCUAGAUGAGUAACUGUAAGCGUGUGGCACCGUCUUAAGUCCUUGCCGACUUAAACCGAUUGCUCUUGUUAGUAGGGCAUAAUGGUCACCCCGAGUUGAGUAAGCGCGAGCAUGUUGCACCGUCUUAAGUCGUUGCCGACUUAAGCCGAUUGCUCCGUUAGCAGGGCAUAGUGGUCACCCCGAGUUGAGUAAGCGCGAGCAUGUUGCACCGUCUUAAGUCGUUGCCGACUUAAGCCGAUUGCUCCGUUAGCAGGGCAUAGUGGUCACCCCGAGUUAAGUAAGCGCGAGCAUGUUGCACCGUCUUAAGUCGUUGCCGACUUAAGCCGAUUGCUCCGUUAGCAGGGCAUAGUGGUCACCCCGAGUUAAGUAAGCGCGAGCAUGUUGCACCGUCUUAAGUCGUUACCGACUUAAGUCGAUUGCUCCGUUAGCAGGGCAUAGUGGUCACCCCGAGUUAAGUAAGCGCGAGCAUGUUGCACCGUCUUAAGUCAUUGCCGACUUAAGCCGAUUGCUCCAUUAGCAGGGCAUAGUGGUCACCCCGAGUUAAGUAGGCGUGAGCAUGUUGCACCGUCUUAAGUCGUUAACGACUUAAGCCGAUUGCUCCGUUAGCAGGGCAUAGUGGUCACCCCAAGUUAAGUAAGAAUGCAGGUCGACCAUGAACAAUCUGAGUAUUCUUGAAGCCUUUUUAUUGAUGAUAUAUUUCCCAGUUUACAGAGUACAUUGUCGUCCCGAUAGCUUUUGAAAUACAGCUAGGGGUAAAAUUUCCUGAGGUGUUCUAUAUUCCAUGAGUUCCCAAUUUCCGUGCCGUCCAUCUGAGUGAGACAAUAUGAUCCCGGCCGAGUGACUUCUGCUACUAUGAAUGGUCCUUCCCAUAGGGGUGACAACUUGUGUCGUCCCUCCCCCGUUAGAAUUCGGCAGAGGACGAGAUCUCCCACUGCAAAGGAUCGACGUCGCAUGGCCUUAUCGUGAUAGCGUCUCAGAGUUUGUUGGUAUCGUGUUGAUUGAAUUACCGUGUUCAACCGUUCUUCUUCGAGUAUAUCAACAUCCUCCAGCCUAGUAGCCUCGGCUUCUGCUAUGCUUUCAAAGACCAACCUUGGCGCCCCAAACUUGAGGUCAGCAGGUAGUACUGCCUCUGACCCGUAGACCAUGAAGAAAGGAGUAUUUCCAUGCAGAGCUCGACUAGGUUGAGUUCUUAGGCUCCAAACGACGUAGGGCAACUCCCUUAUCCACUUUCCUGCGAACUUCUCAUUUUUAUCGAAGACUUUUUUCUGAGUGCCUCCAAUAUCAUCCCGUUAGCUCUUUCAACCCGCCCGUUGGCUCUUGGGUGUGCCACCGAAGCAUAUUUGAUCUGAAUGCUCUUUUGUUCGCAGAAAUCAAAUAACUCUGAACUUGUGAAGUUGGAUCCUAGGUCGGUUAUGAUACUAUUUGGCAUCCCGAAUCUGAAUAUUAUGUCUUGUAUGAAUUCCACGGCCUUAGCUGAAGUUAAAGAAGCAAUGGGUUUGAACUCUAUCCAUUUAGUGAAUUUGUCGAUUGCUACCAGUAUAUGAGUGUAUCCUCCUUGAGCUUUCUUGAAAGGCCCAAUCAUAUCCAUUCCACAGCAUGCGAACGACCAAGUUAUUGGUAUGGUCUACAAUUGCUGCGCUCGUAGAUGUUGUUGUCUUGACAAGUACUGGCAGGCUUCGCACCUCUGAACUAGCUCGACUGCAUCACUUUUUGUUGUUGGCCAGUAGAAUCCCGACCUGAAGACUUUCCCGACUAACGUCUUGGAUGCUGCGUGUAUUCCAAAUUGCCCAGCAUGAACCUCAUCUAGAAGUUGCUUCCCAGUAGAUGAGAGAAUGCAUUUCAUGAGGACGCCCGAUGCACCCCUUCUGUAUAGUGUUUCCGCAAUGAGUGUGUAGUGAGCUGACUGCCUAGCGAUGUGCUCGGCUGCAUUUUUGUCAUCUGGUUCCUCUUCAUUCUUUAUAUAUCUGAUGAUUGGCUUCCUCCAGUCGUCGAAAUCUGACUCUAGCUGUUUCAAGGUAUUACAUUCUUUUGCUUGAUCCAGUGAGAUGCUUGGGUGUGGUAUUUCUUGUACGAAGACUCCAGGUGGGACCUGAGUUCGACUGGAUCCUAGCUUGGACAAUACAUCAGCUGUCGUGUUUCGAUCCCUCUCUACAUGGUGAAAUUCCAGACCUUCAAAUUUAUCUUCUAGUUUCCAGACGGCGGUGCAGUAUUUUCCCAUUGAAUCGCUCGAACAGUCCCAUUCUUUGUUUAUCUGGCUUAUGACUACCAGAGAAUCUCCAUAUACCAUCAGUCUCUUGAUGCCUAGUGAUAUAGCAAUGUUCAGUCCAUGAAUCAGAGCUUCAUAUUCGGCUGCAUUGUUAGAGGCUGGAAAUAACAACUGGAGGGCAUAUCUGAGGUGCUCGCCUCCAGGUGCGGUAAAGAGGAUCCCCGCGCCUGCUCCCUACAGCUUUAACGAGCCAUCAAAAUACAUUCGCCAUACUUCUGCAGUUUCUGGGUUAUCUGGUACUUGUUGUUCAGUCUAUUCUGAUACGAAAUCAACCAAUGCUUGAGUUUUGAUGGCAGUGCGAGGUCGAAAUUCAAUGUCAUGAGAUCCCAGCUUGCAGGCCCACUUGGCUAUUCUGCCAAUGGCUUCCUUGUUAUGAAGAAUAUCCCCUAUCGGAAAACCAGUGACUACUAUGACUUUGUGGUCGUCAAAGUAGUGACGUAGUUUGCGUGUAGUUAGAAGUACUGCAUAUAAUAGCUUCUGAACUUGAGGAUAUUUUUUCUUCGAGGGACCCAAAACUUCACUGAUGAAAUAAAUAGGAUGUUGCACUGGGUAGGCAUGUCCUUCCUCUGCUCGCUCAACUACCAACGCGAUGCUCACCACGUGAGUCGUGCAAGAGAUAUAUAGCAGCAAAUCUUCAGCUGGUUGAGUCGACGUGGCCCGUCGUGGCGGUUUCAGCACUGGUGGUGUUGGUAAGAACUUUUUUAAUGCGUCUAGGGCUUCCUGUGCUUCUGAAGUCCACUAAAACUUGUCCACCUUCUUGAGUAACUUAUAAAAUGGUAAGCCUUUUUCUCCCAGCCUAGAUAUGAAUCUGCUUAGGGCUGCCAUACACCCGGUAAGUCUUUGAACCUUCUUUUGUGAUCGCGGUGCCUCCAUCUUCAUGAUGGCUUCGAUCUUCUCUGGAUUAGUUUCAAUUCCCCAGUGGCUGACAAUAAACCCGAGUAACUUUCCUGCUGGUACCCCGAAGACACAUUUUUCGGGAUUAAGCUUCCAUCGAUACCGCCGUAGACUGUUGAAAACCAGCUGUAGAUCUUCAAUGAAAUUUUCUGUUUUGAUUACCAUAUCAUCCACAUAAGCUUCCACACGCUUGCCCCAGUGAUCGGCUAAGCAUGUUUGAAUGGCUCUCUAAUAAGUCGCUCCAGCGUUUUUGAGGCCGAACGGCAUGGAGGUAUAGCAGAAAGCACCGAAUGGAGUGAUGAACGCUAUUUUUUCCUCGUCUUCUUUUGCCAAGCUAAUCUGAUGAUACCUGGAGUAGCAAUCCAAGAAAGACAGCACAGAACAUCCAGCGGUGGAAUCUACCACCUGAUCUAUCCUAGGGAGCCCGAAGGGAUCCUUUGGACAGUGUUUGUUGAGAUCUGUAUAGUCGACGCACAUGCGCCAAUCCACUUUAUUCUUUUUGAGUACAAGAACAGGGUUGGCUAACCACUCGGGAUGUAACACUUCUCUAAUAAAUCUAGCCGCGACCAAGCGAGUCAGCUCGGCGCGAAUGGCCUCUCUCUUGUCGGGCGUGAAACGACGUAAUUUUUGCCGAAUCGGCCUCGCCUGGGGAUAGACUUUCAAUUUGUGCUCGGCCAGUUCUCUCGGGACUCCCGGCAUAUCCGCUGGUUGCCAUGCGAAUACGUCUCGGUUAUCUUGCAGGAACUAGACGAGCGUGCUUUCCUAUUUGUCCUCCAGGCUGGAACUGAUGAUGGCGGUCUUGCGUUCAUCAGCGAACCCGAGGUUGAUCCUUUUGGUUUCUUCAGUCGGCCGCAUAGAGGUUGCAGCUUGAGCUUCAUUUGCAGGUACUGCAAGGUCUUCCUCAGGCUUAAAGUUUGCCUGUACCGAAGAAGUUGUCGAUGGUUUGGUGGAGAGGGCCGCCUGGAUGGCCACUCGAAAACAUUCUGCGGCGCCUUGGAAGUCAGCGCGCACAGUUAUGAUUCCUUGCGGCCCUGGCAUCUUCAAUAUCAUGUACGUGUAAUGCAGAAUGGCCAUGAAUUUUGCCAAUCCCGGCCUCCCGAUGAUGGCGUUGUACCCGCAGUCGAAGUUCGCCACUUCGAACCUUAGGAACUCGGUUCUGUAGUUCUCCGGAGUUCCGAAGGUGACUGGCAUGUAGAUGUGGCCCAGCGGGUAUUCUCCUUCAGUCGGCACGAUGCCGAAGAAAGGAGUAUCUGACUCGUGGAGCUCUUUGAGGUGAACUCCCAAGCCUUGGAGUGUUCGGGGGAAGGUGACGUUGAUGCUGCUCCCCCCGUCCACUAAUACCUUCUUCACCCUGCUCUCUCGGAUCACCGGAUCGACGAGGAGCGGGUAUUUGCCUGGGUGGUCAAAGUUGAGCCAUUGAUCUGCCCGAGUGAAGGUGAUCGGGUGCUCCGACCAUCGGUACGGAGCGGGAGGACCGGUGGUCGCCACCAGUAUUUGGCGAUCGUUGAGCUUUUGCUAUCUUCUGUUCUCCUGCGAUCCGUGUUUGCCAAAGAUGACGUUAACCUCUCUAUCAACGCGCGGGAAGGCUCCACCUCCUCCCUCCUCCUGUUGCUGGGGUUGUCGCGGUUCUCCUGGUCCUCCCCACGGCGGAGGAGGAGGUAGAGGUUGGAAGGGUCGGUCGUGCCCGACGGAGUGCUUGAAGUCUCUGCAGUUCCGAAGGGUGUGGCGCAUAUCCUUGUGGUACGGGCAUUGGGCGUCGAGGAUGUUGUCCAGCGUGCGUUCGCCUCCACGAGGUCCUCCCCAGGCGCGAGAGGCGGGUGGUCCGGCGGCGUGAAGUUCUUCGCGAGGCCUCUUCUCCCAGCGUUUGUCGGGUUGCUGGUUUGUAUCGCGUCGUGGUGCUGCUGGCGCAGGCUUUGCUCCUCCGAUGAGGUCCUGAGCUCGCUCGUCGGCGGUGAUGUAGAGGUCGGCUUCCCGGAACAGUUGCUCGGAGGUAGUCGGCGCCUUCUGUAAUAUGGCUCGGACGAAGACCGAGUCGUUGGAUCCUCUGUAGAAGUCCUCGAUCACGGCCGCCUCCGUGACCUCAGGGAUACGAUUUCUCAUGGUCUGGAACCUUUUGAGGUACGACCGGAGAGUUUCGUCCCCACGGCGCUUGAUGGAUUUGAGGUCCCAUGGUUGCGUUGGUUUGUCGGAGAGGGACUGAAAGUUGGCGGUGAAGCGUCGACUGAACUCGCUCCAGUCGUCGAUGCAGUGUCGGGGUAGAUGUCGCAGCCAUUGCAGCACGUCUUGCCCGAGGACAAUGGGUAAGUAUGCGGUCAUCAUGUCCUCGGACGCCCCAGCAGCUCGAGCAGCGGUGGUGUAGACGGCCAGCCAGCCUCCUGGAUCGUGCUUAGGUUCAUAUUUGUCGACAUUGGAUACCUUGAAGUUAGGGGGCCAUUGAAUGUCCCUAAGUCAUGGAGUAAGUGCAGACACUCCACACGUGUCUUCAUGUCGUCGGGGAUGAUGUCUGUCUCGGGGAGGGGAGUGGUUGUCGUGGUGCCUCGACCGUCCCCGGGUGGUACCGCCAGUCGAGGCCGUCGCCGACUCAGUUCUAGUGGCCUGACUCCGGGCUAGGAUGCUGUGGUCCCUGUCGUACUCUUCCUGGCGGCGGAUCUCGUUCUCAUGUCGCCGUUCACGCGAGGCAUUGAUGGAGCUCCGUGCGUCCCGGCGACUGUUGAUGGCGUGUCGUAGGUCGUUCGGCGGGUGAGCGAGAGGUAGAAGAUGGUUGGCUGCUUGAGUGAACAAUCGUCGAUAGCCCUCGGCGUCGGGAGUUCGAGGGAGCCCAUCAGCUAUCCGAGCCAGUACCCCUCCGACUUCACUCGGCGUGUUCAUGGUUCGGGCGAAGUCGGGGUUCAGGUUGCGCCCGAAGAGAGGAUUUUCCCGACGUUGCCUUGCUUCCUGCUCGGCUUGUUCCUGAGCUCGUCGGCGAUCACGCCGUCGGGAAUUCCUUCGUUCCUUGAAGACACGUUCCUCCGGAGUCUCUCCUAUCUCUGAGACCUCGUCUUGAGAUACGGGCUGCUCCAGGUCCCGCUCUCCGGCCUCGUGAUGUCGCCGGAUAUUUUGGCGUCGGUUCCUCCGUCGGCGGGAUUCCCGCUGAGGAGGUUCCUCUCCAGGUGCAGUCGGCUCGUCGUCGGAGACGGGGGGCGACUCCACUCUCCCGAUGAAGAGGACGUCGGGGUAGAAUGGUGCGGCUAUCGUGGCGAUCUUCUUUCCGUUCUCCUUUGAGGGCGGAGGCACAGAAAGAACAACUUGCUUCCCCCCGAUUUUAUUUGUUUCUUUCUUCCUUGUGAUUUGUGUCCAUUCUUUCAUCGGAGAGGUAGACAGUGGAGUUCUCCGGGUCAGCGGGCCCUCGGCUCCUGGCUUGCUGAAGGCGAUCUUUUUUCGGAGCGCUGGAGGUUGCGCUUUUCCCUGCCUUACUCCGAUAUUUUCGGAGGUUGCUGGAGGAGACUUCUUCCUUGGCGGAUCUGCGAUGCGAUGUAGAGUUCCUUCCUCAUCUGCUACGGAUGAGAUAGUUCCGAAGCAUAACACGGAUCUGGGGUGGAGGGUGAUCAUGCGCUGGAAGGUGACGGCCAUUGAGCUAGCUUAGAUCGGCGACACACCCCCUACCUGGCGCGCCAGCUGUCAGUGUUUUGGGUCCGACCGCACACCUGGGGUUGCCCCUCAAGGUGUUUUUUAGGAGUAGGAUGGUGUUACCGACUGUAGCUCAAUGGUUCGUGCAGGACGCAUGAGAAACUGCGAACAAUGAUGUACAGGUUCGGGCCGCUUAGAGAUGCGUAACACCCUACGUCCUGGCGGGAGUGUUUUAUGUGGCGGAUUACAAGGGAAUUCUCUAGUGCAAGGGACAUAGAGAGCUGGGGUAGAUGGCCGGAUAAUGAGAUCGAUCGUUUUGAAGGGGUGCCCCUAGGCCUUAUAUAUUCGACCAUGGGGCAAUACAUGCAGAUAUGAUAACAAUGUGCACCUAAGAAAUAGUGAACUGAUUGAGUCUAUCUUCCUAUAGUUCCGCUGACUCAUCCUCGCUUGGUUCCAUUAUACGGGGUUCCAGCGCAGGAAGGUCGGGUCUCUGUUGUGAUUACUCGCUCGAAGUCAUUGGGCCGUCUGGGCUCGCAUCGAUCCAGCCUUGUGUCAAUCUGCUUCAUUGGUCAUUCCUCCCCAGGCCCACGAAGGGAUGACCUUACGAUUUAUUGGGCCCUUGGGCCUUUCGUGAGGUCUUUUAUCCUUACAGUGGACCCGGGGGAUAUCUGUCCCCCACACUAUACACCUUUGUAUUUGAGUCAUACCCUAGUAAGAACCCUUCUACAGCUUUGGGAGCAAAUUUGGAAUGUCUACCUUUCUUCACCAAAAUGUAGCAUUUGCUCCCAAAUACACGAAAGUAAGAGACAUUGGAUUUGUUACCGGUAAGGAGUUCGUAGGAGGUCUUCUUGUGAGAAGGCGAUGCAGAUAGAGCCGGUUUAUGGCAUGGCAAGCUGUGUUCACAGCUUCCGACCAAAACCGCUCAGGCGUCUUGAAUUCUCCAAGCAUCGUCCUCGCCAUGUCGAUAAGCGUCCUAUUCUUCCUCUCUACCACACCGUUUUGCUAUGGUGUGUAGGGAGCGGAGAACUCGUGCUUGACACCUUCCUCCUCAAGAUACUCCUCUACUUGUAGAUUCUUGAACUCGGACCCGUUGUCGCUUCUUAUCUUUUUCACCUUGAGCUCAAAUUCGUUUUGAGCCCUCCUUAGAAAGCGCUUGAGGGUCCCUUGGGUUUCUGAUUUAUCCUGCAAAAAGAAUACCCAAGUGAAGCGGGAAUAAUCAUCAACAAUUACUAAACCAUACUUACUUCCCUCGAUGCUAAGAUAGGCAACGGGUCCGAAGAGGUCCAUGUGGAGAAGUUCCAGUGGUCUUGAUGUUGUCAUCACAUUCUUGCUGUGAUGAGUGCUUCCCAUCUGUUUCCCUGCCUGACAAGCUGCACAUGGUCUAUCUUUUUCGAAACAUACAUUGGUUAGUCCUAACACAUGUUCUCCCUUUAGAAGUUUAUGAAGGUUCUUCAUCCCAACAUGUGCUAGACGGCGAUGCCACAGCCAGCCCAUGCUAGUCUAAGCUAUUAAGCAUGCAUCUAGAUCGACCUCCUCGUUCGAAAAAUCAACUAAGUAGAGUUUGCCGUCUAAUACACCCUUAAACGCUAAUGAACCAUCACUCCUUCUAGAUACAUCAAUAUUGGUAAAUAGACAAUUAUAACCCAUGUUACAUAAUUGACUCACAGACAAUAAGUUGUACCCGAGCGAUUCAACUAAGAACGCAUUGGAUAUAGAAUGCUCGGAUGUAAUGGCUAUCUUUCCCAAUCCUUUAACCUUGCCUUGGUUCCCAUCUCCAAAGAUGAUCGAAUCCUGGGAAUCCUUGUUCUUGACGUAGGAGGUGAACAUCUUCUUCUCCCUCGUCAUGUGGUUUGUGCAUCUGCUGUCGAUAAUCUAGCUUGAGCCCCCGGAUGCAUAAACCUUCUUCUCCUUGGCCAUGAGGCAAGUGUGGCAUUCGUUGGGGAAGAGCAAAGAUUUGUCGAAGGCCGAGGCUGCCAGUCCUUCAUCGUUGGAGUCGGAUGAAGAGCAGUCUGAAUCCCAUUCUUUGCCAAGGUGCGCCUCGCCCUUCGCCUUCUUGUAAACCUUCUUCUUCUCCCUCUUCCCAUGCUUCUCUUGUUCCUGGUCAUUAUCAUUAUCGGGGCAUUGUGCUAUGAAAUGACCAGUCUUACCGCAUUUGAAACAAGAGCGCUUUCCCCUUGCUUUGUUCUUGUUGGGGUACUCCUUGCGUCCUUUCAGUGCGGUCUUGAAGCGCUUGAUGAUUAGGGCCAUCUCAUCUUCGUUUAGCCCGGCAGCCUCAACUUGUGCCACCUUUCUUAGUAGUACCUCCCUGUUGCUUGUUGCUUUGAGAGCAACAGGUUGAGGCUCAUAGACAAGUAGAGGGCCAUUAAGAGCAUCGUCCACGUAUCGCGCUUCCUUUACCAUUAUACGCCCGCUCACGAAUUUUCCGAGUAUCUCCUCGGGCGUCAUUUUGGUGUACCUGGGAUUUUCACGAAUAAGGUUCACAAGAUGGAGGUCAAUUACCGUGAAUGACCUUAGCAUAGGUCGGACGACGUCGUGGUCCGUCCAUCUUGUGCUUCCAUAGCUUCUAAUCCUGUUGAUGAGGGUCUUGAGCCUAUUGUAGGUUUCCGUUGGCUCCUCUCCCCUGAUCAUCGCAAAUCUUCCCAGCUCGCCUUCCACCAACUCCAUUUUGGUGAUCAUGGUGGCGUCGUUCCCCUCAUGAGAUAUCUUGAGGGUGUCCCAGAUUUGCUUGGCAUUGUCUAAGCCGCUCACCUUGUUGUAUUCAUCCCUGCACAAGGAUGCUAGCAAAACAGUAGUAGCUUGUGCAUUCUUAUGAAUUUGCUCAUUUAUGAAAACGGGAUUGUCAGUACUAUCAAAAUGCAUUCCGUUUUCAAUAAUCUCCCAAAUACUAGGAUGGAGAGAAAAUAAGUGACUACGCAUUUUGUGACUCCAAAAAGAGUAGUCCUCUCCAUCAAAGUGUGGAGGUUUCCCAAGUGAAAUUGAUAGCAAAUGAGCAUUGGAGUUAAAUGGAAUAUGAGAAUAAUCAAACGAAUAGUUUUGAUUCAUCGGUUUCUUCUUUGACAAGGAAUCAUUAUCGUUGUCGUGUGGUGAAGAAGACGAGGCAUCACUGUCGUAGUAGAUGAUCUUCUUGAUGCACCUCUUCUUCUUCCCGUCCUUCUUCUUGUGACUCAAGCCAGAAUCAGUGGGCUUGUCGUCUCUUGGCUCGUUGAAGAGGGACUCCUUCUCCUUGUCGUUGACCACCAUCCCCUUUCCCUUAGGAUCCAUUUCUUCGAGCGGUUAGUCCCUUAAGUGAAGAGAACGGCUCUGAUACCAAUUGAGAGCACCUAGAGGGGGGUGAAUAGGUGAUCCUGUAAAAAUCAAAUACUUAUAGCCACAAAACUUAGUUAUAAGUGUUAGUACGGCUAAGUAGCUUGAAGUGAUCUCUUGCGAACACAAUUAAUCACAGAGAGAGGCAACACAAGAGACACCCGAUUUUUAUCUCGUGGUUCGGCCAAGUAACACUUGCCUACUUCCACGUUGUGGCGUCCCAAUGGACGAGGGUUGCACUCAACCCCUUUCAAGUGAUCCAAUGAUCAACUUGAAUACCACGACUUUUCCUUUAGUUAAUUAUUCCCGUUUGCGAGGAAUCUCCACAAGAUUGGAGUCUCUCGCCCUUACAACAAAGAUCACAAUGAAAGCACGGAGUAAGGUUGGGAUGAGCAAUGCACACAAGACAUAAAUCGCAGCACACCCACGCACACAAGAGAAGACUUGAGAUCAAAUGACAACACAGGGAGUCCUUGACUCGAAUAGAACUCAAAUCUCUAACACAAUGAAACGACUACAUGGGAACAGAGUCUGAAUGCUUUAGGAUGCGCCUAGGGGUCCCUUUUAUAGCCCCAAGGCAGCUAGGAGCCAUUGGAGGCCAACAAGGAAGGCCAUCCUUGCCUUCUGUCGAGUGGCGCACCGGACAGUCCGGUGCGCCACCGGACAGUCACUAUAGACGGUCUGGUGCCGAUCUCCUUCCUUUUCUGGCGCAGACGACCGUUGUAGCUCCAGGCCAGUUGGCGGACCGGACACUAUCCGGUGCACACCGGACACUGUCUGGUGCCCCCUACCGACCGUUGGCGCGGGCCACGCGUCGCCUGCGGAUUGCGCGACCGACCAUUGCGCUGGCGACCGUUGGCUCACCGGACAGUUCGGUGCAUCACCAGACAGUCCGGUGAAUUAUAGCCACGUCGCCUUUUUGCUUUUCCCGAGGACGGCGAGUUCGCCACGGACGACUCACCGGACAGUCCGGUGCACCACCAGACAGUCCGGUGAAUUAUAGCCGUACACCGUCAUCGAGUCCCGAGAGCAGCCUUUUCCACGCGGACCAGCCUGGCGCAUCGGACACUGUCCGGUGCACCACCAGACAGUCCGGUGUGCCAGGCCGAGCUGGACUUCGGCUGCACCCAGCCAAGUCUUUUGCAAUUCUUCUCUUUUCUUCUUUUCUCUGUUUCUAACACUUAGACAAAUAUAUUAGUAUACAAAAACCAACUACUAAGUCUAGAAACAUACCUUCUCUUUGAUUUGCACUUCUCUCUUUAUUUAGCACAUAAGAACUCAAUUAAAUGUGUUGGGCACUUAAUCACCAAAACAUAAUAGAAAUUGCCCAAGGGCACAUUUCCCUUUCAUUUGGUUGCUAAUAAAAUGAGUGGAAGAGCUGGUCGAGAAGAAGUUGUAGCUGUGGUUGAGCUAGUUCUUCAUACCUUACUGGACAAGUGUUGGGAACCAAAUUGAGAAGGCGGACAGUCCGGCCCUGAGGCCGAACGGUCUGCGUCUGUGGGCCAGACGGUCCGCGUGUGCGUAGAGCAGUUUAGGGUUCCGAGUUUUGUGCUACGGUUGUUAGCUAGAUUCACGGAAUUAGCUCGGAAAUUAGUUUGUAAAGGGUCCAGUCCCCCUCCUCUAUAAAUAGAGAGGUAUACGGCCGAUUUGGAAUCAUCAACCGAAUCAAUAACACUUCUAUUUCGCAUUUAUUUCCUGUACAAUUAGGAGUAGUUCUAGUCUAGUUCUAGUUUAGCCUCUCAAUCCCCAAAUUCUCCGCUUCUCUUCGACUCUACGUCGAUUAGAGGAGUCUAGGUCGGUCUGCCCGAGCCUAGACAUCACCUAGGAUCUCUCCUCCCCGACGGGGUCCCUCCCGGGAGCGAGAUCCAGGCGCCGCCGGCGAUCUUCCGCCGCCCCAGCGCACGCGCGGACCGUCCGACCGUCAGGCAGGAAACCCUAGCCUCGCACCAGGCCGAGGACUGUCUAGCCCCUGGUCGCGGACCGUCUGCCCUUGUGCAGAGAGUACCGCCGAUGGUUCGUGUUGAGUGAUUGGCGCCCUAGAAAGGUGUCGACAUACUUUUUGGCGACUCCACUGGGGAAAACACAUCUAGACCCAUCAAAUCGGCCCUCAAUGGCCGGUUCAAAAGAUAGUUAUGAAGUCUCCCCCAGCAACAUUAUAGAGCCGACUUGGGAAACCUUGCCGGCUGACGAACAGCUCUAGUUCGAGGAGCAUAAGGAGCAGCUGAUUCAAGAGGCGAGAGCAAAGUUUCUGGCCAACUUCAAGGUGGACAGGAACAAUAAGGUCGUCCGACAACGGGCGACGGAUCCGGCUUUGCUCCGACCCACACCAGAUAUCCCCAAUGUAAGUAAUACAAACGAGCUACAAUCUCUUAAGAAUUAUGUAGAUGAAUAGCGUGAACAAAUGCAAAAUAUCAUAGGGGGUAUGCAAAACGAUUAUAGGAGACUAGUACGUGCAUUUGAUAAAUCUAGUAUAGCAAAUUUUCCUUCGCAUGAGGUUGAAUUAGGGGGUAACACGCGUAAUACAUCGGCUAUAGGUUGUCACGACCAGUCACAACCCCUUUAUGGGAUGCCGAUGGACACAUACCCUGAGCAGCCGCAAAUCGACAGUAAAUCAGCCGAUUUGCACAUGUCUAGACCGUCCGCCCGUGAGCGCGGACCGUCCGGGCUAGCCACAGCCGGACCCAUUUUUAAUGAGUUACCCAGACAUGCACCCGAGCCACAACAUAUGGCACAUAAUCUAAACUACCCAGUCGGACGGUCCGCAUACAACGACGAACGGUCCGCAUAUAAUCAUGGACGGUCCGGGCCAAUGCCCAGACAGUCCACGCAUGACUUAUUUGAGGAGGAUUGUUACCUGAAUCCUCACCCGUCCCAGCAACACUUCUCAUCACAUUAUGCGAUGCAUCAGCCCAUUAAUACAAAAUCUCGAGCCCAGGAAAGCUUUCCGGCCCCGCCUAGAAGGCCGGAAAGGAACGAUCAAUCCUAUGAGCCAUAUAGGGCAAAUGGCAAUGCACCACAUAGCUCAAACCAAUGGGGGGAAGACAACACGCUAAUAUCCAGCCAGCCCCACCUAUGUUUGACCAGAGAGUCGGUGGUCUCGCACCGUCUGCCAUCGAUAUAGUGAGGCAGGAAAUAGCCGGGGCGUUCCGAGAUAAGCUCGAAGUAAGUAUGGUGCCUGGGGGCAAUCAUAUCGGAAACCUUAUGACAGCCGAUUUGAUCACCACCCAUACCCCCAGGGAACCAGGAUACCCGAAUUCGCAAAAUUUUUGGGUGACCAAGGAAAAAAUAUGCGCGAACACAUAGGCCAGUUCUUAGCACAAUUAGGAGAAUUGGCCGACACAGAAGCAUUUCGCGUGUGUUUAUUUUCAUUGUCUUUAACCGGAACCGCGUUCGCGUGGUAUGCCACUUUACCUCCUAAUUCUAUUUUGUCAUGGGGGAGUUAGAGCAAAAAUUCCAUGAUCACUUUUUUCCGGUGAUUAUGAAUUAGAUCUGGUAGACCUAGUGGCCCUGCGACAAGGGAAGGACGAAUCGGUUAAUGAAUACAUCCGGAGGUUCCAGGAUACAAGAAAAUGAUGCUUCCAAAUACACUUAGCAGAAAAACAACUAGCAGGAUUAGCCUUUAAUGGACUGAGAUAUUAUUUAAAAGAAAGACUAGAAGGCAUCCAAUUUUUCACGCCAGCACAAUUACACCAGAGAGCUUUGGCUUGUGAAAGCCGAAGCAAAGAGACUGCCAAAACCAUUCGUCACAAUGUCCAUAUAGUAGAGUGCGACCAAAGUAGCUCGGACGACGAAUCUAUAGAGGUAUAUGCUGCUGAGAUGGUUUGGCCAAAGCAGGCCAAAUCUUCGGCUUGUUCUUCCUUGCAGUCGGUUCAAAAGAAACGGCAAGAGAAAGUUAAGUUUACAUUUAAUGUUAGUAAAUGUGAUAAAAUAUUUGAUGAAUUACUCAAAAAUGGCAACACUAAAAUAAAUCACACUGUUCCAUCCGCCGACGAGCUAAAACGUCGUGCAUAAUUCAUUUUCUCAUGCCACUAAUGAUUGUAAUGUAUUCCAUCGACAGAUUCAAUCGUCCAUUAACGAAGGACGAUUGAAAUUUCAGGAAAUGUAGGUAGACACGGAGCCCUUUGCGAUGAACAUGAUCGACUUCGAGGGAAAGAGGGUCCUGAUUCGGCCAACACAACCGAUAAGGGCAAAGACAAAGAGAUAAUCAUCGGCAACGCAAGAGAGGCCGAUGGGAAUCAUAAAAUUUCUUGCAGGAAAGUAGUGGCUGAGAAGACUCCCGAUGGAGGGGAGACUCUUAAGGUGACCAUCACGACCUCUAGCGCUGGGUGGCAAGCGCAGACCAAGGUGCAGGAGCAGGAGCCCAUGCUACGCAUCUCGGACAAUCUGCCGCAGAACCCGCAACGACCACGUACCUUCAAACUACGACGACCAGAGAUAGGUACAUGGAAAAUAAAUACAUUUAAAGCAGCUGGUCGGCUGGUCAAAUCUGGCCCGACUUUCGAUCAAUUGUUGUCCAAAUAUGUGAAAAAGAAGGCCGGUCCCAGUGACCGGCCAGCAAAGCGACCCCACUCACCCAUUCAUGAGCAACAUCAGGUAAGGCCGAUUGGACCACCCCACCAAUCGGAAGAAAUGAAAGGUCAUAUUGUACAAUUGAGACCUAACCUACCUACAUGGACACCUCCACCCCCAUAUCCACCUAUGUCAUAUCCAUACUCAUACAUACCCCCACCAUACGUGCCAAAUCAAAUGUGGGGCAUGCCAUCAUAUCCAUUUGGGAUGCCAUAGUACCCCGCCUGGGGGGCACCCCAAACAUCUGUAUUCAACAGGUUGGCACCACCAGUACAAGACCGAUUGAGCACCGCUCAAUCCGGUCACAAGGCACAAGCCUAACAAGAUUGACGGACUACUCGGCCUCAAAGGCCGACCAAUCCGGUAGGGGGCAUAUACCUGCAGCGACCGAAAGAACAACGAAGAAAGAUAUCAUCAAAAUAGGUACUGCAGAUGUUAUCAUACAGGAAAAUAAUGAAGGGCCGAUGAUUUUUGGUGAAUCGGCCAACACAACCAAAAAAGAGUGUAACACCCCAGGUGUUUAUAUUCCGCUCGACAGCGAGUAUGGAUUUAAGCACGUGAUAUCAGUGAAUAAGACGAACACUAAGGUAUAAUUAUUUUCGCCUAUCGCAAUUUUAAUAUCGCUUCUAUUUUGUCUGUCGCGAGUGCGACAUCGUUUUUAUUUUAUCUAUCCGGGCUCUUCCUAAAUUUUCGUGAUGUUCGGAACAUCGUCGUUCCGAAAAUCGGUGCGUCCGGUGAGUAUUUAAAAUUCAUCGCUCGCGCGAAUACGAAAUCGGAAGUUCUAUCUAUUCUUACGAUUUUAUCCCGAGCAAAUUAGUUUGAACUUGACGAUUAAAAUACUCAGUGUAAAAUAAUCCGAAUCGCGCGUUGUCUGAGAAAAAUCGUGCGCGAGGUUAUAAUUCAAUUUAUUCUUCUGCACGCUGUUUCGAAGACAAAAUCGCGUAUACGUUCGCAGAUAUUGUUUCGGCUAAUUUCGGUCGAAUCACGCUGAACAAAUUAUCAGUACCGAAAUCAAUUUAUUUCGGUCUGUCGUUUCUUGCCCGAUCCAAAACUUUGGAUAUAAAUAACGACGCAAACUCAUCUGAUUCUAAAGCAUUCGCUAAAUCAAAACCAUGUCAUCCUUACUGUCUAUAUCGUAUACAUUGCUAAGAAAAUUAGAAUCGAGCUGAGUAUUCAUAACUAAUCUGUUUCCCUGUUCAGACUGUGGAUAAAAUUAUCUGCUCUAAAUUAAAUCAAGCGCAGUCUGUACUAGUUGACGGAUAUCUUUUAUUUUGUCCGGUUUACAUCUCGCGCCGAUUUAAUCAGAGAAUUAAAUUAUCUUUGUGUUCUCGUUUAAAAAAAAUACGGAAAAAUAGGAAAAUAUGUUUUUCUUAAAUACCUAACCCAUCCAAUUCUUAUCCGCAUCACCGCAUGCUGUUCUCAUCUGGUUUCUUCCAUCGCCGCUAUCAGGCUAUUGGCCUUAUCUCGUACAUCUCGUUCUCAAUCCACGAGCUAGCGCUCAGGUUCCUGAAAGAAAAAUCUCACCGCUGCUUGUUCCUCUCGUGAGCUCGGCUUCCAGCUGCCGCAGUCAUCGGUGUUAUCUUCAGCCGCCGAUCUGCUCAAAAAUCCUGCACACACACCGCUUAAGCGCUGAUAAAAAUCAGCAACUGCUUCUCUCCAGCACGUCUCCUUUCUCUUCCUCAGCUCGCUCCCGGCCGGAGCUCCCUACUGCUCUCUCCUGCUCAGCCGCCUGCCAUGGAGCUCGCCGAGCCCUCCCGAGCCGAGGCCCCUGCUCCCAGCGUCGCGAUCCCCAGCUCCUCUGCUCACUCGGCUGCUCGCGCCGUCGCCUUGCUGCUCGCCCGUCUGCGCGGCACUUCGUCUAUGGCCGCUGUCCGCCGUCGAGUUCCUGUACACGCGCCUCUGGUUCGCCACUGCUCUCUGCGCGCGCGCUCUGCUCGGCGUCGCCAUCUCCUCCAUCUCCUCCUGUGCUCCAGCUCGCUGUCGGGACGGUUUUUCCCAUGCCCGGCGAUGCUCCAGUCCUCUGCGCGGCGGUACUCCCUGCCAAGCACCUCCCAGCCGAGGCCCUUGUCUCCCAUGGCCGACCGUCGUGUGCGCCGCUAAUUCUUCCCUGUGUUCGGUCUGGCUCGAUCGCGCUUUGGUGCUAGCGCCGUGGUCUGCAGCUUGUCUGUUCCAGCUCUCCGGUGCCGCACAUUGAGCUCCCUGUCGUCGCUCAGCUUGUCGGCGUGCGUCCUACUCCUUACGCGCCCAGCGCCAUGCACAGUGAAGUCCCUGCACGCAAGCUAUCUGUUAGCCGUGCACUAAGCUCUCUGUUCGUCGUCAUCGCUCGGUCACGCGACAGGCUGACUGCGUGUCGUGUGUUGCACAUCCUAGGUCCUCAUCGUUGUGUCGUGCGUGCAACAGUUUCAGAUCUAUGCCGCCCUCGUCAGUUUUCGUUGUCCUAUCCACGUUAGCACGUGACCGUGGUCGUGUUCGUCGAGUUCACCAACACUAUGUUGUCGAUUCGACUGUCAUCGUUGUUGUAUGCCUCGCGGUGUGCUCGCCGAGUGUUGUCGAUUGUACCUCGGCACUCGUGCUUGCCGUUGGCUCGCGUUUACCGUCGAGUCGUCGAACCCAUCAUUUCUUGCUCGACCCCCCACCUCACCAGCUCGCUCCAGGCUUCAAUUGAAGGUCGUCGUCGAUCCGUGCGUCAUCAAGAAAUUCCAAGAGUCAAGUGAAAACGGAGCCAACAACGUGAUAUUCACCAAGUGCGCGACAAAAAGCUCGGACAUCCUGCGCGACUCAAGUUUGAUUCGUCAGAAUUAUUCAGUCGAGAAAAAGAUCUUCAGCAAUUGAUUACCGAAGAAAAGAAGGCCCCUGGAUGACGUCAAUCGGAAACCGUCGUCGUGCUUGCGACUAUCACGUCAAAUUAGUCAGGGUAAGCAAAUUUAUUAUUCGUGCGAGUGGAUUAAUGAAUGAUCUAAACUAGGUCUAUAAAUAGAAUUGUGGUCACAAUAAAUGUUAGUAAUUUAGCAUGCCAAUAUUGUGAUGAUCGAUUUAGGUAAAUCGGUAAAUCAAGUAAUUAAUAUACAUAGUUUAAAGAGUUAAUAAAAAGCUAGGAAUAAAAAUAGAUCUAGUGUAAUAUGUCAAUUUGGUUAAUGGAUGUAGUCGAUGCCCUGCUGUGAUAUCCAUGAUGCUUAAUGCUUGGUUUUAAGUGUUUCGUCCUUUUUAGCAAAGAUUAUCUAUCUCGUACUAUGUAUACUCGUGCUCAUACAUGUGCAUCAUGCAUCUCAUGAGGUACGAUAAAUAAUCGCGUGAUGCGGAAGACGAGCCAAGUCGACCCCAAGCGCGGGCUAAUCCGCAGGAUGAUGCUGAUGGACGAACUGGAAGAUGGAUAAUCUGAACGAGUGCCAACAUAAAGGAUGAUCAUCAAGUGGACGUCGCCUGACAAACACUAACCUAGUGUUACCCAGGCAAGCCCCAGUGCAUUUGCUACCUCCUUCUGUUUUAAAAUUUUUUAUCACCUUGAAUGAUGCAUUAGGUGAUAGGAGUUGUGUGCUAAACAAUUGAUGCAUUUCCUUCCUUGAAAAUUGAUUACUGUUCCUUGAUACCUGUUUUGAAAAAGAAUUUUAUGAUGCUUAGCCUUGCUUUAGCAAACAAAAAUGUUUUGUUUUAAAACAAAAGUGAUGCUUCAGUGGGUGGAAAGUUUUCAAAAAUAAAACUUGAUGUUGGAUCCAUCAUGGCCGUGAUGGGUUCAACAUCGGAAAAGAUGUACCUCUGCCAGGUACCAAACUUUGGGUUUAAAUUAUAAAGCUGAGACCGGGCGGGUGACUUGCACGAGAAAGGAGUCUCGGUGUAGUGUCUCCGUCUGAGUCGUUUAAGGACCGUACCGAUUGUUGGCCUACUGAUCUAGGACCUUUUUAUCUAGCCACAUACCUCGUCAUGGGUAAGCUUGAACCCGGCUAUUCCAUACAUGAAAAGACAAUCGCGCACUGGGAGUGGAGAGAUGGCGAGAGUGGCACGUACCCUCCUGGCAACAGACCGCCUAAAAGGGGUGGUGUGCUCUCGGGUGCUGCAGACCUGUUCAUGUGGUGGAGGAUCCGUGGGAAUGGUAGACAUGUGCAAUAGAGUUAAGAGAAGCAUAUGUCAUGUGGUUGGAGAUCUCCAGCUGGGUAUUAAUCAAUUCGGAUCGCCGAACUUCUCGGAUAUGAAGACUGGAUCUUUGACCCUCAUCGUAGAUAACAAGCGAAACAAAGGUUGGAUUUUAAAAGAAAGCUAGUGUAGGACAAGUGAAUGCUCUAGAUUAGGCAAAUCUAGAUUCAGGAAAAGUACUUAACUUGUGAUGUAAAAUUUUGGCUUAAGGAUCCACUCAUAGUAAGCUUUUCUGCAAAACAGAGUCUUUGAUUCUUGAUAAGCCAUACCUUGAACCCCUCUAGCCAGCAUACCCUUGAGAGUCUUUUAUUUAGUCGGGUAAGUCUUGCUGAGUAAUUCCAUACUCAGGGUUUUAUUCCCUGUUGUUUUUUAGUUAUAGUUUUGUGCUGCUGAUGAUGGUGUUAAGUGCCGGUGGGCUCGGUCUUCUUAUAAGUCUAAGUAACUUUUCUAUACUUCUUAUUGAGGAUGGUCACUUGAGCUAGCAUAUAUUUCAAACUUAUAAAUAAUUUAUAACAUUUCAAAGUUUAUCACUUUGAACUACUUUUGUAACCACUCCGAUAAAUGUAAUGUAAAUUUGUUGUAACUUGUAAAAUUUGGUAAUAAGAUUUCCGCUGCAAAAUGUUGGUGUGUGAUUUGUGUUUACUUAAUCUUGUGAUCCUGGUUGUAAGUGGUUUAUCCGGGGUCCCUAGGACACUCGGACAGAUCCUGUUAAGUUAUUUGGUGCACAUGCAUAGCCGUCACUACACCAAAAUGCUUAACUUCCUAGAGCCUAAACCGUAGGAAGUUAGAGCUAAACUCUCGGAAGUUAUAUAAACCGUCGGAAGAUAGAUAAAUCCGUCGGAAGUUUGGCUCUCGUAACAUUUUAGUCGGAAGUUACGCUCACUUCCGAGCGCCUCUCGGAAGUUACGCUAACUUCCGAGAGCCAAAGUUCCCUCUCGGAAGUUACGCUCACUUCCGAGAGCCGAGGCAGUUCUCUCGGAAGUUAAAGUUUGACGCUGUUUGUUUUGCGUUGACGCCGUGUGAAGGCCAACUUCCGACCGUUUUGGUUCUCCUCUCGGAAGUUAAAAUGACCAGCACAAAAAAUGCAAUUUAAUUUCCAUUAUUCACCACAUUAACAGCCACAUAUAUCAAAAUAACAGCCACAUAUAUCAAAAUAACAACCACAUAUAUCACAAUGUACAAAAAUGACAGCCACAAUAUACCACAAUAUAUUUAAAAGCCACAAUAUACCACAUGUCACAUAUAAAGUCAUAAAAGUCUGGCCAGAACAGUCCACAAAGUUUCAAGUCUCACAAGACACAAGUUACAUCCACAUAAUAGUCUCACAAGACACAAGUUAAACGCCUUCCGAGAGCCCGUCGGAAGUUAAAUAAACUUCCGAGAGGCUACAGUCACAACCGUCGGAAGUUGAAUAAACUGCCGAGAGGCAACUAGUGCCUUUAGGAAGUUAUUAACUUCCUACGGUUUUUGAUAGAAACCGUCGGAAGUUAUGAAGCCGUAGGAAGUUCAAAGUUUUGGUGUAGUGCGUCUGAGGUCUUUGAGACAAGGGCAGGUGCAUGUGGGCCCAAUAACUUGGGAGGUUCUGCCACAAAGAGGAUACGACUGCCAUCAAAACAGCCCAUCCAAAAUACUCCAUGCCUCGAUGGUGCCCGUCGGGAUUGACACGAUCCCAAAAGCGGAAAUUACAGCGCCUAAGAGCGAAGGAGAGCCAAGAGAAGGAGGCGGAAAAGAUAUUCAAUGACACACAUCUACAGUACCCUCCACCACAAAAGAAAUGGAGACCAAAGGCUGUUGAGGAAAAACAAACGACCACAAAAAUAGAAAAUAAAACAACACUUGUGCAGCACCCUGCAGAUAUGGCAGACAGCCUGGCUAACAAAGCCGGACCAGCUGCAUCAGGCACGGACCAUCUGACCCCUGAGUCUGGAUCGUCCGCACCACAUCAAGAUGCCUCCAACGACGUACCAACAUCAAUGGAAGAGGACGACCUACUGGGAGAAGACCUGGUCGACUAUGAAGCUUCUCCAGAACACCCAGGUAUGGAUGUAAAUGUCAUUACAUUUUCUGCCGAUUGUACUAUUGUCGGCGACGAUGAACCUGUUGUUGCCUAGUUUGAUUUUGGUCCUAAAGAAGCCGCCUUUACUAAACCAAAGGAAUCAGUAAAUCAUUUAAAGCCGCUCUUCGUGCGCGGUCACAUUGAUGGGAUACCGAUUGCUAAAAUGUUGGUAGAUGGAGGGGCGGUUGUAAAUCUAAUGCCUUAUUUAUUAUAUAGAAAAUUAGGUAAACAAGAUGAUGAACUUGUCAAAACCAACAUGACCCUCAGUGGUGUUGGAACUAAUAGUUCGAUCAAAGCCAAGGGAGUCACGUCCGUUGAAUUAACCAUCGGGACUAAGACCCUUGCUGCUGCAUUCUUCGUCGCUGAUGUAGAAGAAAAUUACAGUCUAAUCCUAGGCAGAGAUUGGAUUCAUGCCAACCAAUGUAUACCUUCUACAUUACAUCAAAUGUUAAUACAAUGGGUAGGUGAUGAUAUAGUACAAGUACAUGCUGAUGUGUCGGCCUGUAUCGCUGUGGCCGAUGCCCUGUACUCUGGACUUAUGAGACUGCUACAUGUCUCACAGGAGUAGAUUUUUCUGAUUACCAGUUCAUAAGUAUAGAUAAGAAGGGUUUCAUUCCUGUAAUGCUAGAGCCGAUGGAGAAUCGGCUAAAUCCUAAAGAAAGUUUAAAUGAUGAGUACACACAAAAUUCAUGUGUCCUUAGUCACAAACAGUUCGGCUUCUAAGGCCGGAUGGUUUGGUCUUUCACAAAAUAGUUCGGACUUUAAGACCGAACAUCUACCACAGCGUAAAAACAAUAUUACAGAUGAUCCGACCCCCAAGACCGGAGAGUCCGCCAUCACACAAAGAUCAUCUGAUUCCUCUGUGGGAGACAUGAUAGAGGAAUUCAGAGAUCUCGAUAAACUAGGACAGGGGUUUACAUUGGCCGAUCCUUUGGAGGAGAUCGACAUAGGAGAUGGUAAAACUCCAAGGCCGAGUUUUGUAAACAAGACCCUGGAGACCGUUCCUAGAAAUGAGAUGAUCGGUCUAUUAAAGGAAUAUUCAGAUUGCUUUGCUUGGAAUUACACUGAGAUGCCGGGAUUAAGCCGAGAGAUAGUAGAGCAUCGGCUGCCGAUUAAGUCCGGUUUCAGACCUUUCAAGCAGAGAGCUAGAACAUUUCGUCCAGAUCUUCUCCCACGAAUCAAGGACGAAAUCAACCAGCUGCUAGAAGCUGAUUUUGUUAGACCUUGCAGAUACACAGAAUGGGUCUCCAAUAUUGUGCCGGUGGAGAAGGAGUCAGGUAAGCUUAGAGUAUGCAUUGAUUUUCGCAAUUUAAAUAGAGCAACUCCUAAAGAUGAGUAUCCCAUGCCCAUAGCCGACACAUUAAUCAAUAAUGCAUCAAGGAAUAGAAUUAUUAGCUUUCUUGAUGGUAAUGCCGGAUAUAAUCAUAUUUUCAUGGGCGAAGAAGAUGCGUCUAAAACGGCCUUUAUAUGUCUAGGCUUCAUUGGUUUAUUUGAAUGGGUGGUCAUGACAUUUGGUCUGAAAAAUGCUGGUGCUACUUAUCAGAGGGCUAUGAAUUUGAUCUUCUAUGAGUUGUUGGGAAACACUGUGGAAGUCUACAUUGAUGAUAUUGUAGUCAAAUCGGCUGAGUUUAGUUCUCAUGUAGCUGAUUUGCACAAAGCCUUUGAUAAAAUGUGUCGAUAUGGUUUGAAAAUGAACCCACGUAAAUGUGCUUUUGGAGUGUCGGCUGGUAAGUUUUUAGGAUUUGUCAUCCAUGAACAUGGUAUAGAGAUAGACCCUGACCGAAUCAAGUCUAUUCAGAAUGUGGGACCUCCGACCUGUAAGGUCGAAGUGCAGAAGUUUCUCGGCAAGGUAAAUUAUUUACGAAGGUUUAUUUCUAACCUAGCCGGGAAGAUUGAUGCCUUCACCCCUAUCCUUCGGCUUAAGAAUGAUGCCGAAUUCGCUUGGGGGCAGAGCAGCAGGAAGCAUUUGAUCUCAUUAAAAAAUACUUGUCUUCGGCUCCCGUAUUAAAAGCACCACAAGCAGGAGUACCAUUUCGAUUAUACAUUGCAGCUGAAGAUAAGGUCAUUGGGGCUGUUCUGACACAAGAAACUGAAGGAAAGGAGCAUGUGAUGACAUAUCUAAGUCGGAGGUUGGUGGAUGCUGAAACAAGGUACACUUUUAUUGAGAAGUUAUGCUUAUACUUGUUUUAUGCAUGCACCAAGUGUAGAUGUUAUUUACUGUCUAGUCAUUGCACUGUUUCUGGUCAAGCCGAUGUGAUCAAGUACAUGUUGCAUAACACAAUUAUGAGUGGUAGAAUUGGUAAGUGGGCUUAUGCACUCAUAGAAUAUGACUUGGCCUAUGAACCAUUGAAAUCUCUGAGAGGCCGGGUCGUAGCGGAUUUUAUUGUAGAACAUCGGAUUAAUGAUACUCAUAAACUAGACAUGUCAUACCUCACUUUUACUCCUUGGACUUUAUAUUUUGAUGGAUCGGUUUGCAAUGAAGGGCAAGGAAUCGGCAUAGUACUUGUUUCACCAAGUGAUGUCUCCUUCGACUUCUCUAGCCGAUUGAAAACUUAUUGCACUAACAAUCAAGCCGAAUAUGAGACCAUUUUGUUCGGCUUGGAACUUUUAAAUUGUAUGGGAGCAAAACAUGUGAAGGCAUUUGGUGAUUCUCAGCUGGUCGUCCAACAGGUGUUAGAAGAAUAUCAAUGUUUUGAUGGUACUCUGAAUAGUUACCUUGAAAAAUGUUGGGGCAUAAUUCAUUCUUUUGACGAAUUUAGUAUUCGACAUAUCUCUAGAGUUGAGAAUCAUAGAGCUAACAAUUUGGCACAAGAUGCAUCAGGUUAUCGGAUAAAACGAGGGAGAUUUCACAACACUAAAAAUCUGAUAACCAGUGCAGGGCCAAUUCCCUAGGUCGCGGAUCGUUCGAGCAAAGACUCAGGACCAUCCGGGGUUGCUAGGAAAGUUCUCCUAAUUGAGUCGGCUGAUAAUAAAGUCGAUACAAGUGAUUGGAGGACACCCAUAACUAAUUAUUUACAAAAUCCCAAUAUCAGGACAGAUAAGAACAUUCGGCGUACAACUUUCAAGUAUGUUUUGAUGAGUGAUGAACUCUACCGCCGAACAGUCAACGACGUCCUGCUUAAGUGCUUGGGCCCAGAUGAUGCUAUAUUAGCCAUGGCCGGAGUACAUGAAGGAAUUUGUGGUACCCGUCAAUCGGCUCCAAAGAUGAAGUGGUUGUUGCGAAGGUCUGGUUUUUAUUGGCCUAACAUGAUAGCUGAUUGUUUCAAGUACUACAAAGCAUGGCAAGUGUGUCAAAAAUUCAGCGAUCUACAGUUGGUCCCUGUAGCCGAAUUACAUUAUAUCAUCAAGCCUUGGCCUUUCAGAGGAUGGGGAUUAGACUUUAUAGGAGAAAUUCAUCCUUCAUCAUCAAAGGGGCAUCGGUUCGUGUUAGUUGCCACUGACUACUUACCAAAUGGACUGAAUUCGUUGCUCUGAAGAACAUGACACACAAGGAGGUAAUUGAGUUCAUAACUGAGCAUAUUAUUCAUAGAUUCGGCAUUCCCCAGACCUUGACUAUAGAUCAAGGAACUUCUUUUAUGUCAAAGGAGGUACAUGAAUUUGCUGAAUUAUAUAGAAUUAAGUUGCUUAAUUCAUCUCCAUACUAUGCUCAGGCCAAUGGACAGGUCGAGUCUAGUAAUAGGACAUUGAUUAACUUGAUAAAAAAGAAGAUAUCCGAUAAUCCUAAGCAUUGGCAUAAGAUUUUGUCCGAAGCUUUAUGGGCUCAUAGAAUAUCUAAACAUAGUGCUACUAAAGUAUCUCCUUUUGAGCUUGUCUAUGGGCAGGAAGCAGUGUUGCCUGUGGAAAUAAGUUUGAAUGCUGUCAGGUUCACCAGACAAAAUGAUCUAACCGUCAUUGAUUACUGUAAUUCAAUGAUGGAUAAUAUUGAUGAGGUGACCGACAAGAGGAUGAUAGCUUUGGGAGCAAUAGAAAAGGACAAGAUCAUGGUAGCCAGGGCCUACGACAAGAAGGUCAAAGCAAAGUCAUUUCAGGUAGGGGACCUAGUGUGGAAGACCAUUCUGCCUCUAAGGAGUAAAGACCGGAAGUUUGGGAAAUGGUCGCCAAGCUGGGAGGGUCCUUAUAAAGUAAAACAGGUAACGUCUGGUAACGCCUAUUUACUACAAACAUUACAAGGCAAGGAUUUGCCCAAGGCUUUGAAUGGGCGUUUCCUCAAGCAGUACCAUCCUAGUAUGUGGCAAGAUGCUUAAGAAAACCGAUGUAAUCACAUUGUGUUAAGAUGCUUUUGGUUUGCUCAGCUCCACCAAAAGGGCAGGGGGCAUAUGUUGGGAACCAAAUUGAGAGGGCAGACAGUCCGGCCCUGAGGCCGGACGGUCCGCGGUCCGAACGGUCCGCACCUGUGGGCCAGACGGUCUGCGCGUGCGCAGAGCAGUUUAGGGUUCCGAGUUGUGCUACGGUUGUUAGCUAGAUUCACGGAAUUAGCUCGAAAAUUAGUUUGUAAAGGGUUCAGCCCCCCUCCUCUAUAAAUAGAGAGGUAUACGGCCGAUUUGGAAUCAUCAAUCGAAUCAAUAACACUUCUAUUUCGCAUUUAUUUCCUGUACAAUUAGGAGUAGUUCUAGUCUAGUUCUAGUUUAGCCUCUCAAUCCCCAAAUUCUCCGCUUCUCUUCGACUCUACGUCGAUUAGAGGAGUCUAGGUCGGUCUGCCCGAGCCUAGACAUCACCAAGGAUCUCUCCUCCCCGACGGGGUCCCUCCCGGGAGCGAGAUCCAGGUGCCGUUGGUGAUCUUCUGCCGCCCUUGCGCACGCGCGGACCGUUCGACCGUCAGGCAGGAAACCCUAGCCUCGCACCAGGCCGCGGAUCGUCCGCCCCUGUGCAGAGAGUACCGCCGCUGGUUCGUGUUGAGUGAUUGGCGCCCCAAAAAGGUGUCAACAACAAGGAAGGAAAGGCAAGGAGGAUCAGUACGAGAGAGAAACCGUCUGUUUGGUUGCUAAACGGUGGUAGCAUGGCUUCUACGUAGGGGUGGAUAACGAGCCAGCUCGACUCGGCUCGUCCGAGUUCGAGCUGGCUCGUUAAGCUAACGAGACAGCUCAGCUCGUUAAGGUAACGAGCCACAGAGUCAGCUCGGCUCGGCUCGUUUACGAGCUCGAGCUGGCUCGUUUAGCUCGCAAGCCAGACUAGAAAAAAAUAAAAUGUACAUAAUAAUUAUUUUUAGUUAAUUUCAAACUAAUUUAACAAUAGAAAAUAGUAAUUAUAUUCAUAGUUUCACAAACCACGUCAAUAUAACACCAAAUUAGCACAAUUCAUCACUCAUUAAUUCACAUACAUGUUCAUCAGUUUAACCCAUAAUUAUAUUUGCAUAGACCAAAUUAACACAUAGACAUAGUUUAUUAAUCAUUAGUUUAAUUUAUAGGUCAUAGACACCUCACAUAUAUAUAACAUGUUCAUCAAUUAUUCUGUAAAUGAUAUGCAUAUAGUUUCAUUUUGCUGGAAUAUGGUAGCUCGUUUAGCUCGCGAGCUAGCUCGUUUACGAACCGAGCUGGCUCGUUAACGAACCGAGCUAGGAUGUCAGCUCAGCUCGUGAAAAAAUUCAAACGAGCCGAUCCGAGCCGAGCUGACCAUGAACCGAGCGAGCUAGCGAGCCACGAGCAUUUCGUCCAGCCCUACUUGUACGUGAGGAGCCAGACAUCUUGGGCACAGGCUCUAUCCAUCAGUCUUUUGUUUGGUUGUUUGUAUUAGUACAUUCAAGAUAAAUACAACUCGUGUGUUUGGUAAUCUGCAUUAGAACAUAUAUAAAAUAAGAGUGCAUAAAUAUUUUUCAAAUAUUAUACAACACAUAUAGUCUAGUUUUGUUCGUAAAAUUUUGGGGAACAUGAAUAUGAAAUUGAUUUGAUGAUUAAAUCUUUUAAUUAGAAAAUAUAAUAAAAACAACCUUAAAAAUUUUCUCGUUUUGCGUGCAUUUACAUGCAGUUGUAUGGGCAGCGCCUGCUUGCGUGGAGAUGCUCACCUGCUGCGUAUGAUGGGAGUUUGGCUGUGCUCCUCGUUUUGUAUCUAUUCAGCCUGUAUGUGAUGUGAAGCCAACCAAACAUCACCUGCUUUGAGACUCCGCGGCUGCAGGUGCACGCUCGUGUCGUCCAACCAAACAGAAAGUGAUUUAAGAAUGUGAAUUUGAUUUUCAUUUUCAUUUUAUAAUUAAUCAAGGAACUCAUACAACAUAAGCAUUAAAUUGUGUAUAAUUUAGCGUAAAAUAGUGCUAACGUUAUACGGUCAAGGGGUCCACUAGUCGUAAAGGGAGUAGUUGUUAGGGUUGGGCGAAAUGCUCUUGGCUCGUCAACUCGCUCGGUUCGUGGUCAGCUCGGCUUGGCUCGGAUCGGCUCGUUUGAAUUUUUUCAUGAGCUGAGUUAUCAUCCUAGCUCGAUAUGUUAACGACCCAGCUCGCGAGCUAAACGAACUAUCAUAUUUUUAGCAAAACAAAACUAUAUACAUAUCAUUACGUAACAAUUGAUAAACAUGUUAUAUGUAUGUGUGGUGUCUAUGUCCUAUGAGUUAAACUAAUAAUUGAUGAAUUAUGUCUAUGUGUUAAAUUGGUCUAUGUGAAUAUAAGUGUGAGUUAAACUGCUGAACAUGUGUGUGAAUAGUGAAUUUAUGAGUGAUGUUAAUUUAGUGUUAUAUUUAUGUGGUUUGUCAAACUAUGAGUAUAAUUACUAUUUUAUAUUGUUAAAUUAGUUUAAAAUUAACUAGAAAUUAAUUAUUAUACACAUAUUUUUUUUUGCUCUGGCUCACGAGCAAAACAAGCCGAGCCAAGCUGGUUAUGUGGCUCGCUAGCUUAACGAGCCGAUCUGGCUCGUUAGCUUAACGAGUCAGCUCGAGCUCGAAGGAGUCGAGCUGAGCUAACUCGAUAUCCAACCCUAGUUGCCGUAUAUCUCGUUUCGUAUGAGGUUGUCAUAAAACAUAUUAAAAGGUGUCAUAAAUUUGGCGUAAGACACAGUAAGACCGUGCUUUUUAGUAGAAGCGUAAAACACAAUAAUAAGUAUCAUAAAAUUCAUUUUAAAAUGUAUAAAUCACGAUGAACAUAGAAGGCAGUUUUUAAUUGCACAAUAUACUCUGAAUUAGGUCCUGUAAUCCUCCACUAAGAGGACUGGAGCAAAUGAAACAUCUUUUGUUGUGGAAGCAUUAGCAGUAUUGGAGAUGCGUUCAAGAGACAAACCGCUCAAACUUGAUCUCAAGAUCUGGUAGUUGCUAAACAGAUAUACAUGUAAGAAUUUAAGCAUAAAAAUAUUCUAUAAAUGUAAAUUACGAAAAGAUGACUAGCAGAGUGGCUAGUUAGCGUUGCCUGCAAGAACAAUUAUUCGAUCCGUCCCAUUCAGAUUCAAGCGGUCAAUGAGCCUCCUACAAUUCCACAACCACCGUAGCCUUGUUCUGUGAAGGACAGGUGAGGCGACCAAAGAGGAUGGCAGCCAAUCAAAUUUUGCUGCUAAUAACUAAAAUUGAGAACUAAACUUUAGUUGAGAUAAAGAAAUCACUCAAACCAAAAGCGCAUCAGCCGACCAGUGACCUCGUGAUUUCAAAAUGUUUCUAAGACUCAUACAAGACCAACAAAACAAAUAGAUCGCAAAUCAGACACCGAAAACUGCGAAUCGGCCCAAAAUCGUGUCAUUAUCUAGUGUUGUUUUCAGCAGCUCAAAAUUCAGUUUUCGAAUGCGAAACUGAACCAAGUAGACUCUAAUUGCGCUGAAAUUUGACAUACAUCUUGACAAAUGAGUUUCCAAGGUCUCCACAAAUUUUGAACUCAAACAGAUUUGUAAAUCAAUCGCGGAUCAGAAAACACAUAUUAGACUAGGGUUUUCAAAACAAGUUUAGUCUGGAUCAUAACUACAAACUGCUCAAACCAGAUAAUUGCAGUGGUCUAGAGAGUGAUCUUUACCCCAAGGCAAUCCACAAGACAAUCCCCAACUCAAGAAAUCAAGCGUUCUUCCAAUAUCCAAAGGAGAAGAGAGGAAACGAGCGCAGAGACAAAAUCGAAUAAAAAACUUCACCACAUACACAAAUGAGCACGUUAUUCGACAAACCCUGUAGAUGGAUCUGACCACCUUUCCUUUAAAUAAUGCAAUAAAUAAUACAAAACCACAAAUGUCGAGUCCAAAACAUUUGUGGAUCAUAGGCUAAACUAGGGAAAUAGAAACUAUGGUUUUCUAAACAAAACACAAAUGAGCUAGCCAAAGAGAUGGAUGUCCAUAAUAGUCUACCCAUCAAUUUAUAGACGGUUAUUUCUAUUUCAUAAACUACCUCUACAUAUAUAGAGCCUAUCCACUUAGCGAGGGAAAAAAUGGACCAACUCUUGGGAUUUCGAUCUAACGGCCACACACUCCACACGAAGUUGCUUCGACUACAAGCACUCUUCGCGAUGAGGCCACAUGCUGCCUUCGAUUCCCGCCGGAACCGCAUCGCCGAGUUUUGAGGCCCAAACUCAGCAAAACCAGCAGCUGGGUGGUUUUGAGACUCAACCAAGAAACCGUCGUGAGUAGCACACCGCAUGUGCGUCCCCCACGUCCUGGACACAUGUUCCGCUAGUCCUCAACCAUGUCGGCGACACGAUUCACUCUACCACGUCCUCGCUCUCGUGCGUGUUCCUGGUGUCAGCCACCACGACUAGUCGUCCAGCUUCUCCGGUUCCUCAGUCAAGUCCCGGCGCUCAUUCUUUGCCACUCUCAGUCCAUUCACACGAAUCCGCAUGACCUUCUCCUUCGCCGUCGACCACCGUCGAAGUGCUCCACACCUACACACCACAAGCCGUCAGAUAUGGUUGCACAACACAUAACUCAUGCCUCGGUCAGUCUAUGACUCAACCCGACACACUACUCGUUGACAAUCACUCAUCACAAACCCGAACCAAGGGACAAAUCAACCUUGUGUUCGCAAUCUCCCCCUUGAUCAGUGCAUUGUCAACACCACCACAUGAACAUAUAUCAGCAGAAGAAGAAAGAAGAGGAGAAACUCACUCAAAUGACCAAAAGCCAGACAAAAGCCAAAAUAGGUCAUCUAGAGUGAGCAAAGCUUGGUCCACAAAGAAAUGGGCAACAAUUCAACACGACCAAGCGAAAGAAGCUAGUCCUCAAGAUGAGGCAAAAGAAGGGCUCAACACCACUAGCCAGCAGUCAAAACCCCCAUCGGAGCACAAAAUCAGCAUAAAAGAUGAAAUCAAAGCUAGUUCCUCCAGAAAGAGGCAAAUAGCUCAAUACAACUAGCAAAAGCUCAAUUUCUUCCUCCUUCAAAUUUCACCCCCUUGAUAGGAGUACAAGAAAAAUCCAGAAUUCUCAAAAAUCCAGAAUCUCUCCCCCAAUACUCUAGACCCCAUCAAUCCAGAAUUUCUCCCCGUUGUUGAUAAAUGGACUCAUCAAGCCACAAACAAGGGUACAAACAGAAACUCCCCUCGACAAGAGACCUCCCCCCCAUCGAGAAAAUACAGAGAUGCAAAAGACAGAGUAGAAAAUAGAGAAGAUGUAGGAGCUCCAUGAGUAUAUUAGAUGGAGUGUAAAAAUGCUAUAAGUAGUGUUGUGUGAUGUGUGCAAUAAUAAAUACACAUGCUAGCAUACGCUCAAACUGAUCAUAUGCACAAGAUAUGUGAAGUGUAAGCAUUUUAUUCAGUUUUAAGCAGUCAAAAGAGAGGUUCCCCACUAAAGACAACACAAAGACAUAUGCAAGCAGGAAAUCAACCAAGUGCUAGUCAAAGGUAAACAAGGUGAACUACCCAAACAACGGUCACUCAUCAUGCUAGAAUCAUAUUUGAAAUUGAUAUCAAAUGAAAAAAUUUCAAGUUUAUCGGAGUUUGCAACGGAUCAUAAAUUUCAUGGAGAAGCAUGUGAGUGCGAGAGGUUUUAAGCAUUGUCAUUGUCUAACUUUUCAACCGGGUGUAGUUUAUGCAGAAAAGCAAUCAAAAGCUAAAGACACUGGUUUCGAUCCUCCACUACACUACUCUAGUUCAUCUAAAAGUGCAAAUGGAAGCAGUCUCGAUACGAUGAUGUGGUGACAAAUGUCAACUCAUCUCGAUCUUUCUGAAUUUUACUUACCUUGAUUUAGAUUUUAGCAUAGGAUUAAUGAAUCAAGACAGUGAAUGGCUCAAGGCAUGAGACAUAGCCACCUAGCAUAUUAGUGACAACAAAAAGGAUCUCAACACAUCGUACACAUACUAGGUGCCAACCUCAAUGUUGAACAAGUUUUGGAUUUAGCAAGUAAUAUUCAAGUUAACAAUUAUGAAAACAAGAUUAGCUCAACAAUAUUGUAUCAAUAUGAGCAAAAAGAGCCUAAGCAUGCCAUAGCAUCAUCAUGUACACAAAGAACACACUACUAAAAGCAUAGUCACAUUCUAGCAAUUAUAUAGGUGAAGAUCAAAAUACUACAUGAGAUGUGAAUGCAGAUACAAUACAAAAAAACAAGAAACAAAAACUAUAUCUACAUGAAAAGAAGAAGAAAUGAAGAAAAACCAAAAAGGAGUUCUCAGUCAAAAAGGGAAGUAGACAACCAAUUCCCCUUGCAAAUAUGCAAAUGUGGACUUGAAAGCAUCUAGGCCCCUGGUUGGUUUUAGUGAUUAAUGACAACAUAAAAUUAUAUGUGACUAACGUGUGUUUUGCAGAGCAAAUGGUAAGUUAGGUCGCAUUACAGGAGGUUGUGCUGCAAUAGUGAAAACAAUCCCUCAGAUGAGAACCUAAAGUGACAGCUGAAAAAGGCGAAUCAAAAGAUGAAGGUCUUAAUAUUCCGAGUGUUCGAAGGACUUGUGGACACUUGGUAUAGAAUUAGGUCUUCUGUUUUUAUUUUAGCCAUACUAUAAAGAGGGGUUGUGGAUGAGUAGUUUGACCAAGAGAUUUUUAGUGUAGUGUUGGUGCAUGUUCACACUCACAACUAAUGCUAGGUGUCACUCUAUAACACACUCACAAGUUAGAACGAAAUUGGGUUAGAAAAACUAAAGGAAAAGAAAUUGGUUUUGUUGUCUUAGUGGCACCGGACUGUUCGGUGCGCCAUCUAACAGUGGGGCCAGCCAGCCUCGGGGGUAUCCCCUGCCGUCGAGAAACCAGAGAGCGACGAGUUUGCAGAGCCGAUUUUUUAGCGCGCGCACCAGACUGUCCGGUGCACACCGGACAAUCACUGUUCACUGUCCGGUGUACCGUCAGAGCAAUGGCUAGCUGUCAGACCUAGCCGUUGGAGUGCCCCGUUGGCGCACCAGACUGUCUGUUGCGCCCAUGCGCAGAAGGCUCCAACAACGGCUAGUUUUGGUGGUUGGGGCUAUUUAUACCCCCUCCACUAGCCACAUUAAGUGUCUUGCUGCCCACAUUCAAGUGUAUUCAUUGCUAGUGCAUUGCAAGUCCCACAAAGCCUAGUGAGGUGAUUAGAAAAUCAUAAUACUGUGUUAGGACUAGGGAAGAGCGCCGACUCUUUGAUACCUCAACAAAAAAUUGGAGGAGUCAUCUUACCCUUACUUUACAUUCCACAUUUACUUUGAGCAUUUUACUUAGUGCAAUUGCUUAGCAAGUAUUUGUAGUAAUGAUUUAGGGUUGUUGUUUUUCUAGUAGUAUUUACUUAUUGCUAGUAGUUGGGCUUAUGCUUAGGGUUUAACUUUUGGUUAGAAUUUUAGAAAAUCCCAAUUCACCCUCCUCUUGGGCAUCGUGAUGCUUUCAAUUGGUAUCGGAGCCUAGUUGCUCCUAGUUUAUCUUAACCGCUAGAGUAGCGAUGUCCGGCGGGGAUGGACCUCCUCCCAUUUUUGAUGGUGACAAUUUUCCUUAUUGGAAAAUUCAUAUGGAAGCUUAUUUAGAGGCUAUAGACAUUGUUGUCUAUAAAGCCACCACCCAAGGGUUCCCCGAACCUAGAGAUGCCACAAAUCUUCUAGGUGAUGAGUACAAUUAUGAAAAAUGGAAUGCUAAGGCCAAAAACACUCUCUUUAGGGGCCUUUGCAAGGAUUAUUCAAUAGAGUAAGAAAUCACAAAAAUGCUCAUGAUUUGUAGUUAGAUAUUUGUGCUCUACAUGAACGAACCAAAAGUGAGCGUGAGGAAAGUUGCAAUGAAAAAAAUAAAUUCUUUUGAAAUGCUUGCCAAUGAGAAUGCUAAUGAUAUGUACUCACGACUUAAUAUGGGACUCACUCAAAUUUCACAACCAGAUGUUGUGAGAAAAAUUCUCAGUAUCUUGCUAAUUGAGAAGUAUGGACACAUUAUCACUGUGUUACACCAAAUGGAUCUUUCCAUCACUACAACACCAACUCAAAUAUUGGGAAAGAUCAAUGCUCUUGAAAUGUUUAUGCACAUCAAUGACAAGGAUGAGUCUUCCUCCUAGAGGAAAUAUUUGGCUCUCAAGGCUAGUCAAGAAAAGAAAGGCAAGGCCAAAAUGCAAGUUGAGGAAGCAUCCUCAAGUGAUGAUGAUCUUGAUACAAAUAUUGCCUUGAUGGUGAGGAAGACCACAAAGAUGUUGAAGAAACUCAACCGAGAAGGUAUCAAGUUUGAUUCAAGAAAGAAGAAGUUUUCUCUAGCAAGAGAAAGCCUAUCUCCGAGAUGGAUUGCUACAAUUGUGAAUAACUUGGUCAUCUUGCUCAUCAAUGCAACAAGCCCAAGAAAAACAAGUUCAAGAGCAAGAAAGAUGAUGAAAGUGAUGAUGAGAAGAAGGAAAAGAAAUUCAUCAAGAGGAAAGAAGGCAAGCACAUGAGAUUUCACAAAAAGAAGAAUGAAAAAGCAUAUAUUGUUGGUGAUUGGCUCACUGACACUUGUAACGCCCUGAAUUUGGGGGUAGAAUUUUUUUCUUCUUUUCUCUCACCAAAUUCGGGCGUUACUCUCUUUUCUCUUCCUGUUUCGCUCCUUCUUCCUAAUUUCAAACCAGUAUAGUGACAGGUGUCCGUGUCAUGUAUAAACCAAAACCUAAGUGUCAUGGGUGUUGCAUCAUGCCGAAGCGCAUUUCUUUGUCUGAUGUCGCGUGUUCGUCUCGUUCUGUUUCGGAUUUUGGUUCGCGAUUGGAGUCCGUUUAAUGGUCGUGCGUGUCGUGGGUUUCGAUCCGCGAUGUGACCCAGCCCGGCCCAGCCCGGUCCGGCCCGGCCCGCGCGCCCCUGGCGCCCCUGCCCUCCCUCUGGCGCCCCUUUUCGCCCAGAUCCGUUUGGCUCAUUUGAUUUCUCCCGCGUAGUAACCUCCCUCUCCGUCUUCCACCUCUCUCUCUCCCCGUGGUGCCCUAGGGUUUGGAGUCAAGAUCGCCGGAGUUUGGAUCCCCGGAGGUGAGUUUUUCCCCUCCCCUUCCCUUUCCUCUCUCUCCUCCCCCUCCCCUUCUUCUUCCCCCACGCGGCCUCCCUGCCCGUGCGCGUCCCGCGCUCGGCCGCGCUGCCGUCUCGGCCGCACCCUCCCUCCCCUCGGUCGCGCCGCCCCCAUCGAGCCCCUCCCGGCCCCGCGCCCGGCGAGCCCUAGCAGCCGCGUCGUGCCCCGCCCCGGCGACCCCGCGCCCUCCCCUGCCCCGGCGAGCCCUCCCCCAGCCGCGCCCCGCCCCCCCCCCCCCUCGGCGAGCCCUGGCGGCCGCGUUGUACCCCGCCCCGGCAACCCCGCGCCCUCCCCUGCCCCGGCGAGCCCUCCCCCGGCUGCGCCUCGCCCCCCUCCCCCGGCGAGCCCCUCCCCGUCCGCGUCCCGGUCGCGCCCUCGCGCGCGCCGUCGCGUCCUCGACCGCGCCACAGCGCGCCCUUGCCCGAACCCGUGCCUCGGCAGCCUCGCGCCACGGGUGCCUGCACGAUUCGCGUGCCCUCGGCACACAUAGCGUGCUCUCGCGCGUACGACCGUAAUCGUAGUGCACUUAACCUCGUUUUAAUUUACUCUAAUCUAUUUAGUCGACGUGCUACGUCGCACGCUUCGUCGUGCGAUGAUUCUUUUAAUUUAUAUUUAUCAAUGUGCUGCGUCGCGCGCUUCGUCGCGCGACGAUCCAUUUUAAUUUCAGGUUGUUUAAUGUGUGACGUCGCGCGUCCAGUCACGUGACGUUCCACUUUAAACUCAGUUCUGUUGACGUAUGCCGUCGUGAGUUUCGCCGUGCGAUGCUCAACUUCUCUUUAUAAUUAAUGCAAGUGUCUCAUCGUGCGCUCUGUCGCACGACGAGUCGUUGAUUUCUUAAUUCGAUUUAGAGUGUUAUGUCGCGCGUCUCGCCGCGCGACAAUCCUUUUAAUUUAUCUUCAUCUGCUUAUAAUAAUUAGACAUGAAACAUGACUUUACUUUAUGCCAAACGUAGUAUCCAAAUUAAUGCCCUUCGGUUAAGCGAGUGGUUUAAUUUAUAAUUACGUAACGUGAUCGUUUCUCGACUGUCUCUUUCUCUUUCUUUCUUAACCGUAGUUGCGAGCCCGCGUGGAACGUCUGUUUACUUACUGCAUUCUAUUGUAUGGUGUAUUGUUCUUUUGUAUUAAAUGUAUGGAUGUAUGUAUGUUUGCGCUCGCAUAGAGAAUGAUCUGGUUGAGGAGCCCGAAGAACUCGCAGGAGAAGCCCCUGAGCAGCAGUCGGUUGGUGGAGGCAAGUGUCCCUUGACCUAUCUCUGUCCUAUACAUUCUUUAAUUCACCUCCCGCAUUUCACAGUUAUACCUAAGGAUUGACUAGCUUUUGUUAUCCAUGUCCUUGUUACCUACCUGGGUUGGAUUAUUAUUGCUUAGUCUUAUGCUAUUGCUCAACUCUGAUCAAUGAACAUGAUGAGAAUUAUCAAUGAUACGUUGUUUUCCCUUCUUUUAUUAUGAUGUUAUACUUGUGGUCUUCAAGGGGGCUCGAGCGGUUUCUCGAGUGCCUCUCCGUAAGGACCUGUUCGUUGGAUGACAGCCCAGGAAAACAGUGCAACCAUGAGGGUGGAAUGGGGUGCCCUUAGCUGAAUAAUUAGAGGAUCUAGAGUGUAGUUCGCUUAGCCGUCGUGCCGUCAAUGGGGCUCGGUGUAUGCGGCUCGCUCUGCCAAGCUUGGGUUUGCCCUCCUUGGGGAGGAGUGCGGUGCAUUUAGGAAACCUAACGGGCGGCUACAGCCCCGAGGAAUCUUUGUAAAGGCUACGUAGUGAUGCCCUGCAGGGUCACCUUGGUAGUGAUCAAUGGAGAGUCAUGAUCUCCGAGCACAAAGGGAAUCACGGCUUGUGGGUAAAGUGCACAACCUCUGCAGAGUGUUUGAAAAUUGAUAUAUCAGUCGUGCUCGCGGUUAUGAGCGGCCAAGGGAGCUCUAUUGAUUAGUGGUACUUGAUCAGAGAUGUUCGGAUUACAGAUGGUGUUGAGAUUGAUGGUUCUUGGUAUUGACUCUGGUAAUGGUAAGUGGUACUCUUUCCGUUUGGAAAGGAGUACGUUUGGGUUAAUAACGUGGGUUAAAUCUAAAACUUGGCUUUCUCUACUAGUAAUAAUAAUCUGACCAACUAAAAGCAACUGCUUGACUUACCCCCACAUAAAGCUAGUCCACUACAGCCAAACAGGAUACUUGCUGAGUAUGUUGAUGUGUACUCACCCUUGCUCUACACACCAAACCCCCCCCCAUCCCCAGGUUGUCAGCAUUGCAACCACUGCUCAAGAGAAGAUGAAGCUGUGGAAGGAGACUUCCAGGAGUUCCAAGCCUACGACGAGUUUUAGGCGUGGGUUAGCGGUAACCCCCAGUCGGCUGCCUGUGAAGGCCACGUUUAUCUAUGUUUCUUUUCCGCACUUUGAUUUAUUGUAAAGACUAUGUGGAUGUCUGAGACAUAUGAUGUAAUCGACUAUUAUUCCCCCUUUUAAUACUAUUUGAGCACUGUGUGAUGAUGUGCAUGUUAUGUAACUGUUGUGUACGUGAAUUGUUGAUCCUGGCACGUACAUGGUUUGCAUUCGGUUUGCCUUCUAAAACCGAGUGUGACAUAGGUGGUAUCAAAGUCGUGCUGACUGUAGGACCGCUAACCUAGAGUAGAAUGGUCGUUCUAAGGAUUAUAGACCUCUGUCCCAGCCUUGACUUUGGUAUCCCUUCAAAAGUUGGUCAUAUCGACCAAACCUAUGUUCUACUAUAUAUUAUACCUUGCUGAAAAUUGUGUUUUAUUCUAAUCCUUCAUUUAUUUAUGGUUCAUUACUUGCUGGUCAUAUUAGUUCUGUUCUCACUCUUAUGCUUGCGGUGUCCUUUGUAGAUGGCUCGUCUUAGACACACUGCACGGAAGUCUGUCAUCCCCUUCUUACCCUCUCGUAUCGCGGAGCGUCCGCUUCGCCGUCCUGUGGCCGGUCAGUCCAGCCAUUUGGAGAGGCUGCACCACCGCCUGCAUGAGGAGCAGGAGCAUCGACAACAGGAGCAGCAGGGCUCCUCUUUCUCGCUCCAACAGGAGAUAGAGUCUGUGAGGAGCUGCUCCCCCGUGCUCCCCCUGGAGGCGCCCCCUGUACCACCACUGGACGCCCAGCCCCUGGAGUAGCUGCUGGAGGAGACUCAGACGACGGAGGUGGCGACAGCAGCUCAAGCCACGACACCGACUUUUCUGCUGACCAGGAGCUAGAAGGAUGGGUUGCUCGACCCAUCACUUGCGACGCUGCUCGUGGGUGUCACUUCCACGAUGCGCUCGACACCCUACUACGCCGGGCACUUGACCGGCGUACUUGGUCCAUCGAGUAUCGCUGUGUGGUCUACCAGUAUAGUCGUGGGGUCUACCCGGACCGCUGGGAGGCGACUUGCUUAGUGCGCCAUCCGGAGAACAGUCUCUAGGGUGAUGAGGUCUGCUCAGAGCACUAUUCCAUCUCUGAGCGGGACUCAGCUAAGGCGGCCAUGCAAGAUGCCGCACGGCGUGCGCUUUCGCACUACUGCUCAGUUCUCGGUGGGGUAGCCGACGGUCUCAACCUGAAGUAUUACCCCCGCCCGUCCAUCUGGCAGCACAGGAGGCGUGAUUGUUUCACCUGUUGGUGAGGACAAUCCUAGGUUGAGCAGCACAGUCAACCUAGCCGUCGUGCUAAACACAGAGCUGGACCAUGCAUUAGAUGAGCUGAGCAGGGCUCGUGCUGAGAUUGCCCUGUUGCGGGCUGAGCGCGCGGAGCGUCGUCACCUGGACGAUGGUUCCCUCGUUCUCGUCGGGACUCAGCACCCGUACCGCUCACCUCGGCGUGGACACCAGUCUUAUGGCAAUCCCGACUGUAAGACCAAGAUAGACUUAGAACCAUAGAUCGUCAGAGUCGGAUCUUGUAAUUAAUACGAAAAUAUAUGCAUAGAAGCUAUAGUCUUAGCGUUAGUCUCGCUCUUAGUCAGUCUUAGUUAGACAGGGUAGUUUGCUUAUCCUGUGCAUUUAUGUUUGUCAUGAUGAACUAUGUUUGCUUUGGAUCUUUAUAAUGACUAUCACCAGAGUGUGGGUAUCCCCUGCAUUUUGGUUUACCUGUUAUGUUAAUGGAGUUAGUUAUCUAGUUGGGAAGCCUUUUAUUCCACUUUCCUCUUUAUUUGAGAAGUUGUGUUGGUCUGUGUUGGAGAUCAGUGAAGAUGCUCAUCUGCUCAGUGUUGUGGAGAAUUCUAUACUCUUUUCUUAUGCUGCAAGAUUUGCAUGAUCAGUUCUGAUGUGUGGUUGCAUUCUGCAGAUGUCAGAAAACAGGCGCAAAGGAGGAAGGCGUGCUCAGCAGGAGCAAGCCGCUCAGCAGGAGGAAGUACCCCAGCGACAGCAGCUGCCGCCCCCGCCCCCGAUGUCUAUCGAGCAGAUGUUCCUGAUACAGACUCAGGAAGUUUAAGCCAUCGGUCAUACUCUGGCCGCCAUUCAGCAGCAGCCACCACCUCAGCCUCAGAUGCCUCAGAUGCCCAGAGACAAGCGUGCUGAAUUCAUGAGAGGUCAUCCCCCAAUGUUUGCUCAUUCUUCUGACCCCAUGGUGCUGAAGACUGGCUGCGCACUGUGGAGCGAGUGUUGCGUACCGCUCAGUGUGAUGACAGGGAGAAAGUUCUGUAUGGUCCCCGUCUGUUGAGAGGAGCAGCCCAGUCUUGGUGGGAGUCUUAUCUCGCCACCCAUGCCAACCCCGACACCAUCACCUGGGAAGAAUUCAGAGGUAACUUUCGUCAGUACCAUGUUCCUGCAGGUCUGAUGACAGUGAAGAAGGAGGAGUUCCUGGCCCUCAAGCAAGGGUCAUCGUCUGUCAGUGAGUACCGGGACAGGUUUCUGCAGUUGUCUCGCUAUGCUCCUGAAGAUGUCAACACCGACGCCAAGCGACAGUAUCAUUUCCUGAGAGGCUUGGUUGACCCUCUGCAGUAUCAACUGAUGAAUCAUACCUUCCCGACAUUCCAGCACCUGAUUGACAGAGCAAUCAUGACAGAGAGGAAGCGUAAGGAGAUGGAGGAUCGUAAGCGCAAGAUCAGUGGACCCUAGCCUGGAAGCAGCAAUCAUCCUCGUUUCUCAAGCAAUCAACCUCAACAGUUCAGGCAGAACCAUCGUCCACCUCAGCAGCAGCAGUUCCAAAGGCAGUUCCCUCAGCACCAAUAUCAGAAUCACCAGAACAAUCAGUCAGGAGGAGGUCAGUUUCAGAGGCAGAAUUAGUAGGCACCUCGUCUUCCUGCCCCCGCAAACCAGCAGAACAAUCAGGCAGCACCAGCUCAGGUUGGAAACAGAGCAUGUUUCCACUGUGGAGAGCAAGGCCAUUGGGUGAUGCAAUAUCCGAAGAAGGUAGCCCAGCAGCAGUCAGGCCCCAAUGCCCUAGCAAAGCAGAAUGUGUCUCAGUCUGGAGCAGGCAGCCGCUCUCAGCCACGCUACAAUCAUGGGAGACUAAACCACUUGGAGGCUGAAGCAGUUCAGGAGACCCCCGGCAUGAUAGUAGGUAUGUUCCCAGUCGACUCCCAUAUUGCAGAAGUGUUAUUUGAUACUGGAGCAACACAUUCAUUCAUUACUGCAUCAUGGGUAGAAGCACAUAAUCUUCCAAUAACUGCCAUGUCAACCCCCAUUCAAAUUGACUCAGCCGGUGGUAGAAUUCGAGCCGAUAGCAUUUGUUUGAAUGUAAGUGUGGAAAUAAGGGGGAUAGCGUUUCCCGCUAACCUUAUAGUAAUGGGUACUCAGGGAAUAGAUGUCAUCCUAGGGAUGAAUUGGCUAGAUAAGUAUCAGGCAGUUAUCAGUUGUGAUAAGAGGACAAUCAAGUUGGUGUCCCCACUAGGAGAGGAAGUGGUGACCGAGUUAGUCCCGCCUGAGCCGAAGAAAGGAAGUUGUUAUCAGAUGGAUGUCGAAAACAGUGAAGCAGACCCAAUUGAGAGUAUCAGGGUUAUGUCCGAAUUCCCAUAUGUGUUUCCAAAGGACUUACCAGGUAUGCCACCAGAGCGGAAAGUUGAGUUUGCUAUAGAACUUCUUCCUGGCACCGCCCCCAUCUUUAAGAGAGCUUACAGAGUAUCAGGACCAGAGUUGGUUGAACUUAAGAAGCAAAUCGAUGAGCUGUCAGAGAAAGGUUACAUCCGGCCAAGCACCUCGCCUUGGGCCACCCCUGUCCUAUUCGUGGAGAAGAAAGAUGGCACCAGAAGGAUGUGUAUUGAUUAUCGAGCUCUGAAUGACGUCACCAUCAAGAACAAGUACCCCUUGCCCAGAAUAGAAGAUCUGUUCAACCAAUUGAGAGGAGCCAGUGUGUUCUCCAAGAUAGAUCUGAGGUCAGGUUAUCAUCAGCUCAGGAUCCGACCUUCAGAUAUUCCGAAGACGGCAUUCAUUACCAUGUAUGGUUGUAUGAGUUCACUUUGAUGUCUUUCGGUCUAACAAAUGCACCGGCCUUCUUCAUGAACUUGAUGAACAAUGUAUUCAUGGAUUAUCUUGAUAAAUUUGUGGUGGUAUUUUUUGAUGGCAUUCUGAUAUACUCUCAAAGCGAAGAAGAGCAUGCAGAUCAUUUGAGGAUGAUAUUGCAGAGAUUGCGAGAGCACCAGCUGUAUGCAAAGUUGAGCAAGUGCGAGUUCUGGAUCAGUGAAGUCCUGUUCUUGGGUCACAUAAUCAACAAAGAAGGAUUGGCUGUGGAUCCGAAGAAGGUGGCGGACAUUCUGAACUGGAAAGCGCCAACAGAUGCUCGAGGAAUCAAGAGCUUCAUUGGAAUGGCCGGAUAUUAUCGGCGAUUCAUUGAAGGGUUUUCGAAGAUUGCGAAACCAAUGACAACUUUGCUAGGCAACAAGGUUGAGUUCAAGUGGACCCAAAAAUGUCAAGAGGCCUUUGAAGCGCUGAAAGAGAAGUUGACUACAGCGCCUGUCUUAGUCUUGCCUGAUGUGCACAAGCCCUUCUUGGUGUAUUGCGAUGCUUGUUACACUGGUUUGGGAUGUGUGUUGAUGCAAGAGGGAAGAGUUGUGGCUUACUCGUCCCGACAGCUGAAGGUUCAUGAGAAGAAUUACCCAAUCCAUGAUCUAGAGUUGGCAGCAGUGGUUCACGCACUGAAGACAUGGAGGCACUAUCUGUAUGGACAGAAAUGUGAUGUUUACACAGACCACAAGAGUCUGAAGUACAUAUUCACUCAGUCAGAGUUGAAUAUGAGGCAACGAAGAUGGUUAGAGCUGAUCAAAGACUAUGAAUUGGAGAUACAUUACCAUCCAGGCAAAGCGAACGUAGUAGCAGAUGCUUUGAGCAGGAAGAGUCAAGUCAAUCUGAUGGCCGCUCGUCCGAUGCCUUAUGAGUUGGCCAAAGAGUUUGACAGGUUGAGUCUCGGAUUUCUGAACAACGAGCGAGGAGUCACAAUUGAGUUGGAACCUACCUUGGAGCGAGAAAUCAAAGAAGCACAGAAGAAUGAUGAGAAGAUCAGUGAGAUCCGGCGACUGAUUCUAGAUGGUAGAGGCAAAGAUUUUCGGAAAGAUGCAGAAGGUGUGAUAUGGUUCAAAGACCGCUUGUGUGUUCCCAAUGUCCAGUCUAUUUGGGAAUUGAUUCUCAAGGAAGCUCAUGAGACAGCUUAUUCGAUUCAUCCUGGUAGUGAGAAGAUGUAUCAGGAUCUGAAGAAGAAAUUCUGGUGGUACGGAAUAAAGAGAGAAAUCGCAGAGCAUGUGGCUAUGUGUGAUAGUUGUCGGCGGAUCAAGGCAGAGCACCAGAGACCGGCUAGAUUGUUGCAACCGUUGCAAACUCCUUAGUGGAAAUGGGAUGAAAUUGGUAUGGACUUCAUAGUCGGAUUGCCUCGCACUCGAGUCGGCUACGAUUCCAUUUGGGUAGUGAUGGACCGCUUAACCAAGUCAGCCCAAGAGAACAUCAAGGUGGUUCGAGAGACUCUGAAGAUAGCGCAAUCAAGGCAGUGAAGCUAUGCAGACACAAGAAGAAGAGAGCUGAGUUUCGAGGUUGGAGAUUUUUUCUAUCUGAAAGUGUCACCAAUCAGAGGAGUCAGAAGGUUCGGAGUCAAAGGCAAGCUAGCACCCCGCUACAUUGGUCCGUAUCAGAUUCUCGCAAGGCGUGGAGAAGUGGCCUAUCAGCUCAGUCUGCCAGAAAAUUUGUCUGUAGUGCAUGAUGUCUUUCAUGUGUCUCAGUUGAAGAAAUGCCUGCGAGUGCCAGAAGAGCAGUUGCCAGUGGAAGGUCUUGAAGUCCAGGAGGACUUGACUUACACAGAGAAACCAGCGCAAAUCCUUGAGACUGCAGAUAGAGUCACCCGAAGGAAGACCAUCAGAAUGUGCAAAGUCAGAUGGAAUCACCACUCUGAGGAAGAAGCAACCUGAGAGCGUGAAGAUGAUCUGAUGGCUAAAUAUCCUGAGCUCUUUGCUAUCCAACCCUGAAUCUCGAGGGUGAGAUUCUUUUAAGGGGGAUAGGUUUGUAACGCCCUGAAUUUGGGGGUAGAAUUUUUUUCUUCUUUUCUCUCACCAAAUUCGGGCGUUACUCUCUUUUCUCUUCCUGUUUCGCUCCUUCUUCCUAAUUUCAAACCAGUAUAGUGACAGGUGUCUGUGUCAUGUAUAAACCAAAACCUAAGUGUCAUGGGUGUUGCAUCAUGCCGAAGCGCAUUUCUUUGUCUAAUGUCGCGUGUUCGUCUCGUUCUGUUUCGGAUUUCGAUUCGCGAUUGGAGUCCGUUUAAUGGUCGUGCGUGUCGUGGGUUUCGAUCCGCGAUUUGACCCAGCCCGGCCCAGCCCAGCCCGGUCCGGCCCAGCCCGCGCGCCCCUGGCGCCCCUGCCCUCCCCCUGGCGCCCCCUUCCCCCAGAUCCGUUUGGCUCAUUUGAUUUCUCCCGCGCAGUAACCUCCCUCUCCUUCUUCCACCUCUUUCUCUCCCCGUGGUGCCCUAGGGUUUGGAGUCGAGAUCGCCGGAGUUUGGAUCCCCGGAGGUGAGUUUUUCCCCUCCCCUUCCCUUUCCUCUCUCUCCUCCCCCUCCCCUUCUUCUUCCCCCAUGCGGCCUCCCUACCCGCUCGCGUCUCGCGCCCUGGCCGCGCCACCGUCUCGGCCGUGCCCUCCCUCCCCUCGGCCGCGCCCUCCCCGUCCCGCGCCCCGGCAAGCCCUGGCCGUGCCGCGCCCGCACGACCCCCUCCCACGCCCGCGCCCGCGCCGCUCCCCUCCCCGGCGGCCCUCCCUGCCCGCGCGCGCUCGGCCCCGGCGAGCCCCGCCCCCGCGCCGCCCCUCGCGGUCGCGCCCUCCUCGCGCCCGGCGGCCCUCCCUGCCCACGCGCGCGCUCGGCCCCGGCGUGCCCGGCCGCACCGCCCCCGUCGAGCCCCUCCCCGCGCCCGGCGAGCCCUGGCGGCCGCGCUGUGCCCCGCCCCAGCGACCCCGCGCCCUUCGUACUGCACUUAACCUUGUUUUAUAUUUCACUAAUCUGUUUAGUCGACGUGCUACGUCGCGCGCUUUGUCGCGCGACGAUUCUUUUAAUUUAUAUUUAUCAAUGUGUUGCGUCGCGCGCUUCGUCGCGCGAUGAUCCAUUUUAAUUUCAGGUUGUUUAAUGUGUGACGUCGCGCGUCCAGUCACAUGACGUUCCACUUUAAACUCAGUUCUGUUGACGUAUGUCGUCGUGCGUUUCGCCGCGCGAUGCUCAACGUCUCUUUAUAAUUAAUGCAAGUGUCUCGUCAUGCGCUCUGUUGCGCGACGAGUCGUUGAUUUCUUAAUUCGAUUUAGAGUGUUAUGUCGCGCGUCUCGCCGCGCGACAAUCCUUUUAAUUUAUCUUCAUCUGCUUAUAAUAAUUAGACAUGAAACAUGACUUUACUUUAUGCCAAACGUAAUAUCCAAAUUAAUGCCCUUCGGUUAAGCGAGUGGUUUAAUUUAUAAUUAUGUAACGUGAUUGUUUCUCGACUGUCUCUUUCUCUUUCUUUCUUAACCGUAGUUGUGAGCCCGCGUGGAACGUCUGUUUACUUACUGCAUUCUAUUGUAUGGUGUAUUGUUCUUUUGUAUUAAAUGUAUGGAUGUAUGUAUGUUUGCGCUCGCAUAGAGAAUGAUCUGGUUGAGGAGCCCGAAGAACUCGCAGGAGAAGCCCCUGAGCAGCAGUCGGUUGGUGGAGGCAAGUGUCCCUUGACCUAUCUCUGUCCUAUACAUUCUUUAAUUCACCUCCCGCAUUUCACAGUUAUACCUAAGGAUUGACUAGCUUUUAUUAUCCAUGUCCUUGUUACCUACCUGGGUUGGAUUAUUAUUGCUUAGUCUUAUGCUAUUGCUCAACUCUGAUCAAUGAACAUGAUGAGAAUUAUCAAUGAUACGUUGUUUUCCCUUCUUUUAUUAUGAUGUUAUACUUGUGGUCUUAAAGGGGGCUCGAGCGGUUUCUCGAGUGCCUCUCCGUGUGGAUGUCUCAGACAUAUGAUGUAAUCGACUAUUGUUUCCCUUUUAUAUUAUCAUUUGAGCACUGUGUGAUGAUGUCCAUGUUAUGUAACUGCUAUGUACGUGAAUUGCUGAUCCUGGCACGUACAUGGUUCGCAUUCGGUUUGCCUUCUAAAACCGGGUGUGACAUACACUGAAUCCUCAAGCGGGUCUUCUUCAAGUGAAGAAAAAAUGAUGAAAAGGUUGCCACCAUCGCUGGGGAUUUCUCUUCACCACCACCAUCACAUUCAUCUGCUUCACACCUAUGCCUCAUGGCUAAAGGUGAACGAAAGGUACAUGUUGGGGCGAAGGCAAAGACGCCACCCUUCGCUCGAGGUCUCUCGCUGCAGUCGCUGGUUUGACGAAGACAAAAGGGGCAGGGACACCCUUCGCUUCAUUCAGUACAAGACGAAGGCCUGCGGUGACGUCUCCCCGUAGCACGGCCUCGUCCUGCUCUGAGGCCCACGUGUGAUCUGGCCCAUUGUAACGGGCCCCGCGUGGCCGCCUUUGUGUUACGGGCCUAGUUUGUAAAGGCAUUCUUGUAAUUACGGCUUGUAACCCCACUUUAUGGGAAUAUUCUGGGGAUAAACUAGGUGUCUGAGGGCACAUGCGUCCUUAACACAAGGCGUUGGGACCUCAGAUACCUAUAAAUACCCCCGCAUUCUGCCCGUGAGAGGCUAGAUCAACAGAGCUAUUGCCCCCGUGCACGUAACCCUGUUGUCACCACCGUUCACCCUUGUUGGCCUCCUUGCUGCUGAGAGCAAGUUCCAACUUUUGGCGCCCACCGUUCGUGCUACGACAAGACCACCCGCGAUGGCACCCAAGAGAGCUAACCCGAAGGCUGACGAGGCUGCGAAGGCAGCACUGCUGGCCGCGAGAAAGGGCAAGGCCCUCGUCCUCACCCAAUCCACCCACCAAGAGCCCACUGAAGACAACAUUCCCUGCACCUGCGAAGACGACACCUUCCUCACCUGCGGGCCCGAAGGACAAUCCCAGCCGCCCCCAGGCUUCGCCCCAGUGGAGGGCGCGGAUCUCACCGAGGACGGCGAGGUCCUCGGCGUCUCAACAGAAGAACAGUUACAGCUGCGCGCCCUGCGCCUCAAGAACCGCAAUCUCCAGAGGCAGAAAGAGAUACUGGAAGCCAAGCGCCAACGUGUGUCCGCACUAGCCAAGGUGCGGCAGAUGAUACGCGACGAGGAGCAGAAGGCCCAAGACCUCGAGCGCGAGAUCGCGCUGAUGCAGCGCGAAGGCCACCUCGGUCUACAGCAAGAGCCACCCCUCCAGCAGCGCGCGCAACCGGAGGACACGCGCGAAGGCCACCUCGGCCUGCAGCAUGGCCCACCCCUGCAACACCGGCCGCAGCCGGAGAACCCGCGUUUCCCCCAACAUGAUUACGCCUUCCAGCACGGCGCACCAUUCCAAGGGGUCAACUACCUCGAUGAGCGAAGUCCCCUGGCGCCACACCUGCAAGUGACGCCGUGGCCAGCUAACUUCCGAGCAGGGGCAUAUCCCAAGUACAACGGCAGCACCGAUUCGGCGCAAUACAUAAUGAGUUAUCAAGUCGCCGUUGCAUCCGCCGGAGGGGACGACGCCACAAUGGCGAAGUCUUUCAUCAUCGCCCUAGAGGGCCCAGCACUCACCUGGUUCACCAGAUUGCCCCCGCUGUCCAUUGAUUCGUGGAGAAGUCUCAGGGACAAGUUCCUUCUCAACUUCCAAGGGUACCGCCCAGACACCGACGCUUUGGCCGAGCUCUCGCUUUGCAAACAGCUGGAAAAGGAGACUCUGCGGGAGUAUUACCGCAAAUUCUUAACGCUCAAGUCACAGCUGCCCUCCGUCGAUGAUCAGAUCGCUAUCCACUACGCCAUCAGUGGCCUUCGGGCCGGCGUCCUCUACAGCCACUGUAUAAGAGAUCCACCCAAGAACCUUCAGGAGCUAUAUCAGCUCUUUGAAAAAUAUGCCAAAUCCGAAGAGCUCCACCAGCGCAAAGUUGAGUCACAGCGGAAGCCCAAGGAUGCCCCGCAGUCCAGCCACACAUGGACGAGGACUCCGCAACCAGACUCCGGUCGAGACGGCCGCAGUCAGCAGCAAGUGCACAACAUCGCAAACCAGCAGCCUGCUGCUGACCCCCUCGUCGCCAGGAAUAUCCCCCCCAAGGCCGCGGGAACGGAACUCGUGGCAGGGGCCGAGGGCGCGCGCAGCCGCCGCGCCGGUUCUACUGCCUUUUCCACGGCGAAGACUGCGCCCACCAAACGAAAGACUGCCCCGAAACGAAGGCCACCAGAGACAGAAUGGCGCGGGCGCAGCCAGCCGACAAUCCCAGAAUUGUCGCGCAUAAUUACCAGCCACCCCCUCCACCAUAUAUCCACGCUCCCGCUCCGCAUCCACCGCACCACGCUUACCAACGCCAUCAGGAAGUACAAAUCGUACCUCCUCCACCCCCACCACCACACCAGCAACACCAAAACAUCCCCCACGCCCCAAAACAGGAAGACUUCGCCGAUCAACCAUAUCGCGGAGUCAUUCACAUGAUAACAGGGGGGUCCAGCACUGACUUCGACACCAAGCGGCAGAAGCGGGACCACUACCGCAGCAUCAACCAUGUCGCGGUCACCGGCCCAGUCGUGCAGACGAAGUGGUCCCAUAUACCGCUAACCUUCGAUGCACGAGACGUCGACCUGCGCAGCGCCCCCCACAUCGACGCUAUGGUCAUCAAUUGCAGCGUGGCAGGCUGGGACUUGCACAAAGUCCUGGUCGACAACGGCAGUCAGGCGGACAUCAUCUUCCUCCACGCCUUCGACCGCAUGGGUAUAAGCCACAGCCUGCUCAAGCCUUCGGACAAUCCGUUGUAUGGCUUCGGCGGCAAAGGCACCUUCCCCGUUGGCAAAAUAGAGCUUCCCCUCUCCUUCGGUGUAGCACCCAAUGCCCGAAGUGAGCAAGUAACCUUCGACAUUGUCGACAUGGUAUAUCCGUACAACGCCAUCAUGGGCCGGGGCUCAAUCAAUAAGUUCGAAGCCGCCAUCCACGGACUGUACCUAUGUAUGAAGAUACCAGGUCCGCUAGGCGCUAUCACGAUCUACGGCAACCAGCAGACGGCGUGCAACAUAGAGCGGGACUUCGUGCCUGGUCAGAGGAACGUACAUUGUCUAACGGCCCAGCGCGAGGUCCCCGCGCCCGCCAGCCCAGCCGACAAGCAGCACGAGAAGGCACAGUUGCAGAGCCAAGAUGGAACCAGGACUGUUCCCCUUGACCAGGCCACGCCCAAGCAGACAGUCACUAUCAGCGAAGACCUUACGUCACAUGAAGAAGAAAGGCUUCUCUGCUGCCUGGCCAAAAAUAAAGAUGUCUUCGCCUGGUCCGCCCUAGACCUGGUCGGAGUCAGCCGAUCCAUAAUUGAGCACAGCUUGGGAAUUGACCCUUCGGUGCGACCAAAAAAGCAAAGGCUCCGCAAAAUGUCCGACGAAAAGACAGAGGCCGCCAAGGCGGAAGUGCACCGCCUCCUAGAAGCUAAAUUCAUCGAGCCAGUGGCUUACCCCACGUGGCUCUCCAAUGUCGUAAUGGUGCAGAAAAAAAGCGGGAAAUGGCGAAUGUGCAUAGACUUCACCAGUCUCAAUAAGGCCUGCCCGAAGGACAACUUCCCGUUGCCGCGGAUCGACAAGAUAGUCGAUAGCGCGGCCGGGUGCGAGGUCAUGUCACUCCUCGACUGCUUCUCCGGCUAUCACCAGAUAUACAUGAAGGAGGAAGACAAGGCUAGCACCAGCUUUAUAACACCCUUCGGCACUUAUUGCUUCAUCAGGAUGCCGGAGGGACUCAAGAAUGCGGGGUCCACCUUCUCCAGACUCACCAAAACAGUGCUCGAGGGCCAGGUCGGCAGAAAUAUAUUUACAUAUGUGGACGACAUCGUCAUCGCCAGCAAGAAUAAGGAGGACCACCUCGCCGACCUCGCCGAGACAUUCGCGAACAUGCGAGAUGCACGACUCCGCCUGAACCCGGAAAAGUGCGUCUUCGGUGUUCGCCAGGGCAAGAUAUUGGGUUACCUGGUGUCACACCGCGGCAUCGAGGCCAACCCAACCAAGAUCCAGGCCAUCGUCGACAUGUCGCCUCCGCAGUCCGUCAGGGACGUCCAGCGUCUGACAGGCAGACUGGCCGCUCUCAACAGAUUUAUCUCCAGGUCCGCCGAGCGAAGUCUUCCCUUCCUCAAAACACUCCGCGGCGUGAAAGACUUCGCUUGGGGACCGGAGCAAGCAGCGGCCUUCGCCUCACUCAAACAGUACCUGUCGGAGCUGGCCAUCCUCACCAGCCCCGACUCCUCGCUCCCCCUAUUGCUCUAUGUCGCGGCUUCGCCGCACGCGGUCAGCGCGGCACUAGUGCAGGAGCAGCCAGUCGAAGGCGCAGUCAGACAGUGCCCUGUUUACUAUGUCUCCGAAGUCCUGACACCGUCCAAAUGCAACAUGACAGAGCUGGAGAAGAUCGCCUACGCAGUUGUCAUGUCCUCGCGCAAACUGCGCCAUUACUUUGAAGCAUUCAAGGUCCGGGUCACCUCUGACAGAGGGCUCGGCGAACUAUUCAGAAACCCGGAGGCAUCGGUGAGGAUUGCCAAGUGGGCAGCCGAACUCUCCGGCUACCACAUCAGCUUCGAGCCCAGGACAGCCAUCAAGUCGCAAGUCCUGGCAGACUUCGUCGUCGACUGGACUGGGCCAGCAACACAGCCGGACCCGUCCACAGAGAAGAUCUGGACCAUCCAUUGCGACGGUGCAUGGUGCCAUGCGGGGGCAGGCGUCGCUGCAGUCGUCACCUCACCUGCCGGAGUCAAACACAGAUAUGCAGCACGCCUCAACUUCGCUCUGGAAUCCGACAAAUGUACAAACAAUAUAGCAGAGUAUGAAGCGGUUAUCCUCGGCCUCCGCAAGCUAAGGGCCCUCGGAGUCACCACAUGUAUCAUCAAGACAGACUCCAAGAUAGUUGCCGGACAGGUCGAGAAAGACUAUGCAGCAAAAGACCCCGCCCUCAUGCAAUACCUCGCGGCUAUCUGAAGUCUCGAGAGACAAUUCAAGGGAUUCACCCUGCAGCAUGUGGAUAGGGCCAAGAACGAGGAGGCCGAUGCCUUAGCCAAGGCCGCCGCCAGGGGCGAGCCCCUGCCCUCCGACGUGUUCUUUCACACCAUCGGCACUCCAGCCGUCCGGAGCCCCGAAGGGCUCCAGAUAACUAAUGAUAGCGAAGGCCACCGUAUAGUCAACCUAAUCAUGACCGAAGACUGGAGGGCACCAAUAACCCUGUUCCUACAGGGGUACUAUCAUCCAGCCGACGUCAGUGAGGCAAAGCGCCUCAGACAUCGAAGCCGGGACUUCGCUCUGAUCGAGGGCCAACUAUACAAGAAAGGGGUCAGUCAGCCAAUGCUCAAAUGCGUCACCGAAACCGAAGGCAUGCAGAUCCUACGCGAAGUCCACAGUGGCACGUGCGGCUCGCACGCAGGGCCAAGGGCCCUGGCUGCCAAGGUGAUCCGACAAGGGUUUUACUGGCCUGCAAUGAUCUGCGCCGCAAAUUGGGUCACGAGGUCCUGCGAAGCCUGCCAGAAGUUCUCCCCUCGGUCAGGCAACCCCUCGCAAUAUACAAAGCUGAUUGCCCAUACAUGGCCCCUCCAGCGCUGGGGCCUGGACAUCGUCGGGCCCCUGCCCACCGCUCAGGGGAACCUUAAGUUCGCCUUCGUAGCCGUCGAAUACUUCACCAAAUGGAUUGAAGCGAGGGCUGUUUCCACAAUCACAUCAAAGACUGCCCAAAAAUUCUUCUGGCAGAACAUCGUUUGCCGCUUCGGAGUACCGUCCGAGCUAACAGUUGACAACGGCAAGCAGUUCGACAGCCAAGAUUUCAAGGAUUUUUGUUUCUCCAUCGGCACCAAGCUUGCCUUCGCUUCAGUCUAUCAUCCGCAGUCCAACGGGGUUGUGGAGCGCGCCAAUGGGAAAAUAUUCACAGCUGUCAAAAAGAUGCUCCUCGAUGAAAGAAAAGGCAGAUGGACCGAUUUAUUACCAGAGGCAGUCUGGGCGCUAAACACAACCGAGUGCAGGGCGACCGGGUUCACUCCUUUCCGCCUUCUAUACGGAUCGGAGGCAAUGACCCCGCAAGAAAUAAAGCAUGGGUCCCCGCGCACAGUUCCGUCAGCCGUCCCCGACGUGGAUGAGCCAACUUCAAAAGAUCUCAUUGACGGAGACCGGGUCUUCGCCCUACAGGCCCUAAACAAAUAUCAAACCCAGACCAAAGCAUGGCGCGACCGCGCAGUCAUCCCGAGGGAGUUCAGCGAGGGGGACCUCGUACUCAUCCGAACAGCUCGGACGGAGUCCAAGGGCAAGUUGGAGCCCAAGUGGGAGGGCCCCUUCAUAGUCAAAACAACAGCUUCCCCCAGCGCCUACAGGCUCACAACGCCAAAUGGCGAGGACCUGGAGCACUUCUGGAACAUCGACAACCUUCGCAAAUUUUUUGUUUGAUCCACUUAGGGCUGAUUUCGCCCUUGUAAUUCACCACAAACAAUCUUAUACCGGCCCGCACUCUUUUCCUCCCGGGGGGUGAGGUUUUUAACGAGGCGGAGCCAUGUAAUAUAUGUGAGAAAAAUCCCCCGCAAAAACAAGUGUCGAAAAAAGACCGCGACAACGGUCUUCGGCAUUCGACCAAUUCGAAGUCACCGCGAGGCUAAGCGCUAGCCACCCUCGCGUGCGACAAAUCCGCGCAGAAGUCGCCUAAGGGUGCAGCCGGACUUAGCACAACAAGUGCGAAAAAAUUCCGACGUCUAUCGCGAAGACUAUCCGUGCCGAAGUCGCCUAAGGGUGCAGCCGGACUUAGCACAAUAAGUGCGAAAAAAUUCCGACGUCUAUCGCGAAGACUAUCCGUGCAGAAGUCGCCUAAGGGUGCAGCCGGACUUAGCACAACAAGUGCGAAAAAAUUCCGACGUCUAUCGCGAAGACUAUCCGUGCAGAAGUCGCCUAAGGGUGCAGCCGGACUUAGCACAACAAGUGCGAAAAAAUUCCGACGUCUAUCGCGAAGACUAUCCGUGCAGAAGUCGCCUAAGGGUGCAGCCGGACUUAGCACAACAAGUGCGAAAAAAUUCCGACGUCUAUCGCGAAGACUAUCCGCGCAGAAGUCGCCUAAGGGUGCAGCCGGACUUAGCACAACAAGUGCGAAAAAAUUCCGACGUCUAUCGCGAAGACUAUUCGCGCAGAAGUCGCCUAAGGGUGCAGCCGGACUUAGCACAACAAGUGCGAAAAAAUUCCGACGUCUAUCGCGAAGACUAUCCGCGCAGAAGUCGCCUAAGGGUGCAGCCGGACUUAGCACAUCAAGUGCGAAAAAUUCCGAUGUCCCUCGCGAAGACUCCGCGCAGAAACCGCCUAAGGGCGCGGGCAGACUAGUACAACAAAAGCAGAAGCGACAGCAUCAAACCAUCCGCGCUAAGACCGACUAUAACCACACCUUACAAGCCUUUACACAUAUACAAGCGAGGGCGCCACACUCUACAUCGGCUCAAUCUUAGGAAUAAUUCCCAUCUCCCUAUAAUUAAAUAACAUUAUCCUAAGCUCCUCACCCGCAAAAAGACUUCGCAGCUCCCCUUCCCCUACACCCGCGGCGGCCGGCGAAGACAGUAGCUCCUGCCGACCAGCCCUACUCACGCGAAGCCGAGCCCCUUCCUCCGCGCUAACCCUACGCUUUGCAACCGCCCUUCGUCGUCGGCGUCCGGUGCUAGGACCUGGCACGUUUGACGCGUCCGCGGUGUGUGGCGACGCCUCCGCCGCAGCCACGUCCAAGGCCGCAAAAUAAUCCAAGUCCUCCUCCGACGACUCCUCAGUCCACUCAACCGAGCUCCCAGAGUCAGUAAAAUCAAAAAACUCAGUUACAGGCCCACCAUAUUCAUUCCCACCUUCCGCGGUCGAAGCCGCCAAAAACUCAGUAGUAGCGGUUGCGUGCGCAGGCCCAAAUUCUUGAACCUGCGCAGCAACCAAAAUUCAGCACAACAUCCAAAAAUUCCCCAACCCUAAACACCAACUACGCCACCUGCGAAGGCCCUGGCGCCGCGGGAGCCUCCGCCGUUGGCUCCGCCAAAGGCUCCGCCGCGGCCUCCGCCGCAGUUUCCGCCGCCACCGCCGCGGAACCUUCAGCACUCGGCACAGCGGCUGCGGGGGCAUCAGGGUCGCCUUCGCCAGUCGCAGCGGAUGGGGGGGCAGACGUCGCGAUCGCUGCGAUCUCCGGGGUUGGCUCCGGGUCGACCCCAGUCACAGCCUCCGCGAGGGUCGACCCCAGAUCUGGCAGCACGCUGUCCAGAGCCCCGAAGUCGUCCACCCGCUCGCCGCGCUCCGCCUAGGACAAGACACACAGAUUCAGCAAACACACGCACAGCCCGCAUACAGCAAACGCCAAACAAACAGCAACGUUACCUGAGCCCUCGCAGCCUCGGCGCGCUCCCUGACCACCUCACGACCGUACAGACCCCACAUCCGGUCGUAAAGGGCCCCGGCGGACUCCUUCACUACGAGGUCUUCGACCUUAUAGAUGUCUCGCUCAAAGUCUUCAUCCACCUGGUCGAAGACCUCGAAGUGCCGGCACCCUUCGCGGGAGAGCGCGUUCAUCGCCCCCUCGCAGGUGACCAGGGAGGCGUACGACAUCAACCCCCCCACAACGGUUGGAAGUUCCAGCAGCUCCUCCUGCGCCCACUGCAGGCAGCAAAGCCCGGGCUCUCGGUCCGGCACCUCGAAGUCACCGGUCCGCGCACCAAGCUCACGAUAUGUAUCCAUAAGCUGUGUGCGCGUCCGUUCGGCCUCCGCACGCAUCGCGGCCUCGGCCUCCUUCGCGCGGCUCUCCAGGGCGGUGAGCCGCCCUCGCAGUUGCUCCACGAGCUCCUUGGCAAGAUUGCCCUCAGCCCGCGCCAGCUUAGCAUCCGCCUGCGCAGCCUGUUCCUUGGCGAUGGCCUCGUUGGUUUCCCUCCUCUCCGCCGCCAGUUGGCGCCGGAGGUCAACUUUCUCCCUCUCCAGGGCGGCCACCUUGUCUGUCAGAUUGCGGCACUUGCUGUCGGAGGCCGACUUCUCACGGACAGCGUCAGCAUGUUGCGUCCGAAGUCUCUCGACUUCGGCAGACAAAGCCGCCGUAAGGGCCCCCGACGCAGUACGGCUGGUGAAAUCAGCCACCUGCAGAGCACACAUAAGGAAGUCAGCCACCCGGAGGGGGGAGGAGGGAGUAUAGAUCAGCGGACCUAACUCAGCGCCUCCGUCGCCUGACUCAGCGCCUCCGUCACUCCCUUCAGCCGGCGGGUCGCCGCGCCCGCCUCGUCCCUGACCAGCGCGAGGGCCGGCACCUCGCCUCCGGCGCCAAGGAUCUCGCCCCUCGCCUUCGGCGCUUGUGCAGCCGUCGCGAUCGCCGCGGCAGGCGCAACUAUGGCAAGCUGGCCCUCGUCCGACCCUGCAACGCAUCUUCAAAUUAAAAAAAAUAAAAAAUAAAAAAAAUAAAUAAAUAAAUAAUAACAAUGACAAUAAUAGGCCAGCGACUUACCACCAAGAUAGUCAUCCACAGUAAUGUCGGUGCCGAAGUCGGCAACACGCUUGCCCGCCAGCGGCAGCGCUCGGGCCGCCUUCGAAGCCUCCGCCACUCCGCUGGCCGGGGGCACCACCUUCGCUGACUUGGAGCCUCCGGCGCCCGCCGUUGCCUCCGGCGCCCUGCUAGGUGCAGAGGCACCAGCCUUCGCCGCCAGCGGCGGCUUACCUCCGCCGGAGGCCACAGCCUUCGCAGUUCCCCGCGGCCUUUUCGGCCGAGCUUCGUGAAUCCUGACAGUCGCCUGGCGUUUUUGCGCCGCCCCUUGGCGAUCCUUGUCCAUCACUGUCCACACAACAGCACCGAUAUUUCGCCCGUAAGGAAAAACUCUCCACCGAUGAACCAUACGAGAUGUAAAACAGUCCUCCUCAGCCGCGCAGGGGAUAGGAACAUUUCUAGGCCAGCAACCCCCGGUAACCCUCAGCAUCCAAGCCGAAGACUCCCGGAGCUCGGGCGAAGACAUCCUCUCCCCCGGGGCCGCACACGUCCUCAUUAAAUCCCUAGCAAAACUAUCAGACAACCCAAUCCCUCCCGUCGCAGUACCUAAUUUUCUCUUUUUCGAGGGAGGGGCGGCCGCCGGCGCAGGGUCAUCUCCUGUCUCCACCGCCGGUUUCUUCCCGCGGCGGUCGGCUUCGUCUUGACCAGGAUAUCCAUCGUACGACAAUUGAUUUAAUUUGAAGACCCUGUUCAGACGAUCAUUCGACCCGCGGAUAUCAAAGCUGCGCUGGCCUUCCGUCCUCGGCACGUAACGCCCCACGAGCCGCACGGCCCCGUCCUCCGUGUCGCGCACGAAGGCAGCCGGGUCGCGGUUCCGCAGAUUCAGUGCGAAGGCAGGGCUUCGCACAACCCUUCCUCCGUGAAAAGGCAUCUGGCGAGGGCACACUUCGCCCAGCACCCAACCGUGCGCCAAGGGCCACACCCCAUACGCCACAAACUCUUCAACUAAAUCACGCCCACUGCUCUGACCGGCGGCGCACCGAAGGGCCCCUUCGUCUGCAUCUUCCUCUGCCACUUCAAAAGGCGGAUACGCAGAGUAAUAAUGAGAGCACAUCUCAGACACAGGGAGACCUUUAUGGCCUUCGACAGUACCCUCCGCAACGUAAAACCAAAAUUCAUUCCAAUUGCCCCACUUGUUGCGGGCGCACGGAACCAACUCCACUACUGGCAUUGUGGUCUUGCCGGUCUUCGGCGUGAAUGUGCAUGACCCGAACUGGGCAACUCCGUCCCCAACCAUCCUCUUCUGCCAAUGCAAACAAUAAUUCUUCGCAAAAACUUCAACAGACGGCUGCCCGCCGUACGAAGUCGUCGCCCAGACAUACUUCGCCAGCGCCACCAUGGCAUUCGGUGUCAGCUGAUGUAUCUGAACAUUGAAUCUACGCAGGACUUCGCCGACAAACCGGUGCGCAGGCAAGCGGAGACCGGCGGCGAAGAACGCCUCGAAAACGACCAACUCACCCUCCUGCUCGGGGACUUCCUCCGUCCCCGGAGCACGAGCAACUCCACCGCCAAAGUAGCCCAACCGCUGCAUAUCUUCAACGCGGGCUGACGUCAUCCGUGACACACCAAAAUCAACGGAGUCGCCGGCGCGCAACUCCUCCACCAUCACGCUACUCAACGUCUCCUCAGACGAGGCGGCGGCCGGCGGCGUGGUGUCGGAGGAAGAAGAAGAGGACGGCAUUGCUACGUACCGUCGGCGGCGGCGAGCGGUUUGCUUCACUCGAGCCAGCACUCCGACGAGCAAAAGGAGCAGCGGAAGAAGAAGAGCAGCAAGGCGGCGGGAGGCUAGGGUUUUCACGGAGCGCGGAAGGCAAAGUUCAAACAGCGCCGGCCCCCGCCCCCCUUUUAUAGGCAGGGCGCGGCUCUUCGGGAAACCCGCAAUCCGACAGGGCGCGACGCUUCGGGAAACCCGCAAUCCAACAGUACGCCGUCCAUCAACGGUCACAUCAGAAACCCCCGCGGAACCACUUCGAGCGAGGGCAGCGUCUCCGCCAUCUAGCGACGUCUUCGGCACCAGGUGACUUUGUCGAACUGGUCCCUCGGAGGGCAAAUGUUGGGGCGAAGGCAAAGACGCCACCCUUCGCUCGAGGUCUCUCGCUGCAGUCGCUGGUUUGACGAAGACAAAACGGGCAGGGACACCCUUCGCUUCAUUCAGUACAAGACGAAGGCCUGCGGUGACGUCUCCCCGUAGCACGGCCUCGUCCUGCUCUGAGGCCCACGUGUGAUCUGGCCCAUUGUAACGGGCCCCGCGUGGCCGCCUUUGUGUUACGGGCCUAGUUUGUAAAGGCAUUCUUGUAAUUACGGCUUGUAACCCCACUUUAUGGGAAUAUUCUGGGGAUAAACUAGGUGUCUGAGGGCACAUGCGUCCUUAACACAAGGCGCUGGGACCUCAGAUACCUAUAAAUACCCCCGCAUUCUGCCCGUGAGAGGCUAGAUCAACAGAGCUAUUGCCCCCGUGCACGUAACCCUGUUGUCACCACCGUUCACCCUUGUUGGCCUCCUUGCUGCUGAGAGCAAGUUCCAACAGUACAACUUGAAAAUGAUAUUGUUGAUGAUUGUGAUAGCGAUAAUGAUGAUGAAUAUGCUUCUCCUAUCUAUGAUGAAUUAGCUGACUUGCUUAAAGAAUAUACUCAGAUCAUUAGAAAGUGAAAAGCUAAAUGUGACAAGCUAAAAUAUGAAAAUGAGUUCUUAACUGCUAAGUAUGACAUAGUUGUUAAAGCUAGUGAAGAAAUGAAGGAACAAAAUAAAACUAUGUCAUCCACCAAAAAUGAGCUCAAGACCUCCCUUAAAGAUGUUAAAGAAAAUGUGAAAAAUUAAGUGAAGCAAAUAGGGAGCUAAAAGAUAGGCUUGUCAAAAUAAAGGAAGAUUAUAUAAAGAUUAAAAUUGAUUAUGAUAAUCUUCUUAUUGCAAAUGAGUUUUUAUCUUGUAACACACAUGAGGCUAUUAACCCUCUUCUUAAGAUUGAUGUAGCAACCUCAUGUGAUGAUUUGAGCAAAGUUGAUCAGUCUAGUCUUCAUGAUGAAUUGAUUGAAAAAGUUGAAGUCAUGACACUAGAGAACCAGAAAUUGAAGAAGUACUUGACAGAUGCAACCACUAAAGGAAAAGUUGCUAUAGAAAUCAUUGAUGUUAAUAAUGAGUUGGAAAUGGACAAUGAAAGGCUUAGAGAUGAAGUCAAGAAACUUAAGCUUGAGAAAGAACAUCUUGCCACAAGUGUACAAAAGUUCAGCAAAGGCCAAUACCGUCAAAACAAGUUACUGAUGAACAAUGUCAUGAAAAAUAAUAAGAGUGGUAUUGGAUACAAUUCUUUUGUGCAAAAGAAAGCAACAAGUCAAUACAAGGCAAAACAAACUCUCCUAAGCCAAUCAAGUGAUAUGAGUGGGGAAACGAAUGACAUUUUGCCCCAACUGCAAAGCCACACCACCAACUCCCUUGCUUAAGCACUCAAGACCAUUUGCUUUCAAUGCUCAUUAUGUUCUAAGAAAAGUUGCAAAUGAAAAAGUCAAAGUAACAUUCCUAGGUACACCAAGCAAGAGUAGACCUAGACAAAUUUGGGUUGCAAAGUCCUUGAUUGAGAAAGUUACUGGUCCUAUGCAAAAUAGGGCCCCUAAGAUUGAAGCUUGAUUUGUUUGUUCAUGUAGGUGAACUACAAGACCGGUGGGAGCCAUUUGGUAAUUGAUAGUGGAUGCACUCAACAUAUGACUGGCAACCCACUGAUGUUCACCUCACUUGAUGAAGAUGUUGAUGAACAAAAUAAAAUCACUUUUGCGGAUAAUUCAAAAGGAAAAGUUCAAGGGCUUGGCAAGGUGGCAAUUUCAAAUAAUCUUUCAAUUUCAAAUGUUCUCUUGGUUGCACCAUUAAGCUUCAACUUGCUAUCAGUGGGUCAACUUUGUGAUAUUGGCCUUCAGUGCUUAUUCACUCCUACAAAGGUUGUUGUGUCUAAAAUGGAUGAUGAGUCAGUGAUAUUCAAAGGAUUUAGAUACAACAACCUAUAAUUAGUGGAUUUCUCUUCUGAUGAUGCAAACCUAAGGACUUGCCUCUUUACGAAAGCAUCUCUUGGAUGGCUAUGGCAUAGAAGGCUUGCACAUGUUGGAAUGAGUACACUCAAGAAAAUUCUAAAGAAAGACAUGGUUAGAGGAUUGAAUGAUGUAUUUGAAAAGGACAAGCUUUGUAGUGCAUGUCAGGAUGGAAAGCAAGUUGCUAACACUCAUACUACAAAAGCUUUUAUGUGAACAUCAAGGCCACUAGAGUUACUUCACAUGGCUCUAUUUGGACCAACAACUUAUGCUAGUGCUGGUGGCAACCUCUAUUGUCUGGUAAUUGUUAAUGAUUUUUCAAGAUACACUUGGGUGUUCUUUCUUCAUGACAAGUCUGAGGUUGCAUCAAUAUUCAAGAAAUUUGCCAAGAAAGCUCAACAUGAAUUUGACUGCAAAAUCAAGAAAAUAAGAAGUGACAAUGGAAAGGAAUUUGACAACACCAAUAUUCAUGAAUACUGUGAUGAAAUUGGGAUCAAGCAUGAAGUUUCUGCAAUGUAUACACCUCAAUAAAAUGGAGUUGUUGAAAGAAAGAACAGAACUUCGAUCACUCUUGCAAGGACAACGAUUGACGAGUAUAACACACCAGAGAUGUUUUGGCUGAAGCUCUCAACACUGCAUCCUAUGCAUCAAACAGACUAUUUUCUCACCGGAUACUUGAGAAGACUCCCUAUGAACUGCUAAAUGGGAAAAAGCUAGAUGUCUCUUUCUUCCAGGCGUUUGGAUGCAAAUGCUACAUCUAUAAGAAAGGUCAUCACCUAGGGAAGUUUCAAAGACAUUGUGACAUUGGUUUCUUACUUGGUUAUUCAUCAAAAUCCAAAGCACAUCGAGUAUUCAAUCAUGCCACUGGCGUGGUGGAAGAAACAUAUGAUGUGGAAUUUGGUGAUACUAAUGGCUCCCAAAUUGCACUUGAAAAUCUUGAUGAUGUAGGUGAUGAACCACUUAGGGAAGCCAUGAAGAAUAUGCCUAUUAGAGCCAUCAAACCAAAAGAAGAUGAAGAAGAGGUGCAAGCUAUCAACAUGCCUUCUUCAUCAAAUGUACCACAUGAUGAUGAAAAAUAUGAGAGGCAUGCAAAUGAAGAUACAUUUGUCUCUCAUGAACAAGCAAGGGUACAAGCCAAAGAUGUUGAUGUUCCAAGAUCUUCUUCCCAAGUGGUUGACAAGAGGAACUCAUCACUACUACAAGCACAUCCACAAGAUCUUAUCAUUGGGAGUCCUUCACAAGGAGUUAUUACUCGUUCUCAAAGAUAUGCUUCAUUUAUUGAACAUCACUCUUUUGUUUCUUGUGUUGAGCCUACACAUAUAAAUGAGGCGCUAUAGGAUUCGGACUGGGUGAAUGCCAUGCAUGAAGAAUUAAACAAUUUCACCCGGAAUCAAGUUUGGACCCUGGAGAAGCCUCCACAAGAUGCAAGAAUCAUUGGAACAAAGUGGGUGUUCCGAAAUAAACAAGAUGAUCAAGGUGUGAUUGUGCGGAACAAGGCAAGGCUUGUUGCAAAGGUGUUCUCUCAAGUUGAAGGUUUAGAUUUUGGAAAGACCUUUGCACUUGUUGCUCGACUUGAAGCCAUUCGUAUCCUUCUUGCAUAUGCAUCCUGCUAUGACAUAAAACUUUAUCAAAUGGAUGUAAAAAGUGCAUUUUAAAUGGCUUAAUAAAUGAACUAGUAUAUGUUGAGCAACCACCCGGGUUUGAAGACCCUAGAUAUCCUAAUCAUGCUUACCGGUUGUCCAAGGCGCUAUAUGGUCUAAAGCAAGCUCUAAGGGAUUGGUAUGAGCGUCUUCGCGACUUCCUCAUUGAUAAGGGCUUCAAGAUCGGGACCGUCGACACCACUCUAUUCACAAAGAAACAUAACAGUGAUAUUUUUAUUUGUCAAGUUUAUGUUGAUAAUAUAAUCUUUGGCUCGACAAAUGAUUGUCAUUGCAAGGAAUUUGGUGAGUUGAUGUCUAAGGAGUUUGAGAUGUCAAUGAUUGGUGAGCUAACCUUCUUACUCGGCUUCUAAGUCAAGCAAAUGAAAGAUGGCAACUUCCUCUCGCAAGAGAAGUACACCAAAGACUUGUUGAAAAGAUUCAAAAUGGAGAAGUGCAAACCAAUCAAGACACCCAUGCCUACAAAUGGACAUCUCGACUUAGAUGAGGGAGAUAACUCGUUUGAUCAAACUCUCUACCGUUCUAUAAUUGGUAGUUUAUUAUAUCUUACCGCAUCUAUGCCCAAGAUCAUGUUUAGUGUCUGUAUCUAUGUUCGAUUUCAAGCAAUCCCUAAGAAAGCUCUUCUUAGCACUGUUAAAAUAAUUCUUAGGUAUCUUAAGCACACACCAAGUGUUGGCCUUUGGUAUCCCAAAGGAGCUACUUUUGAUUUAAUUGGCUAUUCCAAUUCAAAUUAUGCAGGUUGCAAAAUUGAUAGGAAAAGUACAUCCGGUGGAUGCCAUUUGCUUGGGAGAUCACUAGUUUCAUGGACUUCUAAAAAGCAAAAUAGUGUUGCCUUGUCAACCGCUGAAGCGGAAUACAUUGUCGCGGGUGCUUGUUGCACACAAAUUCUUUAUAUGAAACAAACUCUUCUAGACUAUGGUGUAGUUCUAGAAAAGGUACCUUUGUUGUGUGACAAUGAGAGUGUUGUUAAAAUUGCUAAGAAUCCUAUACAACACUCUCGCACCAAGCACAUUGAUAUCCGUCAUCACUUCCUUAGAGAUCAUGUUGCUAAAGGAGAUAUAAUAUUAGAAGGAGUGAGAUUGGAAGAUCAAUUAGCGAAUAUUUUCACAAUGUCUUUAGACAAAACCUGCUUUUGUAUGUUGAGGAAUGAGCUAAAUAUUCUUGAUCUCAGAAAUUUUACUUUCAUAAAAUUGUGAUGUCAAGUUUGCAUUGCAUAUUUUAAUUUCUUGUAUUGCAUCUAGGGCUUGUCUAACCUAGUUGAGAUAACCACCAACAAAGCGAGUGAAAAAGCUUAACUCGGGCUAAAACUUGACAAGUUCUAGCUUUUAAGCUUUUGGUACUUAAAUUUCAUUUACUAUGCAAUUGUUGGUUUUUGAGAUAUGCAUGUGGCACUGCACUUAGGGGGAGUAUUCACAACUCAAUUCAUACAUGAAACCUCUAGUGUAAUACCCAAAUGCAAAAUAUCACCAUUUGCCUAUUUUCUCUAAAAACUAUCAAGUUGUGAGAAUAUGUGAGGGUACCAAUACCUGUUCCAACAGGUGUUCUUACCCUUACUUUACAUUCUGCAUUUACUUUGAGCAUUUUACUUAGUGCAAUUGCUUAGCAAGUAUUUGUAGUAAUGAUUUAGGGUUGUUGUUUUUCUAGUAGUAUUUACUUAUUGCUAGUAGUUGGGUGAAGUUGGGCUUAUGCUUAGGGUUUAACUUUUGGUUGGAAUUUUAGAAAAGCUCAAUUCACCCCCCUCUUGGGCAUCGUGAUCCUUUCAGGACUGAUCGAAGGGUUUUGUCAAAAUGUCAGCAAGCUGCCUAUGGGUAUCAACGUGGCGCAAAUCGAUGUCCCCUUCGAAUGCAUCACAUGAUUCUCGGUAACACUUAUGGCACUCAUGCUAUCACAAAGCAAGGGCACAUGAUGAAAAUCGAAGCCAAAAUCUCACAAAGUAACCAUCAUCCAAAGCAACUACGAGCAACUCCUAGUGGCAACAACAUAAUCAACCUCUAUAGUAGACUGAGCAACGCUAGACUGUUUGUGCGAAGACCAGGAAACAAACGAAGUCCCCAAAAAAUGACAAAUCCUAGAAGUAGACUUGUGAUCCAAAUGACAUCCCACAAAAUCAGCAUCUGAAUACACACAUGGACAUGACAGAAGACGAGAAGUACCAUAAACCAGACUCAGUAGUGAAACAAAGGUACCUCAUAAUCUGUUUGAUAGCCUGCAUGUGGGAAUUGCACGGGGAAACCUGGAAGAAAGCACACAAACACACUGCAAAGUGUAUAUUCGGCAUCAUCGCAGUCAGGUAUAGGAGGAAGCUGAUCAUGCUCAUGUAUUUCUUCUAGUCUAUGGGCUUGUUGUCCUCAUCGGCAUCCAGCACCGUCGUGGUGGACAUGGGCGUCGAAAGAGGCUUGGCCUUGCCCAUGUUAAACUUCUUUAGGACAUUCUUUGUGUAUUUGCCUUGGUGCACAGAAGUCUCGUCUUGGGUCUGCUAGAUUUGUAGCCCAAGGAAGAAGUUGAGCUCUCCCAUCAUGCUCAUCUCAAACUCCCUGCUCAUAUGUAGCAUCCCAAUUUUUAAGGAAAGGAAUUAGUUAAGGUAACCCUAUAUACAUAUUCAUAAAUACUAGCAUAAGCACAUCUAUUUUUGAAAAACUCUCUAUCAUGGAUGAUGAUUGUUAAAAGCACCACACUUAGCUAUUUUACCUUGUUUCAUAAAUCAAUAGGGAUUUAUUCCACACUUAGAAAUAUAUAUACACAUGUUCAUAUUAAAAAAAGAAGAAAAAAGAGAGAACCAUCUCCCCCACUCGGCCCAAACCAAUCUAGCCCAGGAUCCCCUCGUGUCUGUGCUCCUCUCUGGCCCACAUCGGCCCAUCCCAACCCUGUGUCCUCCCUCCCAUCUCCCCCACUGACAGCUCAGCACCACCUAUCACCAUCGUCAGCUUCACGAGCUCAAAGUGGUGCACAUCAUCGCCAACGGCCUCUGUUCUCCCCUCAACAUCGUGCACAACAGAAGUAAGCACUACCUUGUCCUCCUCAGCUACGAACGCAAACAUGCAUGUCACCCCUGUCUUCCCCUCAGCGAGAAGUUGCGUCCCCACCAUCCUUCAUCGUCCCCACCCCAUAGCGCCGCCCUGCUCACUAGAGGCUAGCUGAGCAAGGCUCCCCUCCUCGGACACCUAUAAAAGGAGCGCCUGAAGCUCGCCUUCAACCUGCACCAGUAACCUUACCUCCUCCCCUCCCCUGAACUCGGUUGAGCAAGCUCCACCGCCACCUUCAUCUCCGGUGAGACCAGCACCCCCUUUGUGCUCACCUAGAGUCCAAUUAAACCAUAACAGAAGCUUCACCCAACUAAUCCAAACUCCAAUUAGGUUGGGAUUUAUAUGAAUGGAAAGCUAAGGAGAUAAGCUUUCCAACCCAACUAGAAUCACCAUAAAAUUCAUCCGGAGUCAGCGAGAAUCAUCGAAACAAGUCAGCGUUCAGAUUUUGUUUUGGUGCUGCGACACCGUCUGUUGGGCUGUUCGGUCGUGUAUCAUGUUGGAGACCAUUAGGGGUGCAACCAGGGGUCAUGCAUGCCCCUAACCUCUAUUUUAUUAGCAGCUGACACCACAUUAGGGUUUGGGUUUUGCUUAGAUCAUACCUGUCAUCGAACAUUAUCGCCAUUCAUCUGUUUGUGAGACCCCGCUUCAUGAUCAAUGCAGUUUUGAUUGCGUUCUUCUUGUUCUUGCUUGUGUUCUUGAUUGCGCUUGCAGGGAUAAGCCUUCGUGGUGAGGUCACUCAUGUGUCACGGGUGAUAACCAACGGAGCAGUGGUGUAGUGAUUGUGAGAAUCCGUUCGUUCGGAGCCUUGGAUCAUCAACAUCAAGAUCUCCACCCAAUCAAGUUAUCAUACCUCACGAAAGAUCGGGCCUUGCCCUUUAUCAGAUCCUAUACUUCAUAAAAUAUCGAGGCAUGAGGGACCCCAAGGACUUGCACAUAUGAGCGCCCUAGGACAAGAGGGGCCCCAAGAGCAUAGAGCAAUCGUCAUUGCACCAAGACACAAGGCACCCUUGAUACUUAGAUGGUUCCACCAUUUGUUGUUCCAAGGGACCAUGAGCCCUAGUCCUUAGAACACCUCACGGUUUAAUGGCCCCAUGUCUUUGUGGCUCUUUAGAAGACCUAGUGUGUAACUACACCUUCAGGUGCUUUAAUGACAAGGUACCCAACAUCAAACCCAUCAUAUGGCUAAGACUAGAGGAAGUCUCCAAAUCAUGGGUCCCAAGAGUGGUGGUACCAGUAGGUGGGCCCCAUGGUAGCCUCUUUGUACUAGGAUCCUGGCUACUGGGGCAUGUUCUUCCUUGAGCAUUAACAAAUUAUCAUUGGUGAUGAUCCUCAAUAUAUUGCCUUUGUGAAGGCAUGUUUAGGUGACCAGUUUCUUAUAUCUAAUUUUGGUGAUGUUAGUUAUUUUCUUGGGACUAAGGUUUCCUCCACGCCUAAGGGAUUUUAUCUCAAGAAAAGUACACUCAUGGUCUUGAUCAUGCUUCUCUUACUAAUCAUAGUACCUUUGAGAUUCCCAUUGAACUCAACGUUCAUCUUAGUGUCACUUGUUGAUCCUACCUGCUAUCGUCACAUAGUCAAGAGUCUUCUUUAUCAUGGUGUCACUAGUCCUGAUAUUUAUUAUUCUAUGCAUAUUCUUACUUAGUUUGUUUUGGGCCCCACUCAGCUCCACUAGUCACCUGCUUCAUGUCUUACAUUAUCCUCGUGGGAGUAUAUAUUCUUUCCAUGCACAAGUUCUUUACAGUGAUGUGAUCUAGGCUAGUGAUUCUUUUGAUCAUCAAUCUAUUUCUGCAUAUUUUGUUUUUCUUGGUGGCUCUCUUAUUGCUUGGAAGACUAAGAAGCAGACAACAAUUUCUCAUUCGAGUACAAAGACUGAGUUGUGUUAUGGCUCUUAUGAUGGCAGAGAUGACUUGAUUAUGCUAGUUGCUUGCAGAUUUUAGUGUUUAUCUCUGUGCUAACACCUCUUUUGACUAACAUUAUAUUGUGAUCCGAUCAAUUAUGAGUUUACUAAGCAUGUAGAUGUUGAAACCUAUUACACAUGUGCACAGGUUCAGGAUGAUGUGAUUGAUCUUCACUAUGUGUAAUCAGAGCUUCAAGUGGCCGAUUUCUUUAUGAAGGCGUGGAUCAAAGCUAAACAUAGGUUUUAUCUCUCCAAACUUAGUGUGUUUGAUCCACCUUAAGUUUGAGUGAGGCGUUCGAUGCCUAUGCAUACACCCUUAUUGUAUUCGUUCUCAUAUAUAGUAAUUGUUGUACACAUUCCUAUACUACAUCAAUUUAUAUAUUCAGGCCUAAUGCCCUCAUAUUGAAUGAAUGUCAUUCAUACCAACAUCCAUGGUCUAACAACACCCACUCAUCUAUUAAACGAAUGUGUCUAUACUAGCACUAGUUACAUCCACGCUUUAACAAAUACUUGUUGGUCAUCUGUUGAGAUUCCUAGAAAAACAGGGCAACACAAUAGAGUUAGAAAGUCUUCUCACCUUUAAUCUAUUCAUGAGAACUAAUAGAUUAAAGGGAGAAGGUUAGAAUAAUUAUAGGUUCUCAAUGAAAGGUUGAAUUAUCUCAUUAUUACUCUAAAAGUUUACUUCAUCAUUUGUCCUUUUCUUGAUUACAAAUGAAAAAUUACGAGAGUAACUUCAAAGAAUAGAAAGGAUAAUGAAGUAUCCAAAUGUUCUAAAACUUUAAAAGUUGAGCGUUCGAAAUUACACAAGCAAGUUCUUCAGGUAUCUCGAGCUUGCCUGUAUAUGGGUUGUUUACCUAUUUACAGGGAGUUAGGGACACCCCAUCGUACAACUUUGUGUGAAGUUACAACCAUGACCUCAAACCCUAUACAUUCAACCAUAGAAUCUACUAGCGGCAUCAUCGUCUUUUUCUCUCAAAGCCUUGGUGCACAUGUUGGUGAGUCCUUUCUUCGUUUUCUUGCCAACGUGCCUCAUAUGCGCAUUUAAGCCGAAUCUUCUUCUAUUCCACUUUUGACCUGCAUUAGUGACCUUCAGGAAAUAUAAAGUGGUUGCUCCUGAAAUAAAUCACAAAAUGGUUAAGAUUAGCUGAUUCUGAGACAUUCGGUAAAGGCCUACCCUCAACGUCCAUCUAUUAAAUGAAUGAUCAUAAAAGUUCAUUUCGUCUCACCUUGAUUGCAAAGCAGGGUACCUGACUAUGGGUGUGUUUGGCAUGGCUCUGCUCCACCCCAGAGCAGCUCUACUAAACUCUGGGUGGAGCAGCUCUGCUCCAGAGUUUAGAUUGUUUCUCAUAACUAGUGGCAAUGGCGGGUAAAUAACUCAAAACUCCAUGACUAGGUUGUUUUUUUUGGAGUUUUCAGAGCAGCAAAAGAGGUACUCCAAAAAAUUGUACUGCAGCUCCAAAAACUCCAUAGAGUUUAUAACUCUGGAGUUAGGGUGUUUGGCAUGCUCUGGCCAGCUCCUCCUUGGAGUUUUGCUCUGGAGCCAUGCCAAACAGGCCCUAUGUUGCCAUUCCAAAUCACUCGUCUACUUCAAAAAAAAAAACCUUGAAUCAUCGACCACUAUGGACAUGUAAAUUAAGAUCCAAAUCGAGAUGGAAGAGAACAUCUAACAAUACACAACUUUUCCACAUUUGUUUCAUAAGCCUAAGAAUAAACGGUGAAAUUAGAGAUCACUGACAUUGCAGUUAAGGGCAACAAUUCAGCAAACAGGGUUGCCAAAAAAAAACGAGAGUAAAGACACCAACCAUAUAGAGAUACUACUUUUACAUGGCAAAAUUGUUCGGUAGGGGGCAUUUGUGCCAAGCCUUCAUAAGCCUUGCAUCUGCAUAUGCAUUCCCCGGAGCCCAGCUUGGUUCACAGAAUCACACACAUCCAUACGGAUGCAGGCAUCAAGCAAGCAGCCAGAGAGAGGGGGAAGCACAGGGAGAUGGACAAACAACGACGACGAUGGCCGAGAAGGUAGUAGUAGUACAGCAGCAGCAGCAGCAGCAGCAUCAGCACCAGAGAAGGCAGUAGUAGUACCAGCAGCGGCAGCAGUGGCCAAGCGGGCUUCAACGGGAUAAAUGCAUUCAGAUCUCCAUUCUUAAUGCAAACACUAUAAUCAUCAGGCUGGUAUAUCAAAAUGACUACCCCAUAACAAAACCGAACCAUUGAACUAUUUGCCUCCAAAAUGAACAGAAACUCAAAAAAAAAUUCAAGGUACUAUGCAUUGGCGUUUUUGCAAGUGGAGUGGACUCAUGCUUUCACAAAUAAUCUUCUUUUAGCACAAAAUGCAAUUGUACAUCAGGGAUACUUGUCAAAGCGCUCUCAGCCAGGAUGGUCGAAGUAAAUAAGAAUGGUCUGAUAUUUGGAAUAUGAUAGGCAACACUGGACAAGCCAAGCUUCAAAAGAGCAGAAAGCCAAACAUGAUCAAAGAACAGAAAGCCAAACAUGAUCACAAGAGAAGAGACAACUUGCAAGAAAAUAAGUCGAAUCUGAUAUUGGAAACAGAGAUUCCCCAAGACAGUGAUCAUGCAGUUACUUCCCUGAUACUGGGAACACUGAAGAUGUCCUUGUCCUGUUUCUUGCUAUUACUGUUUUCAUGCAGUCAAUUGUUGUGAUGGCAACUCAUGCAGACUCAAAACAUAACUCUUCCAAACUGCACCAAAAGCGAAAAAAAUAUAUAAUAAAAAAGAAAGAAAGCAAGAGGCACAUGUUACAAGAAAAUAAAUAGGGUUUUCAAAACAAUAUUACAAGAUUGCUGUAGAUUCCCCAAGUCAUCAUACUUUUGCAUCGCAAGAUUGAAUUGGCAACACUGCAGAUGUUCUUGUCUUUCUUCAAUCUUCUCACUAUCUGACAUUUUUCUUAUGCGGUGAAGUGGCAAAAAUAUGACAACACACAAACCAAACAUGUUUCUGAAAGGAAAGGAUCAACAGAUAGUGACUUAAUUCCAGGCAACCAACACCCAAGCUAAAAUGGCUUAUCUCAGUCACAUAUGAGAUGCCAGAAAACUUUUAUGGCCGUAAAUAAGCAUAUAAAAUGCUUUACUCCAGGUUCAAAGGAUAUCUAUCACUAGCAUGGUUCUACACGCAUUAACCUAUCCACCGUGUAAGCUAGAUAAGAAAAUUUGUAUUAGCAUUAGCAUCAGAGAUUCCCCUAGAUAGUCAUCAUGCCAUUGUGCCCCCAUGAACCAGGAGCACAGCAGAUGCAACUUUCUUUAAUUCACAUAAUCUUCCAGUUUUGUCCAUAGGGUUAAAUACUGCAUUUUGUACCUCGAAUAUCAGUCAAGCUAAAGCAAAAUCAUUAAUGUGAUGCUGACCAAAUCACAAGCAGACCACGGUGCAUUGCAGUACUCUAUAAUAGGAACAGCUUUUCAGAUAGUGAUAAAGAACUCGUUAAACAAGUUAAAAAUGAAUUUAGGCACCGCAAUCCAAUCUGGGAUAGCCUUCAUAACUCUUGCAUCUACAUAUGCAUCUCCCGGAGCCUGCUCAGCCAGUCAGUGGUGGAAGAAGGGCGAGGAUAUAUAUAUAUAUAUAGAUAGACAGAUAGAUGCAUGCAUGUGUGUGUAGUAGCUGGUAGUUUCCCUGAGAGAAAAUUACUUAUAAUUUGGAACGGAGCCACGGAGGUAGUAGUCAGGGAGAUCAACGAGCUGAGCUCACAUGACCCACCACAGCGGUCAAGCAGGCUUCGACGGAAAGCACAUUCAGAUCUCCGUUUUUUGUGCAAAGAAUGCUAAUCAUCAGGCUGACGGAUUAGAAUAGCCCCCAUAAAAAUAAAUCGACCAUCUAGUCAGCUCGGAAAUGAGGUUGAAACCACAACCUAUUUACAAGAGAUUAGGCAUUUCUACGAGCGCAUAGAUCCAGGCCCUCAAUAGUCAAUAUCACCAAGAAACAUACCAAAACAAAGUAACUCAGAAGUCAGAACGCGUGCUUUAGAAAGCUGAUUCCUCGAGAUAUGUUUGUAACUUUCACGCGCACUUCAUGGAAUCUGGAAUAAUAGGUUAUCAUCGGAUUUCUGCACCCCCGGCCGAAUCGACAAUCGAGGGCGCCGCAGAUUUACCUGUCAUGCGAUAGAUAAGAUGAGAGAUAGGAAAUAGCACCCAUAAUCUCCCAAAUCAGAUGUUUGCUGCAGUAAACGGCGAAGAAGUGGGUAAGAAGCUGCUGGGUGACGGAUCAUGAGAUGGCCGGUUCCCACGAAUAGGUAGGGCGAGGGUUUCCUUUCCAAAACCCAGAUGCAGGAUUGCAGGCCUUGGGGUUUUGUAGGUAGCGGAAAGGCGGUUUCGUGAGGAUCGUGAAAUCUCAAAGAGAGUCCUCGCGUCCCUUCUCUCUGCUCCAGAUCCAGGCCGAGUGGUUUUGUAGGCAGGUG
RNAcentral lists this long non-coding RNA (94623 nucleotides) under Zea mays. RNAcentral describes it as "long non-coding RNA (ZMAY_LNC005187)". The record is from RNAcentral. Lineage: Eukaryota; Viridiplantae; Streptophyta; Magnoliopsida; Poales; Poaceae.